UUUUUUUUUUUUUUAAGGAAAACUCAUCCAAACAUAAUCGAUAGAACGUAAAAAAGAUGUCAUACCAUCUCUACCUUUCUUAAAAUAUCAAUAAUUGAAAAAAAUUAAAGUUAUUUAAGAGUUUUCAAUCUAGUUGUUUAGAUUCUUAAUGACAAAUGCAAAUAUCUUACACUUUCCUUAUACUCUAGAGUUCUAUAAUAACCACUUAUUAUACUAAAAUGAUUAUCAAAGUAAAAUAAACAAAUAAUAUCUUGCUAUUCAUACUUUAUAAAAUAUAUAUGUUUGAAGAUUUGGGCAUCAUGCAUAAUUGUGCCUAAUUUUCUUUAAGAAGAUUCUUAAUUGAAGUCAUUGUCUAAAAUUAUAGGUGCCCACUUCCAAAUGGGUAUUUAGUAGAAAUGAGUAAUCUAAGUAAGAAGAUGAUUUCCAUUUUAAUCUAUAAUCCCCCCUUGACUUGAUUGUGACGAGGGCUUUUAAAGGAAGAUAUGUAUUAAACACUUUUUAUUCUCUUCCUGGUAUCAAUAUCCAAUUGGAAUAUAUUAUUUGUUUAUACUGUUGAGAUAUAAAACCGUGCAGAAAUAGCUAAGCAAAACCAAAACUAAAGAUCCACCGAAAAGUUUUGAAAAUGAAAGUAGAUCUAACACAGAAUACAUAAGUCAAGUACAUCGUUUCUCCAUGCAAAAUUGGAAAGAAACUUAAUAUCAAACAAUAAUAUAUAUUAGACAUAGAAACAUACAAAGAUUGGUAAAACCAAUUUGGUACAAUAUUAUCUACUAUGGAGAUUGUUCCACGUGGAAAGAACCUUUACUGUACUAUAAGAAGUUUAACAAUCAAAACAAAAUGCUUAUGUGAUAGAUCCCUUUUCAAUUACUCACGUACAACAUAUUUUUUAGUUUCAUAUUAGGUUCUCCCUAAGUUUAAGCAACUCAAACCUCUAGAAUAAAGUUUCUCCCAAAUUUUGUAUUGAAUCCUCCUAUACAAUACAUUCAAUAUAUAGCGAGGUAUACAAGCUGGAUAACAAACAAUAAGGUACAUGAUUAUAGAAGAUGUAUUUAGGUAUGCUUUAUUUUACUUCGAACAAACUCUAAAAUCCUUCAUUAAUAUCUACCAACUCUUUCAACAAUGGCCUAACCCUAAAAAAUAUUUUAGACCACCAUGUAUCUGAUUCAACGUUGAGAAGAUCUUCAAGGUAUGAGAAUAUAUUUUAAGCAAAGUAGGAAAACAAACCACUAAAUCUGCACUACAUGUCGACAAAUAAGAAAAUAAUUUAGAUACAUAACUUGCACACAUGAAAACAUGUUUGACAAAAGCCGAGACAUAUUUGUUUAAUUUUUAUUAUAUGAAUUAAAAUGAGCUAAAUUUAUUACACUAAGGAGUUUGUUUUCAAUUACUUUGUUUAUCAACCCUAGCCUGCCCAGCAAGAUUGUUGGGUUGGUUGAUCACCUCAAGCAAAGAAGAUCUGCAUGCAAUUUGUUCCAUAUUAAGAUAAAAAGAAAAAUAAUAGACGAAGAUGAGACCGAGGUCGGCCUUCUCUCCAUUUGGCACACCUCGGGCCAUUCUACUUGAGAGAUAAUUUAUUUAAUCAAGGAUUAGAAAAAUCAUAUCCUAAUCCUACUUGAACAAAGAUAAAUCUUAUGUCAAAUCCUCUAUAAAUACACUCUUGAAAAUAUCGACUUCUUACUUUUUUUCUAUUAUACAAUUCUCUUACUGAUUUAGGUAUCAUAACCUUUUUUCUUUGUGUUGCAGGUUCUUUCUUCUCCAAAUAACAAAUAAUUUAACUAUUAGUAUUACGUGAGAGAGUCAUGUAUGUUUUCCUUAGUUAAAAUUUGGCAUGAGUAGUUUGGUGCUAUCUAUAGGAACGAGAGUGAUCUCUAUGCAAAAUCUUUAAGGCAAAGUCAUGUGAUGAAGACAAGUGAAAAGUGAAAAGUCAUUGGUUACCGUAAUCUGGAGGAAAAGUCAAAUUGAUUUCUAUUGGAACUUGUAUUGGAGAAUAUGGUGAAGACCGAUAAUCUUAAUACCAUUGUAAGAGGCCUUAUAGUGAAAGAGAAGUCUCUUAAUUAGCUUAUUAUAUAUAUAUAUAAAGAGAUGAAAAAACGCCUCGAACUUGGUCGGCUACAUGGUGGACACCUUAACGCGUGUACGUCUGGAUGGUGGUUGCCUAAUUACAUUGCCUUUAGUUCUUUUUAAAAGUACUAUGUAUUGUAUUGAAAGUUCUUGUAUUUAGAACAGUUAUAUUUGCUGCCUUGGUUUAAUAUCAAACUCAUACAAACACUUUGAACUAGGCUGAGAAGCAAAGAAACAAGGUUAACUUUAUGAUGUGAAUUACCUUUAAACAUCUUUUUUCUAGUGUAUCAUUAUGAUAAAUCUAUCAAUUUUUUUUUUUUGUGGAGAUUUAGAAUGAUUUUGACCACAUGGUUAUAUUGGUACGAUAUGUAGUUUAUUGAAAAUGGACUUGAAGGAGAUGUCAAUUCUGACGUUGAAGAAGAUAAAAUGGAGGACACUGAUGGUGUAGAAGUGGAACAUCUAUACAUUUCAGAUUACCAAAGUUUUGCACUAAUAUCCGAUUGAUUUACUAUAGUGAUGAAGCUACCAAGCAAGUGAUUGAUGUUUGAUUCAUGACAAGACUUGAUGUAAUUUAGUUAUCUACAAAAAUACAUUGUAUUUAAUUUCUUUGUAAAAGUAUAUUACCAAGGUUUAGUUUCUAUUUUACUUGUAUUUAUCCCUUUGAGAAAAUUCGAUAGAUUUCGUGUACUUAGUUUCUUUGUAAAAAAUUUUAUAUAUGAAAGUUCUUAUUUAUAUGUGUACUAGUUUUGUGUUAAAAUAGAAUCAUUGAAUUACAGGAACAAAAAUAUAAUUGAAUUACAAUUUUUUUUUAAAAAAAAUUCAUAACAUACUUGACGGUUUUAAAAUGUCAUAAAUGAGUGCAUCAUUGACAGUUUUUCAAUGUCAUAAACAAUCAAUUUCUUGACGGUUAUUAAAUGUCAUGAGCACUUAUACUCUUGACGGUUUUAAGAUGUCAUAAAUAUUCAUACUCUUGACGGUUUUUAACUGUCAUGAACAUUUGUAUACUUGACGUUUAUAAAACGUCAACGUUCAAUAUUCUUGACAGUUUUAUCAACCGUCAAGAACUUUAGCUUUCUUGACACUGGCUUCAAGGACGGUUUUAAAACCGUCAAUAAUAAUGAUUCUUGAUAGUUUAAAAACGUCAAGAGAGCCUAUUUUUAUAGUAGUGUAACUGUAAAACAGAAAACAAUUAGAUGAAGGAUGAGUCGCGGAUCAUGUUUUCCUUACGACGUUUUGUGAUUCUGCUUGGAGUGCAAAUAGUUUGGUAUUGCCACGUUGUCCCAAGAUAAAACAAUAAAAAAAAAAACUUGAUCGAAACUACUUCGAAACUGCAUAAAAACUUGUUUUAAGAAUUGAAUUUAGGUCACAUUUACCACACAACACGUAAUUACACUACUACAAAUUUGGUCUUUCUGAUGCACGCAAAUUUUGAUUUUUUUAUGGUCAUAACAAAGGACCAUCAAGAAAAAUAUUUUUCUUGAUGUGUUACUUAUUUUGACGGUCAUGUAUAUCAAGAAAAGUUUUCUUAUUUUGUUGAAAAAAUACGAAAAAACGUAAAAAAAUGUGGAUUCUUGAUUUCCUUGAUGAACGAAGUUCUCUUAUAUUUUUGUUAAGAAAACUAUUUCUCGAUAGACAAUAAGCAUCAAGGAUAAUAUAUUAGUUGACUGACAAUGGCUAUCAAGUUAGUUAGGUUUUCUUGAUGGACGAGGCCAAUUGAAGAGAUGAAUUUUCUUUAUUUGCAAUGACUAUCAUCGAAAAAAAUUAAUAUAUUUGUUUUAAAUUUAAUUUCUUGAAAGUUUAGAAUUUUCUUGGUGGUUUAGAAUUUUCUUGAUAUGUGUAGGGUUGCUUGAUAGACAAAGACCAUAAAAGAUCAUGGAUAAGGUCCAUCAAGAAAAAUGAUAUCUUGAUGGGCAACUAUUUCCCACCAAGCACGAAAUUUAAACCAUCGUUAAUGGGCUCAAAAAACACGAUAUUCAUCAAUAAUAUUUUUAAAUCUUUGCUAUAUUUUUUCCAAUUAUUAUUUUAUAUUCAUCAAUAAUACAAUAUUACUUUUUUAAAUUAGUUAUUGUGAGUUGAAUUAAGUUUGUAAUUUAGGGUUUUUAAAAUUUGUUAAAGUUGGCUAACAUGAGUUUAGCUCUAUUGACACAUGUACGUACUUGUGGACAAGAGAUCCCGAGUUCAAAUCAUCAUCAUUGCAUUAAAACUUGGAUUUAUGAUUAUUUACAUAAUCCAUCAUAUAUUUAAUUUAACUUUUUAAAAUAGAAUUUAAGUUAUUUAUAAAUAGUGUGAGUAAUAAUUUGAUUUUUUUUAAAUUUUUUUGGGCACUUUUCUCUUAAAAUUUUCGACUACCAAUUUAAAAAUAUUUGAGAAUUCGUUAUUUCUAGAUUAUCGAGGUGAGAUAUCAAUAUCUUUAGAGUUCGAAAUUUGAUAAAAAAAAGAAAAAUUUAUCAAAGACUAUCGUAUAAUAGAUUUUGAGAAAUGAUAAUAAUCUCGUUCUUUUAAAGAUUGAAGAAUUUUUUCUCAAUAUAGUCUGAUUGACGAAAUGUAUUUCACUUAUUUUGUGAGAUCAUUGCUUCAAAUAUGACAUUUUUUUUAAAUCUUACUUUUUCAAAUGAAUUUUAUUUAAAUAGCAAUUUCAAUUCAAGACAUAAAGUUUGACCAUCCUUUUUCUAAACGGGUGUCGUGGGAGCUAACAUCUUUUUCAUACACAAAUGAUACUUGAACUCAACUCUAAUUUUUGGUAGAUAAUUUUUUUUAUCGAUUUUAUUUAAAAAUUAAUUAUAUUAAUUCGGUGUUCAAUCACACUACAAACAAAUCGGUGACAACUCUGUUUUGUUUUAUUUUAAAAUUAAUCAUUUUAACUUAAAGCAUGAUUUAAUUAACUAACAUAUUCCAUAAAGUUUAAAGGCUGGUGGUUAAUUAGUUUGAAUCUUGAUCCAUAUAAAUUUAAUUAACUAAACUAAUUAUUAAACUUACGGCUAAAUCAUUGGGCUUUUUGUUAGAGAGAGUUAAAUAGUUAGGUUUAUGAAUGAUGUGAGUUUAUGGUCAAGAAAGGGUUAGAAAACAAUUCAGUAUAAAAUAACUGAAGGUAAGUCAUGACAUAGUUGAAUUGUGUUGAUGUGUAAUAAUUUUUUUUUUCUCAUAUAUCACAAUUUUCUGUGUCUUAUUGGAAAAGGACUAAUGUUUUUUAAGUUAAGUUAUUUAAAUUUAUCAAUCUUUUGUUAAAUUAUUUGGGUUAUUUUUGGAUUUAAACACCAUGUACUAUACAUCUAUUUGUGUAAUGUUUUCAGUUCUUAUAUAUCAUAUUUUUCACCAAUAAAAUAUUCUCCUACUACACAUCAAAAUAGAUCCCAACUGAAAGUGUCCAAGGGACUAAAUGAUUUUACACGUGAUUUUGUGAUCGGCUAAUUUGCCAAAAUUGUAAGACGUCCACGUCUUAACUAACUUCAACAUUCUUAUCUACACAACGGGCCUAACAACAAUCAACUUCACCUCCUUUGCUUUCAACAAAUGCACAACAAUCAAAGUAUCCAAUUUCACAACUAUGGAAGCUCUCAAAAUCCCCAUACGCAAUAACCUUCUUCUCUUUUAUCCAAACUUCCAAUAACUAUCCAUCCUACUUCACUGAUAUGCUAGAAUUGUCACAUACCUAACAAACUUUCUUAAAAGGUGUUUGGAGUUAGGAGUUAAAUAAUAAAAAGUAAAUAAUUAUAAAAUAUAGGGAGUUGUGGACUCUUAAAACCUUUGAUCACAUAAGAAGUUGAUAAGAUAUAAAAUUGAGUGGGACCUACGAUCUUUUUGGUUUAAACAAAAAGUGGAGUUUCGUACUCCUAUACUUUCAUACUCCCAUUUUCUAACUCCAUGAGUCAAACAUCAUCUUCAUGAUUUUGUAAAACUAAAUCCAAAGUCCCCACCUUAUUGCUCUAUUGCCAUUCGAUCCAUUACCCAUAAUAUAUAUAUUUUUCAUUUCAUCAAUUUAAACAUUAAAACGUGAAAAACAUAUCAACUUAUAGGUUUUUGUAUUCGAAAUCGUUGUUAGAAAGAUUUUUCACUUACACAAUCAAAUCCAUUUUUUCUAUAAUAUGCAACUUCGUUGUUAUUUUCUUUAAAAAAAUAAUAAAAGAAAUGAAAGAAAUUUAUAUUAGACGAGCUAGAGUAAUUUUCAUUUACAAGAUGGAGCUUUCUCUUGCCUUCUACUUUCUACGAUUGUGUUGUUUUCGUUCUUUUUCAUUAAGGGAGAGUCUUUCAUUAAAAAUAUAAACCAAUAUACAUAGCAACCUUUCACGAAUGUACUGAGCAACCCAUUCACAACAAUGAGAGUCUCAUUAUCGAAUGGGUUGCAAAGGAUAUUGAUUUACUUUAAUUUUCUUUUAAAUUUCUUGUAACCCCUCGAGUUCAAUUUUUCCUCGAUCCACAACAUUGGUCGUACAAGAAUUUCAAAAGUUACCCUAGCUGAAACUCAAAUAACUUCUCAUCAUUGUAGCUUGAGAAACUACCAUGGCCAUUGUUAUCUUCGGUAAUAAUGUUGUGGAUUAAAACUUCCUGAGACCUUGCCACCACCAAGAACAACACCAAAGAUGAAGGAGAAUCUUUGGUGUUCCCAUCAUGAAGUAAAAAAGUACUAUACAUCAAUUACCACUAAACUAUACCCACAUUUUUAGGAUUUUAAUUUAUUACUUUAAAUUUAAAAAGAAUAUACAUUAAUUAUCACUAAUCUAUACUUACGUUUCAACCAAAUACACAAACUUAUUAAAAGAAUUGGAAAAAUGAUUGAAGUAGUACUCUUAAUUGGUUUGUGAGGGGAGAGGAAAAUUUUGUUUAUUAUUAUUUGUUUAUGUUUGUACUGAUGUUGCAUCAUUAGAUAUAAUCAAUUUUAAUUUCAGAUUAAAUAGGAAAUUAUUCAUGAACCAACCAACCAAAUAUAAAGUUAAUUGGAGAAAUACUCUCUCCACCAUAAGAAUGCUAAAUCCCUAAGUUAACUCCAACCAUAAACCCAGGAGGCAAAAAGAGCACCCAAACUCAACCAAAAAAGAACAACAAUACAAUAUCACAUACACAUACACAACAAUGGAAAGCAAUACAACCUACCACAAUUAUCUCAUCCCAUCCCAAAACAAUUCUCACAACUUCCUUACCAAAUCAACAAUUUAGGACGGAAUUUGAAUUUAGAAUGAAUUCAGAAUACUCCACGUCAACAAAAAAAAAGAAUUGUUAAGAAAAAGUAUCUUUAUAGUUAUUCCGUUGAAGAUAAGAAACACGUUUUCAAACUUGAGUUUAGUGAAAGAAACUAACAUACUACGAUGACAACCUAUUUAAGUUCUCUACACGACUCGUAAAAAUGUUACAAUUACACACCAAUCAAAUCUAUAUUACAAACCUUUUUUCUUAAAAAAAUCUCAAAGUCCUGCUUUAGAUGCCAAAUCCACACCGCAAAGUGGGAAAAACAUAUUAAUUUUUCCUAUUAUUCUAAUCCUUAAGUUAUUGAUUUUGAUCAAACUCAAGUAAGAAAAGAGAAUUGCUUUCUUAAUUUUAUAUACUGCGAAUACCAACCCACAAACUUUUGAAUUAAUGGGGCCUGCAUAAAGAACUCUAUGGCCUACAAAACCAAAAUAAAAUAAAAUCAUCAUAAAAUAUGAUUUUUGGUUCUGUGGUUUGGAAUUUAUUCAAUUUUAAUUCAAAUGGUUUUGAUACAACUGAAAAGUAUUUUCAAAACAAUAAUUAUUUUUGUUCAUCACACCAUAAAUUCUUUUCUGAAAAUUUUAAUUCGUUAAUUUUCAUGUAGUGAAAGUGAGAUGUAUAAAAAAUAUAUAUUGUUUUUAAAUAAAUCUUAAAUUUAAUUCAUUCAAUUUAAUUUUUGUUGAAAUUUGUUAUAUAAUAUGAUAUACUAAAUACAGUAGUGAAUAUCAUGUUUUCAAAAUUUAUAAUAAAUAGUAAUGAAUAACAAUUUGUUUUUAAAAAAUCUGCAAUAAACUAGUACGGACUACAUUUAAGUUCUUUUUUUCUUUCUUUAAGUAUAGUGAUUACGGUAUUAAAAAAGAGGCAAACAUAAAUUAAAAUUUAUGUCGAAGUGUGUAUAAAUUUUGCAAACAUAUUGGAUUAAAACUAAGCUUGGAGAAGAGAAAUCAAAUCUUUGAUUUCGUUGUAUAGUAGUUUGAAUUUUGUUUUAUUUUUUUAAUAUUAAUUUAAGAAUCGUUUUAAUAAAAAUUAGUUAAAUAAUAAUAAUAAUAGUUAUCAUCAAAGAAAAUUGGCCAAAAACGUGUUUUCAAAAAACAAUAAAAUAACUUUGUGUAAUUAAUAAUAAAUUAGUUGUAGAAAAUAAAUUUAAAAAUUUAAUAAAAAUAUAAUUUCUAAAAUUAAUAAACACAAUAGAAAUUGUAAAAAAAAUAGGAUAAUUGAUCAAUUUAUGAUGAUAAUAAGUUUUUGGUUGUUUUGGUGUAAAUAGUUUUGAAAAACCCUGUUUAAAAGUAUAUUUCUAUUUAUCUAUUUUUCUAUUAUUUAAGAAAUUAUAUAAAUGAUAAAAAUAUUUAAAAAAACCGCUCAUAACAUAUUGCGAAUAUGAUCAAAAUUAGUGAGAAUAUAUGACUAUCAAAAGGCUAUAGGACGUUAAUUAUAAUUUUUUUUUACUAUUUUUACAUAUUUGUUAAUGGUUUUCGAUAUUAUUGGUUAUUGAAAGUAAAAUAGUUUACAUCCUAACAAAACUAUUAUAAUCUACGAAUUGUAUUUUAACCAUCACUUUUCAAGUACAAACCAUUCUCUCAUCGAACCUCGAAUCCCUCUCCUCUGUUUUCCUCUGCUUAUUGCAAUCCAACAAAUUCAAAUAACUGAGAUUCCUCUUCUUCAACCUCUAUUUUCCUUUUUAGAGUUCUUUUUUGUUGUUCUGUUUCAUUCAUUUUUGCACUUUCUUGAAACUCCCAAAAUUGUGUUUUCAUUUCAUUUUUAGAGAGAGAGAGAGAGAAACAUGAAAGUAGCUUAACGACAGUUUAAGCUUUAAAGCACUGCCAAAGCUCCGGUUUUUCAUGGUUUCUUUUACUGAAAAAAAAAAAAACACAAGUUUUUUAUUUUAUAAUUCCCAACUCUCCUCUAAAACCUACCUUCUCAAGCAAAGCUGUAAAUCGUAACUGACCUCCUCUUUUCUCAAGAACUCUCUCUUGCUAUUUCCUUUUCGAAUUACGAGCCAAACAAACUCAAUUGUCCUGAAUCACAAGUUUUAAACACACCCAUCUCAUUUUGAAUCUCUGUUUUUCAGUUUCCGGGUUUUAUUUAAUUCGAGGGAAUAAUGACGCCUGCAAAGCGGAGUACAGAGGAAGCCAUGGUUUCCAGCUUCAAUCAAACGAUCCAACAAGAAGAUUACAGAGAAGAAGAACAGAGAGGAGAGAAAGAUGAAUCAAUGGGUGGAUUCAAGAGCUUUCUCUGGCAUGGUGGCUCUGUUUAUGAUGCUUGGUUCAGUUGUGCUUCGAAUCAGGUAAUUGUAAUAAUCCAUCCGCUCAAAAUUUUGAGUAAAAGGAUUUGAAAAAUUGGAAAGUUGUGUUUGUGUUUUUGUUUCUUGGCAGGUAGCUCAAGUUCUAUUGACUCUGCCAUACUCUUUCUCUCAAUUGGGGAUGGUUUCAGGGAUUAUUUUUCAGAUUUUCUACGGAAUUGUUGGGAGUUGGACGGCGUAUUUGAUUAGUGUUUUGUAUAUUGAAUAUAGAGGGAGGAAGGAGAAGGAGAAUGUUAGCUUCAAAAACCAUGUGAUCCAGGUUUGAAAAAACAGAGUAGUUUGUAAAUCUUUGUUUUUCGUUUUCUUUAAAAAAAAAAAAAAAGAAAAGAAAGAAAAUAUUUUGAUUGGUUUUGUGGUACUCUGUUUUUCGACAGUGGUUUGAAGUGCUUGAUGGUCUUCUUGGGCCUUACUGGAAAGCAGUUGGAUUGGCUUUUAAUUGUACUUUUCUUCUCUUUGGCACUGUCAUUCAACUUAUUGCUUGUGCAAGGUUCGUUCUUCUUCAUCUUCAUCUUAAUUCGGUCCUAGAAACUAUGUUUAUUUUAUUUUAUAUACUUUAUUGAACUUUGAAAUGUUUCAAAUAAUCUGUCUUCUUUUAUGGGUCUAUUCUGCACAUUGUUGUAUUGAUGAAUGUUUCAAUCUGAUAGUGUUUUCGUUUCAAAUGGUCUACUACUGUAGAUUUUUUGUUUGCUCUGCUUUGAAAAACGGGAAACGAAAUAGUGAAGAAGAAACAAAUAGAACUAUGUUUGGUGAUCUCCCUCUAAACGUUGUGUGGAAGAAAUUUUAUAUUAUGUUUUAUUUUGGUAGAUAUUUGUUUCUGCAUUAUAAGAGUAAAGAAAGAUAAAUAAUAAUUUUGUUCAUGUUUUGUGUUUUGAUUUCUUCAUUUUUAAUUUUGUUUAUGUUUUGUGUUUUGAUUUCUUCAUUUUUAUCGUCUGCGUUCUAGGAAGAUUUUGAAAAUAUAAACUAAAUUUUGAAAGCUAAAAAAAAAGAGUAGUUUUCACCGUAGUAUUUAAAAUGGUCGAGUUGUUAUUGUUUUGAUUUCUUCAUUUUUAAUUUUGUUUAUGUUUUGUGUUUUGAUUUCUUCAUUUUUAUUGUCCGCGUUCUAGGAAGAUUUUGAAAAUAUAAACUAAAUUUUGAAAGCUAAAAAAAAAGAGUAGUUUUCACCGUAGUAUUUAAAAUGGUCGAGUUGUUAUUGUUUUGAUUUCUUCAUUUUUAAUUUUGUUUAUGUUUUGUGUUUUGAUUUCUUCAUUUUUAUUGUCUGCGUUCUAGGAAGAUUUUGAAAAUAUAAACUAAAUUUUGAAAGCUAAAAAAAAAGAGUAGUUUUCACCGUAGUAUUUAAAAUGGUCGAGUUGUUAUUAUAGUUGGUAUUAUUAUAGUGUGUGAGUUAUAAUAGUUUGUAAAUUAAAUAGUUUGGGUUUGAAAUGUAUACUAUUUUAUUCUCUUUGAUAUGCAUGUUAUUUUUGUACGAGUAAGAAACAGUAAACAAUAUAUUAGGAAAGGAAAGAAAUGAUGAGUAGAAACCGUGAACACUAACAAAAAAAAGGAUUUGGAACAGUAAUAGUGUAGUUAACUUUAAGUUGUAAAUAGUUAGAAACACGUACUAUUAUAGUUGAAGCCUAAAACGUGGAGUGUGUUAUAAUGACUUACUCCACCAACUUCAAGUUGUGAUCCAAAAACAACAUCCUUAGGUAAGAUGAAAACUAUAAGGUAAGAAAUUGUGAAAAAAAAUAAAAUGUUUAUACAAGAAAAAAGACUUGUUCGUUUUGUUUUUCACAAAACAAGUGGAUAGAAGACUUGAGUAUAUAAUUUUAAGAGAAGAAUUACAUGUCAAUUACUGCUAAACAACACUCACUUUUAUAAUAAAUAAAAAAAAAAAAAACUUUGUUUUGUUAUCUUUGAACUGGACACAGUUUUGAAAAGAAGAAUGUUGUAAUCUAGCAAACUCUAACUAAACUUAACAAGGUUCUUUCACAUGUGUGAUCAAUAACCUGUACUUCUAUGUGUUAAAUAAAUUGUAUUAUGUGUUUGUGUUUGCAGUAAUAUAUAUUACAUAAAUGACAAAUUAGACAAGAGGACAUGGACUUACAUAUUUGGGGCUUGUUGUGCCACUACUGUCUUCAUACCCUCUUUUCACAACUACAGAAUUUGGUCAUUUCUAGGCCUGGGAAUGACCACUUACACUGCCUGGUAUUUGACUGUUGCUGCUCUCGCUCACGGUCAGGUAAUUUUAAUAACUCGAAUUUCCAUUUGAAACGACUACUACAAUGUGACCCCUAUAAACCACACAAGAAGUUAGAACUUGAAUCUAAUGAUUUAUUAGAACAUGUUAAUUUAAUUUCGAGUUCAAACAUUUAUUUGGGUAUUAAGAUAAAAUCACAUCCCGCUAAAGAAACAAAUGUCUUAUUUAGGUUUUUUUUUUUAGUUUAACUUUGUGUGUUUCUGUGUAAUAAGUCCUUUCAAAUUCAUUUUUAGGACUAUAGCUAAUAUGUAUUUGACAUUUUGUAGUUGUUUUUUUAACAAAAAAAAAAACUUAUACACAUUACAAAAUUAAAAGUUUAUGGUCUCUUGAAAGAAAAAGAUCUAUAGUAUACCCUAAAAUUAAAAGUUUAUAUAUGAAUAUAUCAUAUAUAUUUUUAAAGUUGACGAAAGUUGUUAUUAAAUAUUUCUUAAAAUUCAUGAAUCUUAUAAAUACAAUCUUGAAAGUUCAUCAACUAAAUCUCUAAUCUAAGAUUGAUGGAUAAUUAUUUUAUUCAUAUUUGUAGACCUAAGUUUGAAUGACUUUCUUCUAGGUCGAGGGUGUGAAGCAUUCAGCCCCAACCGAGUUGGUUCUAUAUUUCACCGGUGCCACGAAUAUUCUUUACACAUUCGGUGGUCAUGCCGUCACCGUGUAAGUCUCAUUAGUGGUCAUCGUCACUGUCAUCUUUUAAUUUCAGUUGAGUAAUUUGAUUUUAUAAUUGUGUUUGUAGGGAAAUUAUGCAUGCAAUGUGGAAGCCUCAAAAGUUUAAGUACAUAUAUCUUGUGGCAACUCUAUAUGUAUUUACACUGACCCUCCCGUCGGCGGCCGCAGUGUAUUGGGCUUUUGGCGACCAACUUCUCACCCAUUCCAACGCCUUCUCUCUCCUCCCCCGCUCCCGGUGGCGCGACGCCGGCGUCAUUCUCAUGCUUAUUCACCAGGUAAUAUUAUUUUAUUUCCGUAAUCAACUUCAAUUUUUAUUCUUUCAUUUAUGUUCUAUUUUUAAUCUAAUUAUUUCAUUAAAUUCAAAUAUAGACAAAAUAUUACCAAAAAAAAUGAAAUGAUUCAAUUCUUAAAAAUUUUCAUUUCAUCUACUUAAAGAAAUUUAGUUUUAGAGAAGUUUAAGUACAAUCUCUAUAAUUUAGGGCAGGUUUUAAUUACAUUCUUAAUUACCCUUGAAUUUGUUUAUUUUAUUAUUAUUUUCUAAUCUUUGAACUUGGACAUUUGUUCCAAGAAAAUACCUUUAUUUGGAGAAUUUUUUUCCUUUAAAAUAAGAUGCAAUUUAAUGUGACGGUUAUAAUAUGUAAAAUUGGAAGGUAUUCUGUAAUCAAUUGCACGACAUUCAUAACGUAAAUUAUCAUGUAAACUGACAUGAUAAUUAAUGUGUAAAAAAGUUAGGUAAAUAAUUAUAUUUUAAUGAUAUCAUUUGGUAACUUGAUGUCAAUUUCUUUCUUUGGUAACAACACUAAUAAUCGUUUUUAACAGUAGAUAAUCCGUUAGAUUGUUAUCUUGGUUAUCGUCAAAGUUUAUUCAAUUUUGGUUUUUUUUCUUUUAAUAAAUCUUAAAUUUAAAUUUAUAAUUUGAAGAUAUGUAUAACAAAAUUGAUUAAAUAAUAAUAAUAAUAAUAAACAAAUAAAUACAGAUAAUUUGUAUCAAAAUUUAGCGUGAAAAUACUAAUACAAGUUCAAAACAAAUAAACCAAAAUAAUAUUUCAACCUCAAAAUAUCACGUUCACUUUUUUAAUUUUCACACAUUAAUUGUUACAUCAAUCUUCAACUUUUAUUUUAAGAGAAAAAAUACAACUGGGACGAAUUGUAAAAUUCAAAUAAAGAAUAAAGAAAAUGAAUAUUUUCAGAAAUUUAAGGACAACCAAUUAGAGUACUUUGUAUUAUCAUAACUCAAUGAUUUAGAUAAAAUUAAGAAAGUAUAUCUCAAAAUUCAUAUACAAUUAUAAGAAACGACCUUAAUAAUCUUUGUUUUUCCUUCUCAUAAAUCUCAUCUAAACCUAAAUUUAUCAUGUUUUUGCAUGGGCAGUUCAUAACGUUUGGUUUUGCUUGUACACCACUCUACUUUGUGUGGGAGAAAGUAAUAGGAAUGCACGAGACUAAGAGCUUGUUUUUAAGGGCAAUAGUGAGGCUUCCGGUUGUUAUUCCCAUUUGGUUUUUAGCCAUUAUUUUCCCUUUCUUUGGCCCUAUCAACUCAGCUGUUGGUGCCCUUCUUGUUAGCUUCACUGUUUAUAUCAUCCCUUCCCUAGCUCAUAUGCUCACUUAUCGAUCUUCCUCCGCCCGACACAACGCGUCUGAAAAACCUCCUGUCAUCGUUGCCCGUAGCUGGACCGUCAUGUACGUCAUCAACACAUUCAUAGUCGUUUGGGUUUUGGUAGUUGGUUUCGGCUUUGGUGGUUGGGCUAGCAUGACUAAUUUCAUCAAACAAGUUGACACAUUCGGACUAUUUGCCAAGUGCUACCAAUGCCCUUCUAAGACGCCACCAGUGCCCACCGCGGCAGCUCAUCGUUGAUGAUGAGAUGUUUGAUGCUUUUUCUUUGUUAGAAUCCUUUGUUAUAUGUUAUAUUAUGUUGGUUUCAUCAAUAUAAACAAGGUCUAUAUUGUAGGGUUAUGUAUUCAUAUAUAACAUACACAUAUAUAUACAUAUUUGUAACAUAUGGUUGAAAUUUUCUAUCUUUCGGUUUAUGUUGUGAUCAUUGUGUGUAUUGUUAGAAGAAUAAUGAAUCUAACAAUUUACCAUAGUUAUUCAAGAAAAAAAAAACGUACUUUUAUCAUGUUUAGGUUUGCCUGUAGUCAACGUUAUUAACCCUAACUACCAAUAAAAAUUAAGUUCUACACCAAGUUUAGGAUUCAAAAUAGGGCCCAACCGGGUUCGAACCGGUGACCUCUUGAUCUGCAGUCAAAUGCUCUACCACUGAGCUAUAGACCCAAUUUUGAGAAAAGAGUUCAAUAUUUCAAAUUUAAACAUAUAAUAUUUAAACUUACGCUAAAUUUUUAGAAUCUAUGGAAACAAGUCUUCUAAAAUGAUUUUAUAGACUUAUUUUAUAUAUUGUGUUAGAUAUGUAAAUAUAAUCUACAACUUUAUUUGUAAUUUGUAAUUUUUCGUUUUGAGAAUUAAGGGUGUUGUAUAAUUUAUAAUGACAAUAUUAAUUUUGUAUUGUAAUUUUUAAGAUCUGUUUUGAAAUAAUUAGAAACAAAACAAACUAAUUUUAGUAUACCAAAUUGCUCAAAGCCAUUUUAAUUCGAAUGAUUUGAAACCAUAAUUAUAAAUGGUUGCACUUGUUUGAAGUCUAUUACUUUUUAGAUGUAAGGUUUCAACUAUUUUAACAUUAUUUUUUUAAAUAAACCCUACUUGAUUAGAUUAGAAUACUAUAAAAAUGGAAAUUCUUCUAAAGAAGGUCUAUGACGAUAUAUGAUAAAUAUACAAAGCUGAUAAACACUUCAUAAAGUUGAAGGCUUGAUACAAGAGUAAUUUGUGUUAUCCAUAUCUUUCAACAAUAAUGAAGCUAAUUCACCUCAACACAACAGGAACUCUGGUGUUGUUAUCCUUGUGCAAUAAAUACGUCAAUUUAGCGAGUUCAGAUCUAAGUUCACUUAUCUCUUGUAAUGAUGUAUGGAGGACAUGGAGACUCGGUCUCUAAUCUCGAAUUGUUGGCCAUUAGCACCCAUUGGUGGAAAUCAACUAUAACGACCCGAAUUUUUCAAAACCAAGUUGGGGUUAUUACUGAUCUAAUUAUCUUAACUUUGUAAAAACAAUAGCGGAAGCAUAAACCAAGUAGUUCCCUAUAGCUAGUCACAAGUCCUUCUUGUUGCUUGCCAGCUUGCCUUUUCUCUUACCUUGGCCUGCAAAAUUAAACAUGGAAAGGGAAGUACCCUCAAUCGUAACAAUCUUCUGAUCUCAAAGGAAUACACAUGGUCUACUGAUCCCGUAGGAAAACUCUUUAGUCUGAUGAUUCCAUGGGAGCGUACGUCAACCUAGUCAGUCUAAUGAUCCUGUCAGACCAUACAUGAAUUAUGACAAACUAGAGGUUCCAGCCUCGAACGCACACAAUCAUAAUAGUGAAUGGUGGUGAUCCCGAGGGACACCGUACAUGUAGGUACACAUUAUAAUAGCCAAAGCUAACAGACACCAAUAGUCUAAAAGCAUGUAACAAUCAAAAUAAGCAUGAAAUGAAACAUCAGUCAUAACAAUCCAUAAGCAUAUAAUUCAAACAUGCAUAAACGUCACAUAAGAUCAGACACUCGUACGUACUAAACUAUGCAAUUUAGUUACCGUUAGUGCAUAAUCAAUCAACACAUGCAAACUCUUAAUUACAUUUUCAUUUGAAGGUCGAGUAGUCUCUUACCUUAAAAUAGAAUUGGACUCCUUUGCAAAAUUCCUUGAUGCAAAUUAAAGCACAAAUUAACCUAAACAUAAGGAAAACAAUUAAUAAUUUUACUAAAUAAAAUUGUAAAUUAUGCCCGGACAAUAAUCUAUGAUAGACAUGCAAACAUCAUCGUACUUUUCACAAUAAUCAUUUCAAAUCAUUGCCUUUUACACAUUCCACAAUAGCCUUCAACCAAACCAAUGACUAACCCUUCAUAAAUUAUCAGUAAAACUAAGCUAAUAGUUAUCCGCCACAAUUAUUACAAUAACCCAUAGACUAUGCAAAUAACUCCCCCAUAACGGUUAUCACAGUAACCCAUAAGCUAAGCAAAUAAUUAAUUAGUAAUAGACUUGCAGUAAACCGUCACAAUCUAAUUCAUAACAUAAAUCCAUAAUAUAGGCAUGUAAACAAUCGUCACUUCACAACAAUUAAAGGCAAUUCCCAUAGUAAGCAUAUACAAAUAAUUAUCCUUUACACCUUAGCCUAAUCCAAUGGCUACUCUUCACAAGUUAAAAGUAACCUUAGGCUAUACAAAUAAUUCACCAUCACAAACAAAUCACUAAGCUAUGCAUAUAGUCAUAUAACCAUUAUCACACACAGUAAUCCAACCCUCAAUCAGGGAUCCAAAAAUAUAGUAGAACCAUACCUUAGGUUAUCCUAAAGUUUCUUGCUGCAAACGAAACCACAAUUCCACCCAUGCAUAACAAAAAUUAAUUUAACAAUUUUUGUCAAUAAAUUACUAAUUUAAUUAUAAAAGCUUACCAAAGUUACCCAAAUAAAAAUUGAAAAUUAAUUUUCAAACUUGGAGGAAAAAUUUACCACUUAAAUCCUCAAUCUUUGUUAAACAUACUUCCAAAGGUAACCAAAAUCAAUUUCAAUAAUAAACUUUGAGAAAACAAACACUUAGUUAUAACUGAAUAUAAUGUUGUAACUUGAGUUAAUAACUAGAGAUACAACUAGGAGAACAUGUAAAGCAGUAAAUCAUAAACACAUAUAACUUUGGUAACCCAGUUCGAUGAUAAUGCACCUACAUCUGAGGAGUUUUAGACCUAGAUAAGAGAAUAUAUUGCUCAUCAUAUAAUUGAUCAUUAUAACGUUACGACUCAAAGAACAACACGUUACUCAUACCUACUGUGCUGAUUAUUGACUAACUUAAUAAUCUGAACCAUGUAAAACAUAAGAAGCAUGUAUCAUAACAUUAUGGAAAUGACAGCUCCUUAAUCAAUACACAUGAGCAUUCUUAGCAUCAACAUCUUUGAUAGCUAUAUCAGAACUCUUGUGCUUCAGGUACAAUAUUAGUUACUUCGAGAAGUUCUCCAAAAACCUCUUACCGUAUUCACCAAUAUAUUCAUCUAAGGCCCAAAAGCAGAACGAUCACCUCUCUUCUACUUUUUUGUUCCACCCAAUACAAAUUAAGAUUUUCAACAAUAUUUUAUUAAAAGAUAUCCAAACAACCCAACAAUAUAGAAGUAUCAUAAGAACCACAAAUAACUGUAAAUAAUUAAUCUCCUCAAUAAAGGUAUAAUGGGACCAUUUUUGUAACAAAACUUAAUUUAGGGUCUCAAUUAACCUUUAAUGGGUAUUAAAAUCUCACAAUAAAAAAAUCUAAAACACUCACCUAAACUUACCAAACCAAGAUUUGUGAGCCGCAACGACGGCAACAGAUGAUAGUGACAAACCAAAGCGUGGACGGCUGUGGCCAUACGGGGUUGCACAGUAAAAGGGUGGUGGCUAGGAUUUCAUAGGGAAGAAGAGUGAAUAUCUUUUUUUUCUUAAAUGGGCAAAACCUUAGACAUUUAUAAUCAUUAAUGAUAAUAACAAUAAUAAUAUAUUCUUUGUUAUUAAUGUAAUUAUAAUUGGUGACAAUUUUAUGAAUAAUAAUUAAGUAUAUAGCAACAUUUAAAAAAAUUACAAAUCUUCUAUCGCUGAUAAACUCUUAUGAUCUAUGAGUAUAAACCAAUAUUUGCAACAUAGUCUAUAAGUGAUAGACUUUGACAGAUUUUGCUAUAUCUAUAAAAAAAUUUAAACGUUGAUAUAUACUUAAUUAUUUUGAAUCUAAUUGUUAUACUUGUAACUAUCUAUUAUUAUUAUUAUUCUUUUGCCAACUAUACAGUAAACAUAUAUAUUUAUUUAAACUCUUCUUCACUCUUCUAAUUAAAUUAAUUUUUUCCAUCCAAUCAAAUCAACCAUCUCUCUCCUCAUUAACUCAUCGUUAUUUUUCCAACAAUUAUAAUUAUAUUCCAUCAUAUAAUUAACUUCACUUUUUCAUAUUAGUUAUUUAUACAAAACCAAAUAAAUCAAUGUCAUAUUUCACGACAAAAUCUAAAUUCUUAAUCAUAUAUUCAUACACAUAUAUAUACUUAAUUAAUUCUAAUUCCACAAAAACUAACUUUUCUUUUCGGAUCUCAAAUCAACUCAAAUCUUCAAUUCUUUUAAUUAACCAAAUCUUUUCAACUGCUUCCUUUGAAUGUUCUUCCUAUUAUGUACCUUGUACACAUAUCUCUUCCUGACAAGUUUUUCACUCUCUAGAUUCCGUCGUUUGUCUCCAGUUUUCCCAUUCAAGCUCUGCAACAUACAACAAAAAAAUUUGAUCCUAAGAGGAUCGGGCUAUGCAAAGAAAGAAAAAGAAAAUAAAGAAUGAUAAUAGACGACUGAAGACUCUUUAAAAGAGAAAUUACAACCCAUCCCAACAACAACGAAAAUACGAUUGAAUGGAUUUCGUCACCCAAAUUCGGACCCAAUAAUUUACCAAAUUACACGUGAAGAACUAGUUUUAGUGGUAAAGUCCGAGUCAAACACAAGAAGCACAUAUAAUUUCUCAAGUAAAUAGUUUCCAACCCAAGGGUAACAUAUGAGGGGUUUUGAAAUUAGUUUCGAUUACGAAGGAGAUGAAUUAAGGGUGUCAGUCGAUGUGAGAAAGCUUAGCUUGAGUUAUGUAGGUCACCCUAAUCGAUCUGAUCAUUGAAUUCUCAUUAUCAAAUCUAACAAUUGGUACUCCUAACUAGUUUUAUUAGAAAAGAUAAACAAAUUGUCCUAGGCAACAAAUUAGUUCGAGUUAAAUAAAUGAAAAGCAUACAAAAUUCAAUAUAUUCACACUAAUUGCAUUAGGUUGAAAACCUAAUUUUCAUGUGUCUAAUUAGACCAUCCUCAAGUAUAAUCGUAAGUCAAUUAAAAAAUAAUACAAGAUUGAAUGGAUUUCAUGAGCUAACCUAACUUAUCACAUUUUAAAUUAAAUUACGUUCAAUUCAAUUUAACGAAGCAAAUUGCACACAAUAAAAAACACUCAUCACAAAGUCCACAUGCAUUUGACAAUAUGAAAAUAAUCGUUGAAAUAGAAUUGGAAUGAUGAAUACAUCAAAUUCAAUUCAAAUCUCACAUAUCCAAUGAAUUCGAGGGAGAUUACUAAAAAUUGAUCAUGCUAAGAGAAAGUACCCUAGCCCAUUCUCAACAUUCCCAGCAAUGGAAAAAUGUUCAAGUACAUAAUAUAUAGACCAAAAUAGAGAGAAAUCGAGGUUAGAGCUGAGAUAAUCUAACCUAAGUGGUGGACGAAUUAUUUAUAAAAUCGUAACGACGCUGAAACACUGUCUAACGGACAGCACACAUUUCUACUUCUUAACAUCGCGGUUCUACAUUGCUUUUCAUGAAUAGUACGGCUAUUGCCUUACAGUGCCACACAUAACAUAGUAGGGUAUUGCGACGCUGCAAGACAGAGGCUAAUCUUAGCCUUUUCUUUGCAGUUUGAUUCGGUUAAUGCCUAUUUACUUCGAUUUUGUCAAAUUUAGCUCUUUAUCAACAUCAACAACGAAUUUUACCCUUACUUAGCUAUUAAAACCUACAAAAUAGUCAAAUAGAAACAUAAAAUCAUAUAACGAUUUCAAAUUAAGCAGGACUAGUUAAUACAUUUUCAAUGCUAUCAACUAUAGAUUUGAAAGGCUUGAAAGAUUCCCUCAUAUGUUUAUAUGGACUCUAUUGUAGAGAAAAUUCUAACAUAUCAUGUCACUCAAUUAUAUUAAUAACUACGAAUUAUAUUAAUAACUACGAGGUAUGCCGUUCAAAUCCCUUUACUAAAUAAACCUUUACAAUAUUGUUUUCUUCGACAACAUCAUUUAUUUUAAGAGAUACAAUAAUUAUUGUUCAAUUCUCAUCCCAACAUGAAACAUCAAGAAUUUUUAGGUGGGAGAAACAAAGUACAAGUAUCAACAUCGUUAGAGUUCAAGUUCAAACUAGAAAAUUUUUAGGGUUUUACAGAAUUUACAGUUGAGUGAAUACAGAAAUCAAACAUCAUCUCCUUCACUUCCACCAGUAUCUGCUUCAUGACUGACCCAGUGACUGCUUUCAUCAGGUCCCAAAACCUUGAACCUGUUCAAACAAUGUAACUUUUUUCAACUUACCUUUUAAGAAUGAUUUGUUUGGUGAGAAUCUAUAAUUUUCAUUUCAUGGGCAUUUUGGAUUUCCACGUUUGUUCUGCAGUAAUUCAAGAUGUCGUAUAAUCUAGGGAUAUCCUUUUCAAGGCAUCUCAAGGGUUUUAAAUGCUGAGAUUUUUCAUAUGUUGAGGGUAUCUGCAUUUUACUUUUAUUUUUCCGUUUGUCGAUUGAGUACUUACCUUUCAAGUACAGAUUUUCCUUCCUUGUAUUUUUGGUUCUUUUCAUGGGCAGUCUCCUGAAAGAAACCAUAAGAAUAGUUGAGAAGUAAGAAAGAAAAUAAAUAGUUGAUAUUUCAAAUCUUUGCUUCUAAUCUUACAUAUUUCCAUCCCACCAUUGAUCCACAGCCCACACAGAAGAUAUCAGCAACUGUAUGCAUCCCUGUCAUCAUCAAUCUUUCUUCUAUCUUACCUAAGCAAACAUUUACCCUGGAGAAAGUUUUGACAAUGAGAACCCAGUCUAUGAGAUGAGGCACUUUUAGAAUUAGUUUUAGAGAAACUCUAGCUUAUUCUACCGUUAUCAGAAAGUAACAACGAUUUAGAAUGAGAAACACUUCGAAAGUGAAAAUACAAACAGGUAUGCGUGUAAAUCACUAUUUGAAUGAAUAAAGAGAUUCAUUUGUUGACAUAGUUUUUGUAACUAGAUUGUGGAGCAUUGGAUUAUUUGAGAAUGAAUUUUCAGUAAAAUCACUCUCCUAUGUAUUCUCACAAAUCCCACGAGUUCUGUUAUGAAACAUUAACAUCAAAUUACUGAUCAUUAUAUGCCAAGUUUUUGUAUCUAUUAAAGAAGACCCUUGCUAACUUGAAGCUACAAAGAUGAGAACACAAAGUUAUGAGUUUGUUAACCCCUUACAAAAUUCUGAUCAAUCCAAUCCACACAUAAGAAGCCUAUAACUUUUUUAAAAAAAUCAUACAUCGACUUUAACAUAAUAUGAAACCGACAACCAUAACAUGGGUUACACAAGUCUUUAAUAACCUACUUAUUCAUACAAUCCAAACACAAAUUGCACAAACGACCCAGGCUUAUAAAAACCAUUUGUCAAACAUGCACCUAGGGGAGGAGACAAGAGUGUGUUAAUCAAUGUCCAAACUCUAAAAUCAAGAAGAACUUACACCUUAUUGAAGAGGUAAGCUUUCCCAUGUCUGCUGUGGAAGGACUGAAUGGAACAACACAAACAGUACAAGGAGUUACAAUGUGGGUUUAAGCAACUUUUGAGGAUAUUGGGACAGGACAGCAACAUAAAAUUUUCCCAGUCAAAAAACUUAUCAUACCUCCUUUUGUUCCCAAGUUCCUAAAUUACAAAGUUCAGCAGUAAACACAAUUUAAGAUAGAAUGCCAGCAAAAUUGGAGCCAACAAUAUAGAAAUUUGGAAACAUGCAACAUAAAAAAAACAACUCUUCAAUCGCAAAUGUUCUCAACGAAGAGAUCAAAGUUCAAAUAGAAUUUUAUAUAAAUGAAUCAAUUCGAGCGGUGUUAAUACAAAAUGAUAUAAUCGUAAAAGAGAGAAUGAAAACUAACCUUCUAAUUACACCAUAGUGCACUCUAGCACCGCCUAAAAUGCAUUAUUGCGUCCCUAACGAGAUUUUGAUUAUUAGAUUUUCAUUUUUAAUCACUAGUUGACUGGCUCUCAAUUUAAAUUUUUUUAAAAAGGUGAUUAAAAUGAAUAUCUGGUCUGGAACUUCAUAAUUUUAUGAUGAAAGGGGUAUCCCAAUACGAUAGUGGUUUGUGACAUCACCGACAUGCUGUGUUUUAUUUAUUUUUUAGGAUUGGAUCGUUCCUAAUUAAUACCGGUACGCAACCCCAAGUUCAAAUUAUUAACAAGUAACAGAAACUUGAAUUUAAAUAAACCUACUAAUACUAUCUACGAACAUGGGAGAACUAGAGGGAAAAAUCGACAAGAAACCAGAGAAGAAAACAGGUAAAAGGAAGAGAAACCUUAGAAAUGAUAUCGUCGUAAAGAGCAAGAUGGGUCCGGCAGAACUUGCAGCUAUAGAUCUGCCCUUCCAAAUUCACCACGAAUAAUCUUCCCAUAGCUUUGAAUCUUAAGCUUCCCACAAAUAAUCUGCAAAAAAAUAAAAACAAAACCCAUAAUGAGGAAUCGACAAAAUAUUAGACAGAAGGGUCAAGCAGAGAACCGAGAAUUAUCAUCAUCAGAGCCCUGAAGAAGAAGAAGAAGAAGGAGAAGAAAGAAUCUGGGGGUGUUCUAAAAUGGGAAAUGGAAAUCACGUUUUGCAAAGAAGCCCACUUCUCAAGUUGAUUCGAAUGUAAAGCCCCUUUGUUGUGAAUUGAGAAAGGUUGCGAAAUCAAAUUAGAAAGAAAAGAAAAAAGGUUUGGGGAUGAAGAUGAUGAAGGAGUUAUGUCAAAAUCAGAAUGGUUCGCUAUAUUAUUCAUGAAACUUCGUUGUCCUGUCUAUGAACAUUGGAUGAUCUUUUUAAGUGAGAUGCGCGUGUGCCAACAAAAUGGUGUUCUACAUACACGGAGAAUUUCAUCAGCCUUCAAGGGAGGGGACACGAGAUAAGAAUUUUUGUAGGAAUGACCUAUAAUUUUUUUUUAAUUUGAAAUGUGUCACCUUUUAUAAAAACAAUAUUUAAUAUUGUCACCUUUUUAGGAUUAUUUUUCUACCUUACUCUUCUCAUUUUCUUUGGCUUCUAGCUCUUGUGUUUUUGUUUUUACUCACUUUCUUGCUUCUGUCUUCUCCACUCGACAUUUGAAAAAACCUUGUUUGUUGUUAAUUGCUAUUGCAUGUUAUGGAGGAUAAAGGAAAAAUUCCACUUAAGUUGUCACUUAACGUGAAAUACAUGAAAGUGAGUGUCAUCGUUGCUAGAGAAGAAACUGAGAGGAGAGGAGAGGAAAAUGAAGGAAGAGAUGAGGGAAGAGAUAUUUUUAUUGAGAGAAAUAGAAGGAGGGUUUAAAUUUGAUUUUUUUUUUAUAAAAAAAUUGACUUUGAUUUUGGACAGUUUUACACAUUUUGUAUUUAUUUAUAUCCAAUUUUAAUAAAUACUUUUUUUUAUUAUUAUUUACAAAGCUCUUUUAGUGAUGGAGAGAAAAUUGAUUUAUUUGUGGUUGAGAAUAAGCAUUUGUGAUUAGUGUAAAAACUAGACAAAGUAGACUUUUGUUUGUUUGUUUUGUAAAAAAGAGAUUUUUCAAGAAAUGAAUGUAAUUAGGCCUCCCUUUUUUUCUUAACAUCCAAACAAUAAAGUAACUUUUUUUUUCUUAGAAUUCAAACAGGAUUAUAAAUUUAAAAUAUUUUAAGUUUUUCAAACAUGUUGAAAUUUAAAAUAAUUGAUUUGAAAAUCUAAAUGUCGAAGAAAGCAUAAAAGAAUAACACUGUAUUUAAGAAAAAUGAUCCAAUCCGAUCACUACAAAUUAAAUAUCAUAUUUUGGAAUAUAUAUAUUCUUUUUAACUCUAUAGAUGACUGAUUUUGGAAUAAUAUAAUGUCAAUGAGAACAUAUAUUCUUUAAAUAAAGGUGAAAGCAAAAGAAAGGACCAUAUAAAAGGCAAAACACCAAAGAAAAAAAACACAAUACACAAACUUCACAAAUAUAAAUGUAAAUAAUGUGAUGAUACAGUGCUAAUUCUUUGUGAUUGGGUUAAGUGUAUGGGUUGCAAAAAUAACACAAUACCAAGUUUUGCUCUCAUAGAAAAGGCAAUUCAAAUGUUCAACGUAUCAGUUGAGUUUAAAUAUACCAAUUAUUAUACUUUUAUCCCAAAAAAAAUAUAAAAAUGAAAUGUUCAACCAUAUCUUAAUUUGCUCAAAGUUUAAAUAUAUAAAUUACUUUUUAGAGUGCAUGUUAAAUUAUUAUAGUUUAUGGAUAAUAAUAAAUUAUUAUAGUUUGUAUCUCGGAUCCAUAUUAUUAUAGUUCAAAUUAUAGUCGUUUCUAAAAUAAAUAUUAGUUAUCUUGGACAUGCUUUUUAUUUUUUUGCUCUAUUAUUUUUUGUAAUACAUAUAUUUAGGUACAUGGAAUACUAUUUUCAGAAAACAAGGUUCAAACUAUUCCUUCCACCUAUUUAUACAAUCUAGCAUAAACCAAGAUUCAAGCUAGGGCUCUCCUCCAAUCUCACGUAUCCUCCCCACCUACUGAUUUAGAACAUAUUCAUGUUGCUGCCUUACUUAGACCAUGUCAAAUAGCCAAUUCCUUUGUUCCACCUUGCUUCAUGGAGUUUUAACUGCCCAUAUUUGCCUAUACCCUGCAAACAUUGGUUACAUCCCUAUCUAGUCCUAGCUCCAACAUGUACACCACUGAACGACCAACCUUGAUUUAUCUCACCCUAAACCUUGAUUUUUCGUUCGCUGUCUACUGUGGAUGCCAGCAGAUUUGUGUCCAAAUCUCAACAACAUUUCAAUCCCACAUUGUGUAUACUCAGAUUGAAUUCAUUGUAGGUAUCUUCUUAGUGCAUCCACCACUUACAUGUCGCAUUGUUUGUGGUUUAACCUUUCAAAUCUACCUUUAAAUAACUAUUUAUUUUUUCAUAUAUGUCAUUUGUGAGACUUUGUUCUGCUUUCAAAUGUCAGUCAUAAGCCUUUGUUUUGUUUUAAAACCACAUUUGUGGGUCUCAAUUUCGAGCGUAGAAGUUCUUCAUGUUCUUGGUUUUUUGUAAUUAGUUGUUCCAAGCCUAGACUUGUCAUGAUUUGAUUCAAAAGUGUUAUUCAGUUUUUGUAAUCUACCAACUUGAGUUUCACCUAGUCAUUUUACUCGGCCACUUCACAAACUUAAGUAGGUGGUUACUUUACCACCUUAAAUUUGAGGGAGGGAGUGUUAAGAUAUGAUUUAUAUGUCUUGUCGCGACGGAUCGCCACGCGGAGCGGCCGAUCUUCUCGUUUAUUUAAUUUCAAUAAAUAAAUAAUUUUAAAGUCGUCACCAACCAUAUUAUGUUGUGAUUGGUCACCUAAAGAAAAAAAAAAAGAUUUAAAUUUGAGAGUAAGUUGUGUAUAGGGAAAGUGUUAACACCCUACCACACUCAUAAAAUGGUUAUCCAAUUUUAUCUUUUAAACUAAAUAAAAGGUUUACAAAACAAUACUUUUCUCCUAUUUAAAUUGGAAAAUAAAUAAUAAUUAUAGGAACAAAACAUUGUGAAAUUUGAGAAAUACUUUAAAAUAAAUAAGGUAAUACGAUUAGAUAAAAUAAAUAGAGAGAUAAUAUAAGCAAACAAAUAAAUAAAGGCAAAAUAGAGCGGGAUGCAAAAAUAUGCAAAAUACCAAGAUGAAAAAUAAUUAAUUAAUCCAGUCCAGGUAAUUAACGCAGGAUGUCAGGCUAAUUAAUUAAUGCAGAAUGCAAAUGCAGUAUGCCAAAUGAAUAAUUAUUAAGACAUGAUGUCAAAUGUGUGCUAAAUAAUUAAUGAUGUCAAAUGGGUGCUAAAUAAUUAAUGAUGUCAUGAUGCUAAUUAAUUAAUCCAGAAUGCAAAUAAUUCGAAUGAAUAAUUAACACAGGUCAAAUGAGUGCUAAAUAAUUACAUUAUGCUAAUUAAUUAAUGCAAAGUAUUAGCACAUGAGGCCAAAUAGAUACAAAUAAUUAACGAUGCCAUGAUGCUAAUGAAAUAAUGCAAUAUGCAAAUAAUUGGAAUUAAUAAUUAACACUGGAGAACAAAUGGGCGCCAAAUAAUUACACGAUGCUAAUUAAGUAAUAGGUCAAAUAAGUGUCAAAUAAUUAACGCAAAAUGCAUAUGCUAAUUAAUUAAUGCAUAUAUAAAUAAUUCAAUUAACACAGACAAAUUAAUAAUUAACACAGGAAAAUUAAUAAUUAUUAACCCACUAGUUCAAAUGAGUGUCAAAUAAUUAAGGCACAAUGUCAUGCUAAUUAAUUAAUGCAAGAUGUAAAUAAUUCAAUUAACACACGCAAAUGAAUAAUUAUUAACACAGGCAAAUGAGAGCAAAUAGGUGUCAAAUACUUAAUGCAUGAGGUUAAUUAAUUAAUGUUGUAUGCAAAUAAUUCAAAUAGACAAUUAACACAAAUGUCAAAUGAGUGCCAAAUAAUUUAUGAACCAUGAAUUAAAAAAAAACACAAUAAAUUUCACGUCUCCGUAAUUAAAUUGACCUAAAUUUAAAAGAAAAUCUUACAUAUCAAAUAGACUUGACUUAAAUUCAAUAAAAUUGAAAUCACCAUUGAUUCGGAGAAAAGGCUUCUUUCUCGAUCCUCUUAAAUUUUUCCAAACCACAAGCAGAUGAGAAGAUUUUUUUUUACAGUAAAAGUGUACUUUUUCUCUAAAAAUCUCCACGCUCAUAUUCAAUUCUCCCUUCUCCAAGCAAAUGCAUGUUAACUAAUCAUUAUGUUUUAACUAAUCAAAAUUUUAUUCAAAUGAUCUGUAUCCCCUACCUCAAAAGAAAGUUAACUAAUAAAACUAUAACCAUUAAAAUAAAUUUUAGUUCACCAGAGUUUUGCUAUAACAACAUUCUAAAAUGAUUUCCUCAUAUGUACAUUCAAUAAUCAAGUUUUACUCAAAAGUGCAAUGAAUCAAAUAAAUUCAUAGGACACCAAUUAAUUAAAACUUCGAUCAUUUAACACCAUGUGAAAUUAAAGCAUGUUUGCAUGGUUGACAAUAAAGCAAUGCCAAACACAUAUGCAUUGGAAAAAAAAAAAGUAAUACCUGAAAAAAUAGUAAACAUAGAUCAAUUCAAUGCAUUAACUUUCAUAAUUUAAUUUGAUGACAUAUUAUAUUGUUCAAAGCUUGCAUACCUUUAAAUAUUGAGAGCAAAUUUAUUUUGAACAUAGAAAAAGAGUUCAUACAUUUCUAGAAGCAAAUAUUUUACUCAAUCAAAAAAAUGAUGUGAAUGACAUAUUUUGAAUCUGAAAACUUAUGACAUAUUUUGAAUCUGAAAACUUCAUUAACCAAAUUAUGGACAUUUCAUCAAACAAUUGGUGGGCAACACAAAACAAUAUUCAUUUACUUGGUGGCAGCUAGAAAACUAGAAAAAUUAAGUAAUAAAGAAAAAAAUUUGUGAAGAAUAUAUCUUAAAUGCAAUGUUGAGAAUUGAAUUUCAAGUUUAAUUGAAAAAAUCAGCAGGAGCAAGAACUCAAUUUUCUUAAAUUUCGACCAUGGGAUUUUGUGUCCAGAAACUACUUUGCAAUUUUAGCAAAUAGCCUAAAGCUUUACUCCAAAGAUAUAUAGAGCUUUACUCAAAUACCAUAAAACUAUCUUUUAUGGGAUGAAUUGCUCAAAGAAAAGUACAGAGAGUAAAGAUUAGAUUCAUAAAUACCUGAGAGACCGCCACUGACGAUGAAGGUAGGAGAUGAUCGGCGGUCUGGAGAGUGAGAGGGCAGUGAUUGAGAGAGGGCACGAUGAUGACAAACGAAGGAGGGUUUUGCUAUGAGUGAGAUGGUUGUGAAGAAAAUUAUAGAACGUUGCGAAGAAGCAUCAGACGAAGAAGCCUUCACUGUGGACAAAACUCUGCAAUAACCUUGAGCUAUCACCGAGCGGAGAAGCUUGGUGGAGGAGGGGAAUCAAUGACCCGUGUGAGACCACUGUAGGGACUUGACGACAUGCAGUGGAGAAGGGAAAUCAUGCGAUUGGAAGAGGAAGAAAAAGAAAGAAGGAUUUACUUCGUGAAAUUGGGGGAACUUGAAAACAAAUUUGAAGUUCCCCUCUUUUCUUUCGUUGUUUUCUUUUAAUUUAAAAUAAAUAUUUUAUUAUUAUUAUUUAUAUUUCAUGACACUUAAAAGUUGUCAAAGAUUUAUGACACAAAAAAAUUGUCAUAAAUUUUUCAAAUUCGAAAAUGUUCCGUCUUUUUCCACCAAAAACGCGGAUUUUGGCAUUUAUGACAAUUUUUUCUUUCUUCAUUCCAAUUUGAGAUGUAUUCAAAUGUCAUAAUAUGCGACUUUUGUUGUAGUGAUGUCCUCUCUUGAAAAAAAUCUCCUCCUUCUCUUUUUAUAGGGCAAGGUUGAUCAUUUUAUUUUUAGAUCUGUAAGUGAAGUAGAGUGAAAACUAGCGGAGAGAAAAUGUGAGAAAGUGGGAGAGUAGGAGCGUGGUGACGAGGAAAACAAAAAAGUGAGGAUUGUUGAAAAAAAUAGGGAGAAAAAAAACUUUUUUAUUUUUAUUUUUUAAAAAAUGUUUUUUUCUUUUGUUUUUUUAGGACCUAAAUUUAAAAUAGGAAAUUUAAAUUUAAAUUUAAAUUCAAAUUCUUUUGUACAAAUAAAAAUAAACAUAAAUAAAUAAAUGAAAAUGAAAAUGCAAGAUAAAAUACGGUAUCUAUAACUUGCUCCCCUUUGUCUAUCCUGAAAAUAUUUAAUGGUGGACAAAGAAAAUAGAUGAGGUAUUUGGGCCAAUUUUUUUAUUUUUUAGAGAGAGAUAGAAAGAAAAAGAACUAUCAAAUGAAGGAUAUCAAUCUUAUCUCUAGAGCUAGAUAUGAUAAAUGAUGGAUCUGAUAGACAUGCUUGUGAACCUUUAAAGCGUGGAUUUAAAGAUGUAAUCCAAUGUCAAAGCAACCUACAUGAGACGCAGUUGCAAAGUCAGAAACAACUAUGCGAUUUGGAACUAAAAUUUGACAAUACAAAUAUCCAUUAUUUAGGUCAAGUUGACAAACUCCAAGUUGCGGUGCAAGAGUUUAUAACACAGAAUCAAACACUUAAAUCGCAAAAUAUGGGGUUCAAGGCACAAAAUCAAGUGAUCAUGGGGAUGAUAGAACAGUCUGAUAGGCGGAAUGAUGUGCAAUUCAGAUCAACAUUAAAAGGCCUUCAUGCAACAAUCUGUAGCAUCAUUCCAGUACCUAAAGUUCCUCCAGAAAUUGCAACACCCCUUACACAAAAUUACACUGCAGUACGCAGCGAGGCAGAAUCUUCUCGACCACCAUCGCAAGCCUAAAGGGGGAUUGCUUUAAAAUUUUGUAAAACUUCUUGUAUUAAUCGAGUAUUUAUGUAAAUUCCAUUUAUGAAACUUAUGUUUGUUUCAAAAUAUAGUACAAUUCUUUAUACAACUCUUUAACAUUUGGUCUUUCUCAUCGCAAGAGCUUUGCUCCCCGCAUUGAUAACACUUUAAUUUUAUCUUGCAUCUCAAUGAUAACUUCAGUCAAAUAAACUAUGCGAACUAAAGUUUCAUUUAUUAUUCAGGCGUUUAACUUGUUAAGGAACCUCACUUAUCAAAUAUUUCUAUAGUUUAUUAAGUGAGCAAGUUUUACCUCAAACCUCUCUGUAAUAAGUUUUUGUAAAUAAUCUUAUCAUUCAUUUUUAACAAUGCAGACAUAGCUAACCUCUAAAUUUGGGGGUGUGCGAGGUCCACGCUAAAGCUUUUGAAAUAUGUUUGAAAAUCCUGUGGCAUCGUUUGAAAAACAAGGCAUUUUAACAAAAGUUAAAACUCUGCCAAAAAUAUGAAAAAUUAGAAAAAAAUUGUAUUUAAUUGAAAUAACAACUUUUAUGUUGUCUCCUCUCGAUAAAAUAAGAAGCAUAGCUUCAAAAGUAAAAACCAGAGAGUUAAGUAAUAAGAGGCGAUGAGAGAUACAAUUGAGGAGAGAAACAUAUCCAUAGAGUACCUAUGAUUUUCCAUUGAAUGUCAAACCACAAAUAAAUAGUCGACUAAAAAGCAUUCUUUCGCGAAAUAAAAGGAGUCAAAAUUCUUCGAAAAUUUUAGCAACUUAUAAUUCUGAAGAUAAGAUUUACCUAUGGGGAAUGAACAAGAGUAUUUUGAGUAUUAAGCUUGUCGCAUUUUUUAACUUAGAAAUGAAGUACGCGAUGAAAGUAAACCCUAAAUAACGAAUAAAACUUGAUCGCGUAUUGAGAAGUUUAGAAGUGCAAGGAGGAGGGUGAAUCUACGAGUAGGAAUUGUGCUUCAAGACAAGUAUGAUAUGGAGCAAUGCUUAACAAGCAUUAUUCUAAAUUUUAGGGUGUGAUAACAUGUAGAAAUAAAAGUUAUUACAACCUCUUUUAUUAGAAUAAUGAGACCAAAAUAGAGAAGUACAUCAAAACGCGUAGUUUAUAUUUUUUUUUGCAAAGGUAUUGUAAUAAAUGUUGGGGUGGGGAUUUGAACCCGAGACCUCUUGUCCACAGGAACAUACAGGUGCCAGUUGUGCUAAGCUCAUGUUGGUCGCGUAGUUUAUAUUGAAAAUACAUAACCAAGCGAUAGAUUUUACAUAAGCUUUCACAUCUGUUUAACCAUGAUUACAAUGGCUUAUGGAGGAUUAAUAGGAGGAAGUGAAUUAGUGAAUUGCAAGGAAACUCACGUCGGUGCUAUGUGAUAAAGAUUAACAUUUUUAGGCAAGAAAACCAAAUCACAACAAGAAAAGUGAUUCACUAAGAGACAAGAAUAGUAGUUGGAGAUGAUGUGACUCGCGACAGAUACCAUGGGCGUGCGGCGCUGGUGUUUGUCGUUGACAUGAUUAGAAGAAUAGAAAUUUCUCAUUGAAAGUGCCUAUAAAAGAACUUCUUCUUCAUCAAAUAAAAUUGAUAUUGUAAAAGGCCUGAAUGAGCCAAAACCUAGGGAGAAAGGCGGAAAGGAAUAGUCUUUCCGCCAUCUGAAAGAGUAGUUUUCUUCUUCUUCUCUCGUCAUACUAUAAGUGAGAGCUUAGAGUCUAGGUGAUGAAGGUUCCAUUUCCUAUUCCCCUAACUUGUAUUCAUUCUCAUUCUUCUGAUUUCCCCUUUUGUAUUCUUCGUGUAAUAUUUAUAUUUUUCAUAUUGUACAAUGAUCAAAGGCCUACAUUCUUUAUAUAUAUUACAUGUUUAUACAUUUUCAAUCCAUCAUGUCUCUACUUUCCAUCAAUCAAUGUGUUAUUGAUAGUUUCGGUCGGUGAUAAGUUCUUGAAAGGAAGUUUUACUUAUCAGUCUUAUCGCAUUAAUUGAGUUAUUCUCAUAGCUUGACCAGCGUAAGUCGCCAACUACCUAAGAGGGUAAGUAGCAAGGACAUAGUUAGCGAGUGCAAAGAAGAGUUUUCUCUUCCUUUGCAAGAUAACUUUCAUCAUUUGUAUUCUGAAAGGUGAAGUGUGGGCACUAGGCGCCAAGAGGUCGUUGUCCUUAAUCACGAAGUUCUAUACAUCUCGUAAGUGAACUCUUCUAGAUAUAUCUCGUCAAAUCACACUUAGUCAUAUGGAUCCUGAAAGGUGACCAUGUGUGACGUUUAAUGACUCUGAGAGAAGCAUGCCUUAAUCAUAAGCUAGUUGAGUAAGUUACAUCACAUCAAGGUUAUCACACUACUUAAUUAUGUUAUAAUACAUAGACAUUCCUUCAUUUUUUCUCGCAUACAAGUUAGUUCACAUUUCCAUUUGCAUCCACCCCCAUUCCUUAACAGAAUCUCUAUGCAUAUGUAAGUAGUAUUAUUUCUAGCAUUAUUCUUUUAGAUGUUAAUUGUUUAUUCUUUUAUACCGUCUGAUUGAUAAAUAGACUCUAGAACGAAGUUUGAUAUUAAUUUUCCGUGUUUGACUUUGAAUCACCCAGAUAAAUCUAUUGUUUCGCUUAUACUUGGACACGCAGUAGAAAUACUUGUACUAAAAAAGGACUUAGUAGUUACGCGAUAAAGAGGUAUAUAGUGAGUACUUCGCAUACAGUUAUCAUGAUCAAUGACUUAUCACAUAGAAUUAAUUAUGCAUUUAGAUAACCUUGAGUUCGAAGGGAACUGAACACAUUUACACAUCACAUCACACUUCCCCAAACAACCAGUUACAAUACAAAAUUCAAUAGGAUGAAUGUUAUUAUAACACAAAAUUGAAUGAGAGUUAUCUAACAAUUGGUAACCUACGUAGGUUAUGGAUAUAUACAUUCAUAAUUUUCAUAAAUAUAACAAAACACCAAAAUAUUUUCGGCUCGUAUAACAAAAUCAAAAAGCCAUUGAAGUCGAUUAACUUUGUAAAAAUACUUUAGGUUUGCCAUUCAUUUCCAUCUUUUUUCUUCUGCAAUUUUUUUUACCUUUUCAUCGUUUUUUUCUUCUUCUUCUGCAAUUUUUUUUAAUUAUUAUUUAGUUCAAGAUCAUGUACCAAAUAUGAAAUAUCUUUUUUUUUUUUCAAACGGUUACUUAGUUGUUCAAGAUUGUGUGUCAAAUACAAAAAAUCAUUGGGAUAUUGAGUAGCCAAAUCUAAACAAUCGUGUACAAAAAUAGUCAAAUCUAAACAAUUGUGUAUCAAAGAAUCUUGAAAAAAAUCAUUUAGAUUUAGCUACAUAAAUUUGAACGAUAAAAAAUCUAAACGAUUGUGUACCAAAUAAUCUUGAAAAAAAAAUCGUUUAUAUUUGAAUAGUCAAAUAUAAACAAUUAUGUAGCAAAGAAUAACGAAAUCUAAAGGAUCAUUUGCCAAAAAUAUUAUGCGCGUUGAGUGCUAAUUAAUCAUAUGGAAUUUUUGGUAUUUUUCAUUGUGGGUCUGUGAGUUUUUUCCGUUUUUGAAAUUGUUCUAUACCGUAUAAAUAUUUUAUCGGUUUGUAAUAUUUUUUAAAAGCCAAUACAAUAAUCUCUAUUCCUAAAAUUGUGUUGUAUGGCAACAUUUUAAAGAAAAUCAAAGAUAAGAAAGUAUAUUAUUGAUAAACUCACUUAAUUGAAUCAAAAUUUCGCAAUAUGUACAACAUCUUCAGUAUUGUGUAUUACCUACUUAAAUUAUUUAAGGUUUGAUCGUCGUAAAUAUAGGCAACCAACUCAAAUUUCAUUUUUUUAAAGUUUUAAAUGGGCUGAAAUUUGAUUGGGCUUCCAUGGCCCAAUAAACAUUUUUUAGUAGUUUAGUAGAAUAAAUCUUGGGGUUGGCCCAUACUUGACAGGAUUCAACACCAACUACUACUUGUCGAACCCAAUGGCCAUGCCUUUAUUAUCAAAUCAAAUGUUGGUGAAACAGAUCAAACAUCUUUCUUUUUCCUUUUCUUUUUCUUUUAUUCAGAAAAAAUAUUUGUUUUUCAUUACUUUUUACAAUUAAGAUUAAGUUCACACAAUUAACACAAAAAAGUAAGAAUGAAAAAACAAAUGUAAAACUAUCAUAGAGUCUGAGUUACGGGAUUGAGAUUCUAUUUAUACCUAUCAACCUUAAAAAGUUCAAUUAUUUAACCCUCUGAUCUAAUUUUGUCUUGAGACUUUUCUUUUCAUUAAAUUCAUAGUUAGAAAUGUCUGCACCUUCAAUUCAUAUGUCGUUUUAUAUGAGUAAAUUUGAGUGUUGGAGUUUCAAAAAUCAUAAACAAAAGAAAUUAGAACAUAAACGUGGGAAUGAGAAAGACAACAUGUAUGGUUCACUAAUGUAAUGUGUCUUUGUAGAUUUCAUUACAUAAGUAAAUUUAAACACAACUCCACGUUAAUGUCGUGACGUUUUUUCGAAACAAACUUGUAUUGAACCUUUAAAACCAUAUACCUCCAUUUUCCCAAUAUCACUGCAUGUUUUCACCACAGAUAAGAGCUAAUUCAUUUUUCCAAAUCUUAACCAAACUUCAUGACUUUUCUUGAUUAGAAUUGAGGACAGGUUUUCCUUUUCAAACAUUAGAUGAUUAGACCCCACAUACCUAACAAUGUUAGAAAAUAAAAAGUAACAUAUCCAUCUCAUUAGGCUCCACACAUGUUAGAAGAGACCAAUGUUUCAUAUCUUAACCAAAUUGGAUAUUUCUCAUUUUUUCUUUCGAACAUAGAUCAUAAGCCAACUGCCAUAUAUGCAUAGAGUUUAUAUGGUUUAGUUUUCUCACACUCUGAUCCCUAUAGCUCCCUCAUCUUUGUUUCUUUUUCUUUUUUGAAUAUGAUAACAUAUAGUAAGAGAGGGGAAAAAUAAAAGAGUUGUUGGGUUUGAGAAAUGGGUUGUAAAGAAAAAGAAUAAUGAUGGGGAAAGAGAUUAUUAGAGUGUGUGUGUGUAAGAGAUGGGUGAUUGGGAAAACUGAUAAAAGACCCCAUCAUGUCCACAUGUUUCCAUCUCAAUCCCUUUGUCCUCUUAAACAUAGAAAGUGAUGCUCAUGUGCCUUCCAACCAACAUAUAUAUAUAUAUAUAAUACAUAUCUCGUUUUAUACAUAUAUCUUCCAUUUCUCCUCGUAGUUUCCCUUAAUCCCAGCAUAAUCCCCUUUCUAAUUCCCCUUUAAUCAUUCACUUUUUUUCUAUAUAUUUUAUUAACCAUUUCAUUAAAAGAUAUAUAUAAAUUAAAUUUCUUUGAUGUAAUAUAUAAUAAAUUAUAUGAUAACAAUAGUUCAGAUAUUAUACCUAAUAGUUAGUUCAUAACUACAACUUUAUUUUUAAAGGUUUUAAAAUAUAUUAUCAAACACACUUGAACAAUAGUUUAAAUUAAAAUUUUAUUUUUAAAUUGGCCACAAAAAUAUUUUGAAAAAUACAAUUUUAUUUUCACUAAAUCUAGUGUUAUACUUAAAUUUGGAUGAUUAAUUAACCAAACAUACUUUUAAUUUCUUAAUUUUUUUUUUCAUCUCUAUUGAAAGGGAAAACAGGAUGUCCUAAAGAAAGAAGCUUUCUAAAUUAGAACUGUGUUAAAAGGGGGGAAAAAGAAUGGAAUAACAUAAUCUGUUUUGUAUAAUUUGACACAAAAGUUUGAAAAAAAAAAAAAAAGAAAUUGUAAACAUAAAAAAUAUAUAAAAAAUAUAGCUGAUUUUCUUAAAAUAUAAAUAAUAUAUUUACUUUUUAGAAGAAAAAAAAAUUGUGGCUUUUUUCUUCUUGUCCAGUUAAGAAUGAGUGGCCAUGUCUGUCUCCCAUUUCCUUCACAAUAAGCAAUAAAGUUAACAUGUAUAAUUCAAAAGAAAUAACUGUGUUGUGUUGCUGUUUAUCACUUUUUGUUUUGUAAUUUGCAAAGGAGGGCUUUGAUGACUUUUUUUCUUUUUUGUUGCAAAGAUAAAGAAAUUGUAUAUAUAUAACUAAUGACACUUUGAUUGUGUAACUAAUUGUGCUUUUGGGGACUCCUAUUUGGUGGAAUGGAAAAUGAUUGGUGGAAAUGCAUAAGUUAGAGAGAAGAAAGAAUCAUAUAGACACAAUUAAAGUGGGCUUCUCUUUAUGAAUUCCUCAAUUGAUUAUAGACAAAGCAAUGGACCAAAAUCCAAAGAGAUCCAACACAUGGAAUAUAUUACACAUUAUUAUAGGUUAAUUAGUGUGUGGUUUAAGAGUUUUUUUUCUGUUCUUUUUUUUAAUUAGGGAAGUACUAUAUUAGAUUUGUAUAUAAUAUAUUGGUCUUGUUUAAUUGUCUGGUCAAACCUUCCAUUCAAAAAAUAUAUGUUCCGAGAGUUUUGAGCUUAGGAAUUGUCUAUAAAACCUUAGCAUUUAUAUAUUGUGAUUAAAAAUUUUGUUCUCUCGAUUAUGGGUUUACGUCGUUCCAACCGUCAAUGAGGCUUCGUUAGGUUGUUGGUGAGAUAAGAAAAUUCACUUGAAUAGUAAUUGGGAACUCGAGGUGAUUUUUUUGGUGCUUUGAGAGGAGCUCACUCAAAGUUUGGAAAAACCUUGUUUCGAGAUGAGGGGAUCUUAUUGAUCUUAUAUUUAAGGAGAGCAUAUAAGUACGUAUAUUAUUGUAGUGAGGGAAUCUUACCCACAGAAUGAGCCUAAAUACGUCUCAUUGAGGAGAUAUACGAAUCUCAUCCAAAGUUUGGAGAAGUUUUCAUCAUGGAUUUGGAAAAAUCUAAAACUUAAAAAAAGUCUAGGUUGAAAUUAUUUUAUAAUUGCUAAACCCUUUCUAUAUUUAUAGGGAGCCUAAAAUGCAUUAUUUUAUAAUUGUUAAAGUCUUCCUUUAUUGAAAUUUUUUCCACUAGAAAAUAACCCUAAAAACAAUUGACUUACCAAUCUCUAUAUCUCAUUAUAUAUAUAUAUGUUGGUAUUGUUUUUAUAUUAAUUAAGUUGUUCUAUUCCCAUCCAUUUUUUCAGUGUGCAAUAUCCUAUUUGACAUUUGUAUUUUGUGUUAGAUUCAUUUUAUUUUUUUAUUAAUAAUUCUUUGAUAAUAGUAAAUGAUAAUAAUUAGAGUAGUUAUCUGCCAAAAUUAAGAUAAUAUGAUUAAAAAAGUUCAAAGAUUCAAAGAAACAUGAAGUGCUGUCGAGACUACAAAUAUAUAUAUAAAGUUCAACACUAUAAAUAUAUAUAUAAAGUUUAACACCGUAUCAUCUAAAAAUAUUUGAAUUUAUAAUGUUGGGAAUCCUAACCUUAAAAAUCUUAUGGAUCCCAAAUAAUAGUUGAUAAGAUAUAUUUUAAUAGUUGAGAUUUGGUUUUUUUUUUUUUUUAAAUUUUGAGAAAGUCAUAUCAUCCUAAAUAUAUACUCCAUAUUCUGGAUGAACUAAAUUUAUCAAGUAAAUUAGUAGUUUUAGUAUUUUUUUUUUUUUUUUUUAUGAUGAGAUUUAAAUGACAUUCUUGUUAUAAUUAUACACGGAUUCUAAUUACAUUAAUUAUUUUUAGUUUUUUUUUUUAAUAAUUGAAUGCAAGAAAGAGGGUUUUUUUUUUUCCUUUUUUUUAAUCAUGCAUUCAAUUAAUAGUUAUAAGCAUGGACCACCAUACUUCCAAUAAUUUCUGCUUUAACCACUGUCAUAUUAAUGAUCAUUCAUAAAUAAUUUACUUUGCGAUAUACGAGAUAAUUACAUAAAAGUUAAAUCUUCAUUUAUCAGUCUCUAAUCUUUUAUACACACUCCCCUUUUUUUUUCUUUUCUUAUAAAUCUAUUUAUAUGUAAAAGUCGAAUAAAGUCGAGAUUUAAACUAUUAUUUAGUUGUUGUAAUAUAAUUAUUGUAGAGAUUUGGAAAACUAAACCUCUUGUUUUUAAGUGAAUUAGAGAUUUAUCAAUUACAGUAAGUUAAGCUCUAUCUCUUUUAUAAAGUAUUAUUUGAUUGGUAUGCAUAUACACACAUACGCCUUGGAAUAAAAAAAUAGUUUGUUGUUAAGUUUGAUAUUAUAUAUGUCCUGUCCUUAAUUAUUAAAUUUAUAUGGAGCUGAAAGGGAGGAAGCUUCUUGAUGAUAUGGUGGAAGAUCUUUCCUACUUGGGUUCAUGAAAUCUAAAUCUUGACCAAUCAAAAUUCCUCUCAAAUAAUUUGUUUAUAUUAUCGUACAAAACAUAUGAAAAAUAAAUUAAAUUAGAAAAAAGAAUGGGAUCGAAUUUUCUUUUCAACACUUUUUUUUUAUUUGUCGACCAACUUUUUAAAAUCUCAUAAAUAAUAUUUUUCUUUCAUUUAAACAUGUUACACAUAAAGUUUUCAUGCAUGCUUCAAAUAAGUCUUUUAUUUUAUUUAUUUAUAUUUGCUAUAAGAAUUGAAUUCAUUGUUUAAUUUUAAAAGAUCAAUAAUCUUCCACGUCGAUCCUCUUCUCCUUGUAGAUUAUGUUUGUAUAUUCAACCUUGGACUACAACGGACGCAUGCUCUGAUUUUAUCAGUUUCAUACAUGUGACAUAUCAAUAGGAAAGUAUCUAUUAUUACUUUACACAUUUGGAAUUGUACAAGGAUAUGAUCAUCAAUAAUUUUGUCAAUAAUGUUGGGAAGAAGGAAGUCAUCAACUAGAAAAACAUGUCAUUAGUGUCAUACUAAUUUGAAUUAUCGACCACAUUUAAUUUUCUUUGACUUUGCCUCACCAAAUAUUAACAUACGUCUAUGUAACUUUAUAAGAUUAUGAGAGAAUAGGAAUGAAUUGAGAUCACAUUCUCGAAUGAGAAAAAUAUUGAGAAUAUGAAAAAAUGGUUAAGAAAUCUUUGAUAAGAAUUGAAAGUUACUAUUAUUUAUAUCAAGAAUGUACAUAUAUUUUAAUUGAGGAAGCAAUCCUAAAUGAUUAAAACGGUUUUUGAUUGUAACUAUGUAUGGAAACACAAAUGGAGUGUUUUCUCCCCAAAUUUAAAUAAAGGCACUGCUCGUUUCUGUGUUUGGACACGUGAUUAUAUUGAAAUUUUUUUUAAAACACUGUUUAGUUUUCAUCAAUAGUUUUGUUUAAAAAAACAAUAAUUUAAUGUACUAUAUUAAAAGUAAUGAUCGGAAAAGAUAUAUAUUAUUGGAAAGUAAAAUAAGGCUUAAAAGGUUGAUCAUAAUUAAUAUUGAGGUUCUGCCUAAAAAAUAAUGAAAAGUAAUCAAAAUUGUUAUAAUUAAUUUGAUUGUUACUUAACUAAACUAUACUUAACCAUUUUAGAUCUAUAUUGCAAAGGUGAAUGUGAGAGCAAAUUUUUAAAGAAGAGAUAGAAAAAUAAUUAUAAGAUUGUGUUUGAUCAAGGUUGCUAUUGAAAAACUAUGUUUCUUUAUUGAAAAUUAAAGUACCACCAUAUAUAUGUUAAAUAAAGAUUUUACUUCAAAUGAAUUGAAGUGAAAUGGUUGAAGAGGAUCUCAAAUUUGUGUGAAAAUAGAGCAUUGAUAGAGGUGAGGGAGAUUUUUAGGAGCAACCUAAGUAAAAGUUAGGAGUUGGCUAUUCACAAUCGACCCAAUGUUAGAUGUGUCAAACUUAAAAGAACUAAGUUAUAAAUGUUGAACUAUUUUCUUUAGUGAAGUUUAAACUUCUUUCCACGAGACACAUCUAGAAAUUUAGGUAACGUUGCACGAAACUGAAGUUACCAAUUCUUGUGCAUUUUCGUAUUGUUUAUUUGUUGUGCUAAAUUUUAGUGUUUCUUGUUGAAACAUUACAUUUGGCAGGUAUUCAGUUGUUUGAUAUUCACAUGCAUUUUUUAAAAUAAUAAAAAGAUUAGGAACAUUUAAGUUUAUGAAAUGAUGUGAAUGAUAAAAUUUAGAUGAAAAUUUCAUAGAUAAAGUUUUAAAGAGGUUAAAUAAGGAUUCAUCUCAUCUUAGUACUAAUUAGAGAAAAAUAUACAAGAACUAGAUCAUUCUCCAUUUAAAUACAUCAUUAGAAUUUCAUAAAUGAUAAAUAUAUAGAAUUUGGAUUUUUUUUUAAUAAUCUUUCUCUAUUCUAUAGUUGUUUCAUCUCUAACUUCUAAUUUGAGAGUCAUUUUUUAAAAAUAAGUGAAACUUUCUGAAUGAGAUUGUGACGUUAUUGAUAAAUAGAAAAUGAUCGAAACUUACAGAAUCUCAAAAAAGUAAAUCAUAGAUAAGGAUCCAAGUAAACUAUUUGGGUAAAAGCAAAAAUUGUGUAAUUGUGUAAUUGUGUGUUGAAAAUUUCCCACAACAUGCAUGUACAAAUUUUAUUUGCUUAAAAAAGGCUUCAAUAACUUUAAAGGAAAGAUGAAAUUUGCAAGUGCUUUUGGGUGGUUUGAUAAAGUUAAGUUGUGAUCGUGUCAAAAUAGUCAUAUAUCAAAAUGCAGAGGAAGAAAAAGAUGGUGGAAGGGACUGGAAUAUGAUGUAGAUAUAUAUAAUAGAGUGAAUCUAUGAUAAAAUAUUGCAUUAAUUUAAUGGAUUCUUUUUUUCUUUUGAAUAAGUCCAAUUGAGUUUUUAAAUUGAAUUAGACUGAUUGAAAAUGAUAGAGCAUUUAGAAAAUGACAAUUCAUAUAAAAUAAUUAUUUUAAUAUUAUAUUAUAUACUUUAUUGUUCACAUUCAAUUAUCAAAACAUGCAUUGGGAUUAUAGGGAAUAUUUAUUUUUCGAAAAAAUAUAUAAUAAAAUAAUGCUAAAUCUUUUUUAUAUAUUUAAUUUAUAAAUAUUUUUAACAACUUUUACGAUUUAAAGAAUUGCAAACAAUUAUUCAAACAGGUAGAAAGAAUUCUAGAUAUUAAAAGUUUAGGUCACGUUACAAAAUUCAACAUUAAAUUACAUAUUCAUUUUUUAAAUUUUUAAAUAAUCGUAUAUCUAAUAUUUAAAAGAUUUCUUUUUUAAAUAGUAGAUUUUACAAAAUAUUUACGAUCUAUAACAAAUUUUAUCAUCGAUCGUCGUUGAUAUGUUAUAAUUAUAUAAAACUAUCAAAAUUUUGUUGAUAGAUAUUUUAAUUUAUUUUUAUUUAAAAAAUGUGAACCUUUGACAAUAAGUUUAUCAUUUCAUUGUUAUGUUAAUUGUUGACACAACAUUUUAAAUUUAAAAUAAUAAUUAAAAGAGAAAAGAAGAAAUGAAGAUGGAGGAUAGAUAAGAGAGAUAAAAUACAAUAUUUUAAUUAUUAUUUUUUAAUACAAAAAUGCAAUAUCAAUAGUUAAAAUAGAAUUAAUUUCAAAAUCUAAUAAUUGAAACUAAAAGACUAAAGAAAAGAUUACGUGGGUGUUUAUCAUUUGGACUAGAAAGUUGAUGGAUUCCAAAACUAAAAACUUUAAUUUCAUACAUUGUUGAAUAUACGAUAUAACUCUAGUUGUUUAUAAUCAAAGUUGGUCAUUUUGUAAAAUAACAUUUCUUAUGAGAGGUAAAUGGUGUAAAGUAUGAUUAAAACAAAAUUUUAGAAUUGCAACUUUAUUGUUCAUUUUCGUAAUGUGUGUGUAUAUAUAAAAGAGGAGUAAAUUAAGUUGGUUGGUUUGUAUUAUAUGAUGUGGGAUGAUGUAAGAAUAUAGAAAAGAAGAAAUGAUAAAAGGUAAAGAAAAUAGAAAAAAGAGGAAGCACACGUGCAGUGCAGGGUGUGACAGGAGUGAAGAAAGAGAGAGAAAGAGAGAGAGAGCAUUGGAAAGUGUUAAAUACAAAAGAAAAUUUAGAAUAAAACCAUAAGCAUAUAUAAUAUAUAUAUAUAUGAAUAAUGAAUUUGAUGUUGAUGUUGAUGUUGAUGUUGAUGUACACAUAUCGAAUAUUGCUGAAGAUUUUUCAGAUACACACGUGUGCUUCAGACCUCGUGUCUCUUACCUCACCACCUUUGACUACUACACACAAAUAUAUAUAUUUCUUAUAAUACCAUGUAUUUGAGAACUACAUAUCGUUUUACAAUAAAGUGUACACUUCUUAUUUUACGUCCAAAAAUCUUCGUUUAAGGUAUGUAUAUAUUAUUAUAAUCUCAAUUUUGGAUUUCUGUAUGAUUUAUUGAUUUGGUUUAAGGUUGCUUUAUUAUUAUACAUUUACUCCUAUCUUAAAUAUAUCAUAUUUUGUAAAUUUAUACAUAAAAGAUGUACUGUUUCACCAAGCAUAAGAAAUGUGUGUUUGAUUUUAAAUUAUGUUAUCCUUAAUUACUUUAUCUUAGUCCAUUUGGGAUGUUCUAGUACUGUUGAACAAAAUAUGUGAGAUUAGACUAUAAAUCAAUAUCUUGUUGAUUAGCAAGGUAAGAAAGUUUCAUUUUAUAAUAUUACACAAAAGCAUAUCUCUAGGACUAGGGAGUAAUAGUUGUCGACAAUAGGAGGUUGCAUGUACAUGUGUGAAGCUAUAGGAAGGGUUCGUUAAAGGAUGAAUAUCGUUUUUCAGGAGAUUAAAUGUCCAAAUAUAUAGGUUACUUUAUCUAUCUCGUAAUUGACUUUGAUUUUAUUUGAAGGUUGCAAAUAAGAUGAAUCAUGAAUUUAAACUAAUGAAAACUAAGAAACAAAGAUUAAGAAAAAAAAAAAUCAAUUUCAAUAUUAAAAAAAUAUAUAUUCCAGAGUGUUGAUUCCAAUGUCCAAUUCAUUUUGUCAUAUCUAUGCUUUACAUACCCUUGUGUUCAAAUGUUGUUUUUCAAUCUAGAAACUAAAUUUCAAUUUUUCUCAUGUAAUUUUAAUUGAUCCCUACCCUCUUAAAACUAAGUUUAUAAACUUAACAGUAAUUCAAGACCUUUGUCUUUAGAGGUUGAGGUUGAAGUUGAAGGUUUAAUGCCACCAAUAAUAAACUAAAAUAUAACUAUUUAAAUUAGUAAUUUAUUAUAUAGUAGUUGAUAAUGAGUGUAGUAAUUCAUCUCUUAUAUUGAUGGUGAGGUUGUUUGACUUUUAUUUAAUAUAUAAGGGUUCUCAACAUGUUCAUUUCAGGAUAGUUUGGGUUCACUAUUAUUGAUUGGAUCACAAUUCUAUUUUAUUUGAUCACAUUCCUGUUUGAUCUUUGUGGAAUUUUAUACUAUGUUUGAUAAUAUGACGUUCCAUGGAUCUCAACAUGAAAAAAUUUCUACAUUGAAAAAAUAAAAGGACCUCACAAUUUUUAUAAGAUAUUACGAGGCUACGAGCUACUUCCGUUGUUGCCAAUUGAUUUUGAGAUGAAAUUACCUCAUAUUAUCUAAUUUGGUAUCAAUUUCAAAAUAUGUCAAACAAGAAUGCGUUUUAAAAAAAAAAUCCAAUUAAGGAGGGUAAACCCAAAAGAAGCAACAUCUUAAGGAGAUAUGCUCAUAAUCCACAAUUUGAAAAAAUCAAACGACAUCCCACUUGUUAUAAGAUAAAUGAGUACUCAUGUCACCAAUUUAUUUUGAUGAGAUAAAGACCUUGUACUGUGAUCUAAUAAAAUUAUCAAUCAAUGGUUCGUUGAAGAUCAUCAGUAACCCUUUGAUUUGCACCUCGAAAUGGAUGAUCGAUCUCCACCACUCCUUUUGCUAUCUGCCCUCUAUUUUACAACCAAAACCCUUUCCAAAGGUGUCCAAAGUUUGAUAUUCAAAACCCUAUAUUUUUAUAAUUGGAAAUCAUGAUGCAUGGCAUCACGAGGUUAUCCAUGGUCGUGGGUCUUCAACAAUUAAACUUUAUACUACCACGGUGUUAUCUAAAAAUGAGCUUUCAGUUUACACAACAUUGUGCAAUGCUGAGAGGAGCAAUGCAAAACGCCCCCUUCUUCAAUAAAUCUACCUUAUUUUCUCCUCUUAUUUGUAGAAAUAUCCCAUAAAUGCUUCUAUUGAGCACAACCGAUCAUUAUAUUUUUACUAUGUGCAACUCUAAAACUCCCUAUUUUGCUUAAUUAUUGAAAAUCACUUGCAUACAACAUCAAAUCUAAAUUGAAGGCAGAUAAAGCACUUUUUAAAUGCUUUCCGAAUUGUCAUAACAACACACAAUAAAUGAUGUCAAAAGACUGAUGAUAGAUUACUAUUCAAAAGUUAUUUAGAAAAUGUUAAUCAAUCAUGUUUUUCAAGGAGGAACUCGUGAUACAAAAAUAAGUUAUUAUGCCAUAUAAAUGUCACGUCCCGACUCAAAAGUUAUUUUAUGCAACCUAGUGGAGGUGUGUUGCCUAAAUACUCAACAAGUAUCUCCCUGCAAGAUAGCACGUGGAACGCCUAUUAAGCAUAACAAUUUAAAAGUUCAAAUAAAAAAAAAUUGACUUUGAUAAGUACAAUGCAAUAUAAUAACUUAAACAACCAACUUAACUCACUUAACUUAGUUUUACUCAAGCUCUUUAACUACUAAGCAAUAAGCACCAAACAAUGUAGCGAACUAAACACAACUUUUUCUCUUUGUUAACUUAGCAAUUUACACCAAAUACAAAGAAAAACUCAUGCUUUCUUUCUAGCAAGACUUAAAUAAGAAAUCAUAAACACCUUCACAGUCUUCAGCCUUGAACAAUCGUUUAGCUCUUCAGACCGAUCACUUGCCUUUUAACCCAAUCGCUUCGCUACCUACACGAUCACUUAGCUCUGAUUGCUUACCUUUCAACCCGAUUGCUUAGCUCUCUAAAUUAAAUGAUUGCUCUUUCAACUUGAUCGCUUAACCUCCUUAAAUGAUCGCUUAGCUUCUUACAACCUGGAGAACGGAAACUUAAAAUGUAAGUCAAAGACUUAGUGAGUGAGAGUUUAGAAAUACCUUUUGGGGAAUGCAAUUCAAUCAAAUAAAUCACUUUUCGUUUUCAUAAACACAGGCUCACAACACCUUAUUUUAUAAAAUCAUAGAAAUCACGCAUUAGCUUCCUCUUAUUCCUUUCCACCAAGAACAUGAAUAAUGUCAAGACUUAGGAUUGACUCUCAUCAAUAUUUUGCGUUUAAACAACUGUGAUGUUCACUCCAUCCAUAGCAUCCGAGAAUUUCCUUGAUUCAUUUAUUGUUGCACAAGGUAUCCACACGACACCUUUACACAUUAUGUGUACACCACAUAGCAGUUGCUCACUUAAUAGGAAUUGGACUAAUGGCUUAUUCGUACACAAACGUCACAAUCAUCACAUAGAAAGCAAUCGUUUUCUCUAUUCAAAUAAAACAACAACAACAUCAUCAAUAACAACAAUGCAUAGAUAUACAAAACGCAUUAUGCAUAAGUACAAGACGCGUUAUGCAUAAGUACAAAACUCAGAAAGAAUGCUAGCAUUUCCUCAGCAAGCAAAAGUACAAAACUCAGAAAGAAUGCUAGCAUUUCCUCAGCAAGCAACUAAACUCUUAGUAAAAAUUCUCAAAAUAACACCUUCUUUAAUCCUUCUCAAUUUCAUUUAUACUAAAAUUUUUAGUCUGCUUAGUCAUCACUUAAAGUCUCUGUUAGCUUGUCAUGUCCUACUUACACUUUACACAUAUUGGCUUACAACUUAUCAGACCAUGCAAAUAACUUAAGCUCAACAUGUAGCCAACUGUCAACUAAACAUUUCUAAACAUUUUCCUUGAAAUGUUAAACUUUUCUUCUCAAAAUGCUCAACUCUUUAUCAUCGGACUUUUCCCUAGCAAAACAACAUCAAAACGUCUGCUUCCUCCUACACGAUGAUUCAGCCUCUUAAACGAUCGUCUAACUUUUCACACAAUUGUUUAUCUUUCUUACGCGGUCAUUUUAAAAAAAUACAUUUUCAAAACCUUCUAUUCAAGCUUGGGUCUUACAAUAAAUUGAAUUAAAGUGUGUAACUUGUGGUAUAAGAUUCCUUGAUAGAUUUUUUUAUCUAAAUUUUGUAAAUGUUUUUUUUUCAUUUGUAUUCAUUUUCUUGCUUUAAACUUUGGCAUGUUCAUGUAACAAGUUAAAUUUUAAAGCAAAUAUUUGGAUUAACUAGAAAAAUAAAACUUUUCAUAAGAAUAUAAUCUCUUUUAAAAACCCCCUCUACAUGCUUUUUAUUACAAGGUUUUUUGAUACACAAAUUUGUAUAGUUUUCUUCGUCAUAUUAAAAGUAUUUAUAGUAAUUAACGGACAUUUUUAAAUAUAGCCAAAAGAACCAAAAUAUUUAUAAAAUAUAAAAAACUUCAAAUUCUAUCGACGAUAAACAAUGAUUAUUGAAAAUAAUAGAUUUCAAUCAAUGUCUAUCAAUUACAUUGAUAGAAACUUAUCGAAGUCUAAUAUUAGAGACUAUCUGUGUUUAUCAUGGAUAAAAUAUAAAAUUUUACUAUAUUUUGUAAAUAUUUUCAACAAAAUUUUGUACAAUAGGACAAUUAUAGAAAAUAGCACAAUUUAAGAAAUAAACUAAAAAUAUAACACAAUAUUUGCAAAAAUAGCAAAUGUUGACCAAUUAUCUGGUAAUUUUUUUUAAAACGUUAAAUAUGCCUUCAGUGUGUCUAUCAUUGGUAGUCGAAAUCAAUGAUAGCAACUAGUAGCACAUUUUUCAUAUUGAAAUAUUUUUCAGUGAUAGCAACCUAUGAAACCUAUUAAUUGCUAUCACCGAUAUAAUAGCUUUCAAUUUGAGAAACUCAAGAAGAAGCACUCAUAAUAGUAGAAAAUAAAAUGUUAUCUUGAUAAUAGGCUACCGAUCUAUAUUUAAUGGUAGCUUUCAAUUCGAGUAAAUCAUAAAUAAACACUUGUAAUUACGUAAAAAGCACUAGUAAUGGUAAAAAAAACUAGAAAGUCUUCCAACUUAUCGAUUCUUUAAGCCCCGGUGCAUCUUGGUAUUUUUUUCAAAUCUUCGCAAAUCUUAUAUAUUUUUUAUUUUUUUAAAAAAAAUUGACAAAUAUUAUAUCCAAUUCUUACAUUUCAUCCAAAGUCAUUUCAUGAUUAAAAAAUUUUAAAAUUCAUCUAAUGAUUUUGCUUAAAAAGUAUAAAUAUUUUGAUAUAAUAUUUGGUAAAGAUGACCGACUUUGAAAAGAAAAUUGAAAAUAUAUUAGAUUUGUGAACAUUUGAAAAAAAAAUACUAAAAUCUCACUGCAAUCUCUAUUGAAAAAAUUACAUGAAUGACAAUCAAAGUGACUUGUUGCACUGUGACGAAUCGUGGUGCUAAUCGUAAUAUCGGUUGCUCCCCAAGGUUAACACAACACCCUACUUCUGACGGUCCCUACUUCAAAUGGACACUCGUCAGAAAUAAGAAUAUAAACAAUAACAGAACUUUAGUGGAGAUGGAGAGGUUUUUAGUGAAGUGAAUAAAGAAUGGAAUGAGUGAAUAAUUCGGUUAAAGGGAUGUAUUUAUAGAAGAGUCCCACCAACUGCCAUCUGAAAAUGCGAGUGAAGGUAAGGUGCAGAGGAAAAGUCGACUUACAUCCUUAGUCACACAAGCGUGAUUAUCCAAGCUCACUCGCCUGUUCGUCCAAUCGGCGUGUGUGGUGACAAGGUCAUACUAUCACCACCAACACAGUUUAUAAUUCCUUAUAGUACUUAGUUGUCUAUGUCCACUUACUUAUUCCAAUUUUAUCAAUGUGGAACAAGGAAGCUAACUUUGCAUUAGGCCAAAGGCCCACAGUCAAUUUUCAACUAUCCCCUACAAAUUACUGUAGCAGCAAAGUUAUAAGGUAGACAAGAGAAAAUUUGUUUUGAGAAAGGAUGAGACAUUAAGCUUAGACAUCAAUAUCCAAAUAUUUGAAUUGAUGUGUAGUGAAGUAAGGCAACAACCUUGCUAAGGAGAGUGAAUUAGAUCUUGAACUUUCUAUAACACUAGUUGAGACCCUUACGACACGCUCUAUGCUUAGUUUUUGCCAUUGUGUUUAUGCAAUGUGGGUUUAUGCCUUUAUGGACAUGCAAAUAGAAUGAACCUCGAGUCAUCGUAAAAGCUAUAAAAAGAGAUCCUUUUAACUCUUUCAAAGAAGGCAGUCUCACCUUCACAAUCACGUUACAUGCUCCAUCAAGUUUGUCAAAACAAACCACUCAAAAAGAGCUAUGAAGACUUCAUCAUUAUCAACAGAAUUAUGGAUCACUCAAAGGUUUUAGUAACAUCCAUCUAGUCCAUUAAAUAUUGUUUGCACAAUGGGCUAUGGACCAUGAAGUCUAUAUAUCGCAACAUACCACCCAAUAAGAGGUUAUGGACCAUCAAGUCUAUUGCAAUAGACCAUCCAAAAUCAAGUGUUAUGGAUCUUCGAAGGGCUUUAGGCCUAUGUUCACUGAGGAAUCUAGAACCACUUUCCAUGCUAGUCCUUUGGUUAAAGGGUCAUCCAAGUUCAUCUCAAAUCAAACGAACUCUAAGAAAAUGGUUCAUUCCUUUAGCAAAUGUUUCACAACUCCAUGUCUAAGACGUAUAUGUCUUCUUUUGCCAUUAUAAACAUUGUUCUAGGAAAUAUUUAUGGCAACAUGUGAAUCACAGUGUUUGGACACAGGUACAGAUGCCCCCCACAAUGGUACAUCUCCUAGUAGACAUUUUAAUCCACUUAGCCUCUUGUCCUGCCAGCUCUAAUGCUAUAAACUCAUAUUCCAUAGUGAAUCUGGCUAUGCAAAUCUGUUUUGCAAACUUUCAAGAUAUUAGAUCCUCCCCCGAGUAGAAAUACAUACCCACUAGUAGAGUUUACUUCAUUUUUAUCUAUAACACACAAUCUGCAUCACAGUAUCCUUCCAAGAAUAAUUUUUUGUUCCUUUAAGAUAUUUCAACAUAUGACAUAAAGCAUCCCAGUGGUAUUUGUUAGGAUUAUGUGUGUAUCUACUUAAUCUACUGACACCGUUAGCAAUGUCGAGUCUAGUGAAGUUCAUUAAAUACAUAACACUACCUAUGAUCUUUGUAUAUUCAGAUUGAGACACACUCCCUCUUUUAUUUUUCUUAAGAUGUUUACGAGUUUUUACUUAAUAGACAUCGAAGGAAUCAAGUUUCUUUAGUAUUUUCUCAAUGUAGUAUGAUUGAGACAAGGACAAACCGUUUUCAUUUUUUAUAAUUUUAACACCAAGAAUUAUGUGUGCUUCUCCUAAGUCUUUCAUUUCAAAGUGUGACGACAGGAACAACUUGGUAUCUUUUACUAACUCCAUGUUCGUCCCAAAGAUGUCAUCAACAUAUAAACAUGUUAAUAUGCACUCAGCUCCAGGCAUCUUUGAAUAAACACAUGUAUUUGAGGAAUUUACCUUAAAUUCAUUAUUUAUCAAAGUAUCAUUAAAUUUUUUAUAUCAUUGUUUAGCAGCAUGCCAAAGACCCUAGAGAGAUUUUUUAAGUUUUCAUACUAUGUUUUCUUGGCCAGAAAAUUUGAAUCCUUCUGGUUGAGUCAUAUAAAUUUCUUCUCCUAAAUCACCAUCUAAUAGUGGUUAUCUUAGUUAUAGGGAAAUAUGUGUCAAAGUAAUCAAUACCUUGCUUUUGAGUAUAUCCUACCACCACUAAUCUUGCCUUGUAUCUUUCUACUGACCCAUCUAGUCUUGUUUUCCUUUUGAAGAUCCAUUUACACUUACUUGGUUUACUUCCUUUGGGAAGAUCUACUAAUUCUCAUGUUUGAUUCAUGGUUAGUGAAUCCAAUUCGCUCUUAAUAGUCUUCUUCCACAUAUUGGACUCUACAGAGCUUAAGGCCUCUUAGUAAGUUUUAGGAUCUUCAUUUAUUAAAAACAAGCUAUUGAAAUUCUAGUCAAUUUCAUCGCGCCUUUCUACUAUAAAGGUGCUUGGGAAAUCUAGUCUAAAACUUUUCUUACUUCUUUGUCUUUUAGUUCUUCUAGGUUUUAAUUCAUACCUUACAUUAGAAGCAUCAAACUCAGGUGUUUCAAUAACAACUGUGGAGUUUUCUAGAUCAUGCAUAUUUCUAAAAGGCAGGGAACAGAGAGAUCUCUUUAAUGGAAAUUAAUGCUCAACGAAUUCUGCAUCCCUAGAUUCAUUUAUGCUCUUAUCAUUUAAACAUAUAAACCUAUGUGCAGCACUAUUUGGAGCAUAACGGAUAAAUAUACAGUCAAAGAUUUAAGACCCUAUCGUGGAUUUCUUCAGUACAGGAAAUGGUACCUUAGCCAAGCAUCCUCACAUCGUCAAGUAGUUGAGAUUUGGUGCGUAUCUCUACCAAAGUUCGUAGGGAGUUUUGUCUAGUUUUUUGUAGGAUACACAGUUAAGAACAAAACAUGCAGACAACACGACUUCUCUCCACAUUCCUUUCUCCCAACGUUCAUUCGGCCAACGUCGUUAAUGCGUCGAGUAACUUAUAGGACUCUAUCGAUGUUCUCGCCACGUCGGGAGAAGGUGUUUCCCGACGAUGCUUCGUGGAACUUGUCCCCGAUGCCAUCUUAUAUGCGUAGGGAUAAGACCUUUUUUCCGACGCAUUGAAUAUGUUGGGAAUAGUAUAUAAGAUUUUUAAUAUGUUUUUUACAUUAUUAUUUAUUUUGUUUAAUUUUUAAUUUUUAAUUUUUUUGUUUCGAUUGUAGUUUAUAUUUGAUUCCAUUUCGAUUUUGAUUUAGUUUAAAUGCAACUGACCAACCAAAAUAAUUUUUAUUUUUAACUUGAAUUCAAUUUUUUACACCUCACAUGCUGAUUUUAACCCAAAAAUAAUAUAAAAUCUUCAUUUAUAGUUAAACUCAUUAAUUUUGUAAAAGUAAAGUUUUACAAUAAAUAAAUAAAAUAUAUAUAUAUAUAUAUAUAUAUAUAUAUAUAUAUAUAUAUAUAUAUAUAUAUAUAUAUAUAUAUAUAUAUAUAAACUAAUUCAUAUAUUUAACACUGAAAUAACUUGGUCAAAAAUUCAUAAAUUUCCAAAAGGAAAAAAAAGGUUUAUGAUAUUAUUUUCUUUAAAAUAUUAUCAAUUUCAUAUCAUGGGUAGGUAUUAUUGAUGUCAAAUUUUGGCCAAGGAUAUUAUUGAUGUCAAAUUUUGGCCAAGGAUUAAGAAUGCACUUGACCUUCACGAAAUGUCAUGGGUAAAUUUGUAAUUCAGAAAAGAAAUGACUUGCAAAUCAAAGAAAAAUGAUUUCGAUGUAGCGGGGGAUCCAUAAAUUUUGUUGAUAUUUAUAAUUCAACAAAAAUAAUCUAAAACAAAAAGGUAAACAAUAAGGCUUGAACUUAGGUCUAGAAAGACUAGAAGGCUAAUUUACCAUUGAAAUACAACUUGAGGGUGGGAGAAUAUGAACCCUGUUUUUGUUAUGUCUUUUUACCUUGAUUCUAGAAUCCACCCGUAAGAAGUAUGUUUUAUAAUUCAAUUAACAUAUAAGUAAAAAAAAUAAUAAUUUAACAAUCUUUAGAAUGUGAACUUGUUGAAAGACUAAAAUUACACCACUCUUUCAACUAAAAAUUAAGAGCGAAAAUUGAUUUCAGCUUUUGACUUUGGUAAAUAGGUGAUUAGAUGAAUGAAAAUUGAAUUGUAUAUAUAAAAACCAAUCAAAGACCCUUGGUCAUAAUAAAUUAGAUGGGAAAGAAUAAAUAAUUUUGGUCCCAUAUUUACAGUGGGAAUAAAUGUUUUUGGCAUAAGAUUUUAUACAAGAUUUUGUGGUCCUUUUUUAUUUAAAGAGAAAAGAAAAAUGAAUUCUACCUUUACAGCACACACUACAAAAACUCAAUUCAUUUCUCUCCAUUUUCCCAUAACUGAUCAAUUUAAUAAAUGAUCAAUUUAAGAACAAGAAAAAAAGUCAAAUUAAUCUUCUCCACACAAACCUCAUCCCAUUAUUUUUUAAGAAAAAAAAAACCGAAGUAAAUUGUCCUCAAUUCUAUAAUUUUUCAUUUAAAUGUCUUUUUCUUUUUUUUUUGAUCAAUUGAAUUCUUGAAUGCUAAAUUUCAUUAUUGGUUAAACUAUUGUUAGGUCGUUCUACACUACGAAGUUGGUUUAAUUAAUUUUAAGGAAAAUUUUAAAAAAUAUAACAAAUCGACAAAAUAUUUACACUGUAUGAAACAAUUUUAAAAACGAAAAAAAGAUCAUACUCACACAAUAAAAAAUACCAAGAAUGGUCCAAUCAACACUCGAUUAAUCGACCACACGCGCAUGUGUAAUUCUUUUUCUAAACUAUAAUGAUACGCAAUCGUGUAUAAAAUGAUAUACAAUCGUGUAGUUCAUAAUAAACAAUUGUUAGUUCAUGAUAAACAAUGAUUUUGAAAUAAUCCUAGUAAACAAUCAUGUAGAUGAUAAUACACAAUCAUGUUUAGUUAAUGAUACACAAUAGUAUAGUUAUUCAUGAUACACGAUCAAGUAUAGCUCAUGAUAAACGAUGGUUUUGCGUCCUAGUAAAUGAUCGUGUAGAUCAUGAUACACGAUUGUGUAGUUCAUAAUAAACGACGGUUUUGAAAAGCCCUAUGAUAAACGAUCAUGUAGUUCAUCUCUGCUCACGGUACAUUGAAAUAAAAUAAUACAAGAUUAAUGAUUGAUUAAUAACAAAAAUAAUAAUAACACAAGUAUAAUGAAAAAGAAUUGUAGCCACCUUCUUUAUCCUACAUAUAUAUCUUUUUUAAAAUAAUAAUAUUAGUAAUAUUUAUUUAUUUACUUUUAAAGUAAAAAAUUAGUAAUAACAUGAUAUCUCGUAAUAUCUCAUUUUUUAUCCUUUUAGGAAAGGAAAACAAAUCCAUUUAUUUUAAUUAAAAUCUUUUAACAUCAAAUAAAUUAUGUAGUUUUAAAUAAAAUAUUUUUUAAAAACUUAUUUCUACUCAUUUUAGGAAAAAAUUAAAUAAAUAAAAUCUUUGACUUAUUUAUAUCAUUUUAGGAAAAAAAAAGAAAAUCAAUUUUAAACAAAAAUAUUUUAAUAUCUAUUUAAUUUAUUAAUUUAUUUUUCACAAAAUCUCAAAAUAUCUCAUUUAAUUUAUUUUAGAAAAAAUGAAAUUUUGUUUCAGUAACAUAAUAUCAAAUUUUGAUUUUUUUUUUUAAGUUGUGGUACAGCCCGGACUAUAAAUAUGGACCUUUGUCAUUUGAAAAUAAGGGAGAGUUUCUUUUUUUAAAAAAAAAAUGAAUUCUUUGGGGAAAAAAGUUUCUUAGAAAAAUUUUUUUGUUUAGAGUGAGUGCUUGGACUUUUUUUUUAUUAUUUAGAACGAAUUUCUGUGAAAAAAAUUCAGCAAAAAGUGAGUUUUUCUUAUUUUUUUCAUUACCUUAUUGUCCCUACUCCUUUUCUAAAUUUAUCUUAAGAAAAUCAAAAUCCCAUUUGAAAUAAAAUUAGUUGGAGGUUGCAUUUGGUAGGGAUUUAAUUCCAAAGAUUCAAGAUUUAAAAUUUGGCCACCGUUUUCCUAAAUGGAUGUUGUGGGGUGCUAAUACCCUUCUUACACCCAAAUGACUACCAAAUUCAACUCUAUUUUUUCGUAGAUAAUUUUUUUAAAUUGUUUACUUUAUUUCGGUGUCCAAUCACACCGUACAAAAGAUUGAUGGCGACUCCUAUUUUCUUUUUAAACUAACUCUUUCUAGGACAUCAGCCACUCUGCGUCGUCUCAAGCACGUGGCGACAAGAAUAACAAUAAUUGUAGGACAAUGAUCAUGAUUUCAAAAAAAUACAAAAUAAAAAUUGUAGAAGAAGAAGAGAAUGAAGAAAUCAGAAUUGCGUGAAAUGCAAAAGCGUUAGAGGCAAACCUAUAAUAUUUAAAAAAUGGUCGGUUUUAUGAACUUUUUAUUUUGUUAUGAGUCGUAAAUAUUUUUGUUUUUGUUAUAUUUAUAAAAAUUAACAAAUUUUACGGUAUAUGUAACAAAAUCAAAAAACCCAUAAAGUAGGUCAUUUUUUAAAAUAUUCCAAGUUUGCCUUUCAUUUCCAUAUUCUUUACUCUAUUUCUUCUACAAUUUUCCUUUUACUUUCCAUCGUCUUUCUUCUGCAAUUUUUCUUUUAUAUUUUUUGAAAUCACGAUCUUUGUUUUCAAUCAAUCAUAAAUUUUGUAUUAUUUUUUUUUUUCAAAAUGUUAUUUGGUUGAAGAUCGUAUACCAAUAUUAUUGUUACAUGAUCGUUUAGAUUUAUCUAAUCGAUCAUGUAUAAACAUAAAUUUAAACAAUCGUAUUCCAAAUAAUCUUGAAAAGAAAAUCGUUGGAAUAUUGGUACACUCAGUGAAUGGAUCCAUAAAUUUUAUUACCAGAGGACUUUAUAGUUCAAUCAAGAAUUCUAAUUUUUAGACCAAGAUCUGCUGGUAAAUCUUAUAAUUUUACUUUAGUGCGUCUUAUAACUAUUAUUACUUUUCUUCAAAUGAGAAGAUGGUCCCGUCGAUUUUCUUUUAAAAUAUUUCUCAAUUUAGAUUUCAAAUUAAAUCUAGCUACAAUAACGUAUCGUUGUAAUGAGAAUAAAUAAAUUAAAAAAGAUAUUGACAUAUAACAACAAUAUCAUAACAUAAAAAACCCUACAAGUUUACUUAAGAUCCAUAAAUUAUUUCGAGAAUGAUUAAAAUAGGAUAACAUUUUGAGAAUAUGAUAUAACAAAUAUAACACAUUGUUUUAGAAUUUUGCAAAUAUGGCAAAAAAUUUACUUAUAAAAAACUUUUCAUCUUAAAUUUGUUAUUAUUCCUAAACUACCAUUCGAAAACUUAUUUCUCUUCCUCUUUUUAAUGUCCUAUUCAUUAUUUAUUUAUUCUUUCACUUUUUAACAUCCUAAUUAUUUAUUUAUUCUCAUACGAGAAAAAUUAUUUGUUAUUUCUCUCUUAAUCUUGAUUUUAGAAUAUCAAUAGUACAAUAAUUGUAAUAUAAAAUAUAUCCCCUGAUUAUAAUACAACGAUUAAUUUUAAAGCUAAUCCAUAAACCUUUUCAAGUGUAGGAUACUAUAAUUAAAAGAAAAACCCACGAAAAAGGACAUAGUAACCUACCCUACUUGAUCUUUUUAAUACAUCUUUUUAAGUUCAACUAUGGCAAAACUAGGGAUCCAACAUCUAACCUCAAAAACUCUUGUCAAUUAAUGUUAAGUUAAAUCGAUCUCUAUUGAUUGUUUUUUAUAGGAUACAGCAUAAUGUGUCAUGAAUUAUUGCUAAAUAUAAGCAUAGGAAAUAUUUUAUUCUAACAAUGAACUAGAAAACAAUAUUUUCUAUAUAAUUAUUGCCCUUAUUAUCAACAAUAAAUAAUAAAAGCUUAAGGAAAAGAAAUAGAUGACACAUAAAAAAUAAAAUUGAGACUCCAAGUAUGGAUUGAACUAUAAAUUGAAUUAGCUUAUAAAAUGAAGAAAAAAGAAGAAUGAAAUUGCAAUAAUUAUUACAUGUAUAGAAAAAGAGGACAUUUUGUGUCGGCAAGAUGAAACAUAUAUAUGAAUGUGACAAUUAAUUAUCAAUGACCCACAUUAGCUAUAGGAAAGAACGUCUAGAGCUACCUAUCUAACUGCCCUACCUUAUAAUAUAAAUUAAUAUCAUUAACAAAUUUCAAUACAAGGAAUAUAAUUUCAAAUCCUUUGCCUUUAAUUUUUUUUUAUUGGAUUGACCAUGACCUUAGUUUAUUAUUUCUAUAAUAACAAUACAAACAAGGGGGAAAUUUUUGGCUUUCUAGUCUCUUUUGUAUUCUUACACAAAAUUUUGAAAUUUUCAUCAACUUUUUUAGAAAAUUUAGACUGUUUAUGGAGAGUGAUAUAAUCUUGGGUGAACUAUUUAUUUCCAAAAUGAUUAAUUGUAUUGCAAAAAAUUGACAAUAUAUCGUUAUUCUCAACCACCUAAGCUAAUGUUUAUUGGAGAUUGACCCUACAUCAUUAUUGUUGCAUUUCUUUUUCUUUUAAUUGGAAGGAUUUGAAUGGUGAAUGUCUAGGAAUAUGCAAAAUUUUGAAAGAGAGAAAAUCCUAUAAUUUUGGUACUAGUUAUGAACAAACCCUUCUAAAUUAGGACAUGUGAGUUUUGGACUAUAUUUUAUACCAUUUUAUUUGGUGUAGUUAAUAUUCUUGUCAUCAUCACAUAAUAAACGUAACUCAGUGGUUAUUGACAUACUCCUUUGUUAGAACUUUAAAUAUUUAUAUCCCCACCAAUAAGAAAAGAUUUUAACAUGCAUUCAUUCUCCUCACUGAAUCUUCAAGGAUAUAUGGAAAAGUUCAUCUCAAAAUAAUCAUAAAAGGAAAAGGUAAACUACACGUGACUCUCUUUAUAAAUAAAUCAUUACCGUUUGUGUGUAAAAAGUAAUUAAUUUAAAGCUUACUCACAAACUUCAUUGCUUCAACAUUCUAUCACUAUUUAACUUAUGCAUUUGAAUGUAUAAGACAAACGCCACACCAAUGCCGUACAUGUUUUCUCUUUUGUAAAUUAUGUUAUUUUCCAAUUUCAAACAAAUUAACCCUUAAAAUGUGAUAAACUUUGGAGUCGUCUAUGAGGAAGAAAUUGUAUUUCAAUUGUAAAUUGCAUACUUUACCAAAUAUAAGUAUAAGGAGAGACAAGAACAUAAAUAAAGAUGGAGAUUACUCCAACCAAGUCUGUCAGCCCCAAAGAACACAAAACCAUACAACACCUCAGUCUCACAUCCAUAAGAGGGGCGACCCAAGGAAAAUUGGAAACAUUAGAAAAGAAAGUGAAGUGAAUGGGUUAAAAUUAGAAAAGUAAGUGGAAUGAAUGGGUCAAUAUCGAACUUGUUUAUAACUAAAGUUUUUUUCUUACAACCAGAAUCUUCUUCUAAGGGUUCAACAAAACUUUUGUUAUACAAUUUUACUAAAGGAAAAGUCCCUUAGUUAAGGAUGCAAAAGAAAUUGGACCUCAUGUCCAAAGACCAAACAAACUUUAGGGGGAACAAGCAUAGAAGGAAAUUUGAGACUAUCAAAUACCAAUAACAACACGAAGCAAAACACAACAAACCUAGCAGGAACAUUGGACUACAGUAGGUAGUGCAAAUGUGCCAUUUAAUACGACUAGAGAUCAAGGAUCGCCAAGAACCUUAAAGAAUGAAGACAAUUGCGAUAGACAGUUGCAUAAGAUACCCUCACUUGCAUGUCACCUACACUAAUAUUGAGAUUUAUGUCAAAAAACUCGUAGAUUGUAAAUAUAAUUCAUUCAUUGUUAUUAAUAAAGUGUUAUUUUUAUAAUUUCAAUAAAUUUUAUUGAUUACAUUAUUAGUUUUGUCUUAAUAACCCAAAUCCAAUAAACUAACAUCCUAAGUUGUUUGAUGAGUCUUGAACAGUAUGUAGAGACAUACAUGGAUCAAUGUUCGAGACCAGCUUAAAAGGUCUAUACUAUAGAGAUAAGACUGGAUACCUUAUCCUGGUAACACUAUGAAUAUGGGUUACUUUGUAUUUGAUACAAACGCAAUUAUCCAACGUGUUCGUGUAGUUGACAUGCAAGUGAGGGUAUCGUAUGCAAUGAGUUUGCAUAAGACCAGACCACAAAAUAGUAACCACUAGAUGUAACUUCGUUAAAUAAGAUCUAUUUCAUUAGGAUGACCUAGGUAACUUAGUCUUAAUCCUAAGUGUAUUAUGAACUCCUAUUCGGGAGGGAUUGUCCUUUGAUUUGUACGGGUGAGAGUGACAAAAUCGCCAACUCAAUAAGCUUAUCAUUUUGGGUACAAGACCGAGUGGAGUGCUGGAACAUAAUUACACAAGAUGAAAUUCACUCAUUCCCUACUUUAGGGUAAGUAGAUGAACGUUUCCUUAAAUGGUGUCUUCAGGACUUGAACAAAGAGUUCUACCCUCUCUAUGGUACAAGAAGGGUUUUUGUUUAUUGGUUGGACCAUAACAGGUUGUCAUUAUAGCAGCACUAGUAUUUAAGGACUAAGUAACACAUGGGUAAAUCGAUAAUUUGACCUAGUUGGUGUUGCGAACACUUGUGAAGGAAUAACCUCUGUUAUUGGUCUAUAUCCGUGGACACAUAAAUGUAUCUACAGUGAGAAGAGUUCAACUGCUUUAGUGAAAUGUACACAUAGUUAACGAAUAUUGAUUAAUGUUGUUAAUAAGUUUAGCCAAUUAAUCUCAAAUCGUUGUAGCUUCUGAUCAAUAGGUCCAUUAGGUCCCCCUCCUAGCUCGUAAAGAGUAAUGAGAUUUAUUUAUAUUGGUUGUAAUUUGAAAUGUUCAAACUUACUUUGGGAAUUAGUAUAAUGUAUAGUGAUAUAUUAUAAUAUAAAAUUUAUCAAACUUUAUUAUAUAAAUUUAAUUUUGGAUAUUAUUAAAAAUUAAUUUAUGAGAGGUAAAAUAUUUGAAUGAGAUCAAAUAUUAAAUUAAUGUGAAUUUGAUUCAUAUUAAAACGAUUGGUUAUGAGAGAAAUGUAUAUUCUAAUAUGAUUCAAAUUUAACUUAAGUUAUACAUAAAAUAUUUAAUUUAGUUAUUAACUAAUUGGAGAAUUAAUUAGUAGUUUAGUUUAAUAUUAUUUAAUUAAGUUAAUAUAAAAUUAUAAGAUAUUUAAGAGAUAUUAAUUAAAUAAGAUUUAAAUGAAAUAUUAAAUAAAUAUUAUUUAAUUAAUUAUUAACUAACUGGUUAAUAGUUAAUUAAUUAGUUGAUUUGAAAUUUUUAUUAAUUUAAUCUUUUUAAAAUUAGUAGAAUCUCAUGAUUAUCUCCUACUCCCUUUCUUACUCCAAGAAGGAAAGAGGGUUAUAAAUAUCUAGAAGAAAACGGUUUUCUUUAACCAUUCAAUCAAUCAAAAUAAAACUAAUAAUUUUGUUUUUCUGCAAAUAAAACUAAUAAUUUUGUUUUUCUGCAGAAGAGAUCCUCUACAAAAUCUCUAAACUUAUUUCUAUCUUAGUUGGUAUCCACAAACCAAUCUUAUCUGAUAGGAUAGAAAGGUCUCCGACAGGUGGUGUCCCAAUUUGGAGAUUUAUUUAGUAGAUUCAAAGACUUCAAACAAGUAAAUUUUUCUUUCUCUAAUCUAUAAUUAGAAAGCAUGCUAAGCCUUUAAGUCUUAAUAAGAAAAGUAGUUUUUUAAAAUUAUUUUUGUCAAUUUAGUGGUAUUUUGAGAUUCACAAAAUAAAUUGAGGAAUGGUUCUGUAAAAUCUUCCACUGUCAUAUACUUUUAUCCCUUCAAUGUUGGAUUAUUGUGUUUGUAUCAAAUACAAAGUGAGUCGUAUCCAUAGUGUUACCAGGAUAAGGUACUCAGCCUUAUCUCUAUACUAUAGACCCUUUAAACUAAUCUCAAACAUAGAUCCUUGUAUGUCUCUACAUAUUAUUCAAGACUCAUCAAACAGCUUAGGGUGUUAGUUUAUUGAAUUUGGGUUAUUAAGACAAAACUAAUAAUAUAAUCAAUAACAUUUAUUAAAAUUACAAUAAUAACAUUUUAUUAACAACGGUCAAUGAAUUAUAUUUACAAUCUACGAGUUUUAGGACACAAAUUCCAACACCUUUGUUAUAUCGAGCAAGUUCCAAACCCAAGAAGUACUUGAGAGGACCAAGAUCUUUGAGUUUAAACUUUUCAUGUAAUAAUGAUUUGACUUGACUAAUCUGUCUUUCAUUUUCUUCUGUAAUGACUGUAUCAGCAACAUAGAUUAAUAGAGCAAUGAAGUAUUCUCUUUUUCCACGAACAAGCAAGGAGUAAUCAGGUUUUGAUUGAGUAAAGCCAAGCUAAGGGCUAUGAGGGUGUCAGAAAAUUUUGCAUACCAUUAUCAAGAUGCUUGUUUUAGGGCAUAGAUUGAUUUUUUCAAUCUACAAACAAUUUUCUGGUUAUGAAUAUGAGUUGUUUGUAGCUUGUAAUCGAGUGGUAGUUCUAUGAAAACUUCUUCAAAUAAGUCAUUGUGUAGAAAUGCAUUGUUCACAUCAAGUUGAAGAAGAGUCCAAUUGUAGGUUACUUCAUUGUGAGAAGAACUCAAACAGUAACUAGUUUGGCUACCGAUGAGAAGGUUUCUAUGAAGUCUAUUCCUUCUUGUUGGAUAUAUCCCUUUACAACAAGUUUGGCUUUGUAUCAUUCAAUGGAGCCAUCAGCCCUAUGUUUGAUCUUGUACACACAUUUACACCUAAUGGUAUGUUUUGAAGGAGGAAGAGGACCAAUGUUCAAAAUGUGAUUGUUUUCCAUGGCUUGUAUCUCAUGUUCCAUAGCUUCUUUCCAAUGAUCAUAGAAAAUGACUAGGUGAUAGUAUUGGGGUUCAUAAUGGGAAGAUGUGGCUAUUGAUAAAGAUUUGAAGCUAGAAGAAAGGUGGUUGUAUGAUAUAGAAGAGGUGGGGGGAUAACGUGUGUUGAGGGAAGGGAGGUUUGAGAGGUUGGUAAGGUUACAAUGGUAGUCUUGUAGAUAUGAGGGAGGUUUUGAUGUUUGUUGGAAUUUUCUAGGGAUUGAAGCGGGUGGUUGGGAAGUACAAGAUUCAUUGGAUGAUUCUAAGAGAUUGGGUUGGUUUGUGGUGGAAGAAAUGUCAUUGGUGGAUUGGUUAGGUUGAGAAGAUAUGUCACUUGUGGGAUUAUAUGUAAAGGGAUCUAAAUUAAAUAUGUCACUUGUGGGAUUAUAUGUAAAGGGAUCUAAAUUAACAGUGAUAUUAUUGUGAUGGCUAGAUGGUUGGCUACUUGGUUGGUGGCUGGAGGAGAGGUCAUUUGGUUUUCGGUAUUGACCGUUGGAGGGGAUUGGGUUUAGACGUCAAUAUCAAAGGAUUUGGGGAGGACAGGAUUUUGUAGGAAGGGUUGUUGUUCAUUAUGAUCAUUUUCUAUGUGAAAAGGAAAAUUGUUUCAUGGAAUAUCACAUCUCUCGAUGUAAACAUCUUAUUGUUGUCAAUGUCAAAUAAUUUGUAUGCUUUCAUACCAUUUGGGUAGACCAUAAAGAUGUCUGGUGUGGCUCUUGGAUCAAAUUUUGAUCUACCAUUCUGCAGUGUGUGGAUGCAAAGCAUAAGCAUCCAAAGAUCUUUAUCAUUGAGUAAUUUGCCAUUUGUCCAUGUAGGAGUUCAUAAGAAGUAUUCUAGUUCAACACAGGAGAUGAAGUUCAAUUGAUGAGGAAGACAGAGGUUAGGAUGCAUUUAUGCUCCAGAAUUGUAGUGAGACUUGUGAUUGAAAGAACAAAGCUCUUACAUUCAGGAUGUGUUGGUGCUUUUUUUCUACAACUGAAGUUCUGCUUCGGUCUUCCAAUGCAUGAGAAUUGAUGAAUAACUCCCUUUUAGAGGACGAAUUUCGUAAAGGACAGCUCCAGUGCAUUAUCAGAUCUGAACACAUUGAUUGUUUUGUUAUACUGAGUUUCUACAUAGGCAAAAAAUUGAGGAACUAUUUUUAGUAUACCAGACUUGUUUUUCAUGAGAAAAACUCAAGUAUAUCUACUAUGCUUUUUUAUCGAUAACCUCAAACCAAUCAAUCGAAUAGUGAGAAAAUAUUUGUAACCAACAAGUGAAUGAGUUGAGAAAGGACCUCAAACAUCAGCAUGUAUCAUAUCAAAAUUUAUGGUUCUAUUAUUAUGUGAUUCAAAAGAUAACCUCUUUUGUUUUGCUAAAGGACAUAUUUCACAAAGGUGAUUUUUAUUUAACAUAGAAGAAUCAAAAGACAACACAUCUUUUAAACCAGAUAACUGAGAGAUAGAUGAAUGUCCAAGUCUUGUAUGUCAUAUAUCAGGAGUUGCAUAGACUACUCCAUUAAUAAAGAGUUGGAUUUGUGAAGAAUCAACAGCUUUAUAUAGAUUUUCAAUGAUAUAAAGUCCUUCAUGUAGUUUACCCAUGUCAAUCUUCUUCAAAGUGGACUUUGCCUGAAUAUCACAAACAUCAUAAAAAAAAUCUCAUAAUGAGCGUGUUAUCUUUCAUUAAAGUAUUGACAUAUAGUAAGUUGUAUUGAAAUUCUGGUACAUAAAGGACAUGUUGGAGAGCUAUGGAGUCAAAGAGUCUAAUUGAGCCAAUAUAGUGUACUGGAAUUUGGGAGUUGUUGGGGAGAACAACUGAGCUUGCAAUGGGCUUCAAAUCAUAGAAGAUAUGUUUUUAAAAACAUAUGUGUGUUGAAGCUUCCAAGCUAAUAAUCCAUUCGUCUUUAGUUUUGUAAGGAAAGCAAGUACCUACUAUAUGAGUGGUGGUUUCAUGAUCAGUUCUAACAACAACAAGUUUUGACUGUAGCAUGGAGAGUAUGUUGUGGCAUUGAGCAAGUGUCUCACUGUCUAGUGUGAGAUUUGAUGCAGAGGAUGUUUGAUUGAUUUUUGUAGUGUUAUUUGCAGCAAGUGGAUUGUUUGAUGGAGCUUUAUGUAUUUGAUUGUUUGUUCUGCUCUUUGGUUUACAGCAUAGAGGAUAGCCAAUAAGUUUGUAGCAUUUAUCUAUGGUAUGCCCGAAUAAAUGUCAGUAUGUGCAAACGAGUCUAUUCUUGUUUGAGCUAUUGAGAUUAUAGGAAGAGUUUUGGUUGGGGUUUAAUUGAAAUUGUGUGUGGUAUGGGGAUGGAUUAGAUUUUUGGGCGGCUAAAGUGAGGGAUGGAGUAGGUUUUGAAGUAGACUGAAGUUGUUUUUGUUGCACUAUUAAUAAUAAUAAAAAAAACUUUAUUUAUUGCAGUGGAAGGAUCCACAAGCAGAACUUGUGAGCGGGCAUGGUUGAAAUCAUCACUCAAUCCCAUUAGAAAGUACAUAAGAUAUUCAAAUUCCACUAAUUUUUCAAUGGAUUUUAGCACCACCGCAGGUACAUUUGCCACAAGUACAACUUGGACAAUAUAAACCAUAUUCAUCCCAUAAUUAAGCUUUUGAUCUUGAAAAAAUACACUGUGACAUAUUAUUGUUCUUGUUUGAGUGUGGAUAGGUCAAGUUUCAACUAGAUUAUCCUUGGACUAUUUCUCUUUUGGAAACGAUCUUGAAGAUCAAUCCAUAUUGCUCGAGCGAAUUCAGUAAAUAAGAUGCUUGAUGAAAUGCCCUUAGAAACAGAGUUCAGAAUCCAAGCGAUAACUACAUUAUUGUUUCUAAUCCAUAAAGGAAGUAACUCACUAGCAGGUUUGGUAAUUGAUCCAUCAAUGAAUCCGAGCUUGUUCUAAAUUGAUAAAGCAAGAAUCAUCGAGCGGCUUCAUGUGACAUAAUUGUCAUCUGUCAGAUGUUUGAUAACAAGAACAAGAUUGAAUGUAUCACUGUGAUGAAGAGUAUAUGGACUGUUAUAGAGGUUUAUUGUUCCUGUUGGGUAUUACAUGAGGUAUUUGGUGGAUAAUUUAUGGAAGAAGGAGGUAUUGACGAGGAAACUGGAAGUUGGGGAGGAUCUUCAAGAAUUGGAUUUGAGUCAUGGUUUGGCGCGUGGGUAGUAAAAAAAAGCUUAAAACUCUAAUACCAUCUUAAGGAAAAUGCUAGAGGAGAAAGUAUAUUUGACUUGUAUUGAUAAUUUUUUAUCGAUGGAUAUUUAUUGGUGAGGAAGAAAAAUAAUUAAUAAAUAACAUAAAUUUGAAACUAACUAUGGAACUAACUACCAGAUUAAUAACCUCUUUAUAUCUAAUAGUAUCUCAAACUACCAUAAGUUUCUUCCCGACUAUUCUCCAACCUUAAAACAGAGUUGUGGGACCCAAUAUGUGAUUAAUAUUUGGAGAGUAAAUAGAAUUGUGAGUGUAGGAGUUUUUGUGUGUCAAAGUGCUCAAUCUCAUCAAAGUUCUCUAACUCAAGUCCUGCACAAAAAAAAAAAAAAAAAAAAAAUCUCAUAAGUUUACAAAACCAUUGCAUUUAUAGAGAGAAUUAGGAUGAACAAUUGUGUUACAGAUUUUGGUUAGCUUAUUUUAUUAAAGGCAAAAUGGGAGCAUAUAAAAUAUUUAUUAAUAAAUAUAUGGUUAAUAUUUAUUAAUAAAUACAUGAAGUUGGCUUUGGUUGUUUUGACCUAAAAAAAUACACUUUGUGGGCUGUGUGGUUUAUUUUAUGUUUUUGAAAGACAGAAGUGUAAUAUACAUGCAAUAAAAUUAUGUAUUGAUAAAUUUUUUUACGAAGUGUACUCAGUUUGUAUGACAUUUGAUUAACAUCUUGUUACUGUUGUUGUGAAGUACUUGUUAGAGAAAAUCUGCGCAAGUUAGAGGUAGCCUAAUAUUGAAGAUUAUUAUGAGUCUCUCACAAGGGAAACCUACACAUUGAGAUGCAAGGGUGAAGCAUAAAUCAUAUAAUCUAGAGGGAGCCUAGAUCGAAUUCCUUGUUCACACAUCAAGUGAUUUAGAGGGAGCCUAAACGUUUAUCUUGUAAAAGUCAUAAAAUUCAAAAUAAUUGAUUAAAUAAGUUAUGUACUUGUCUCUUCAAUCUUUAUAAAUGAUCUUUUCAAUAGAGCUAAAGGUCUCCCAGAUGUAGGUGUGAUUACACAAAACUGAGUUACCAACAUGCUGUGUUCUAUUCUGUCUUUUCGUACUGUUACUCAUAUUGUUCCUUUAGUUAUUAAUUCGUGUGUUAACUUUAGAUAUCAAGUUAAUAUAUUAUUUAUUUUCUCAAAUUACAUGAAGAGAUUGAACCAUAUAUGCUGACACAUUGGAUUCCAUUAAGACAAAGUGGGGAGCACUAUUUCUAGAAACCACUACUCCAUAAUUCUACUAAGCUUGGGUGGGAGACAUGAGAUAUUUUUAUGCAACUACACCAUCCCAUGAGAAAAUUCAACUAUGUCAGUGGAAUUAACCAAAAGUAAUUGUUGGAAUUUUCCACUAAAUGGUCAAAGGAUAUUUUGGUCAUUUAACCUUUAGGUCAGUAUCUUGACUAGUCAAAAUUUUGACUUCUAAAGUCAAGCAGUUAACAAUUUUAACUAACAUUUACCUUUAAUUUUACUUUUUAUAUUUAAUAUUUCGUAUUAAAUCUCAAACACCCAAAUGUGAAUAUGAAUUUAUAUUCUCGAUAUUUAAAUCGUAUUUAAAUAUUUUGCUAAUUCUCUCAAUACCUUAUCGUUAAUAUUCUCUCCAACCUAAUUCUAAUACUUUGAAUUAAUAUGUUGUAUUGUUCUAGAGUUUAUCUCAUUGUGAGCUAGCAAAGGAACCUUAUGGACCUACAGAUCAUGAGCUCCAACAAUAUGAGAUUAACCAAAAACUCUUUAACCUAGUUAACCAACACUCGUUAACUAACUAGACAUGUCCACUAUAGUUAGUAGCUACACUCUCCUCACUAUAAAUAUAAUUAUGUUCACUUAAUAUAAACAUGAUUAGUAAGUCGUCGAUCCUUCACAUGUUAUUCAUAAUUUAAAGCGGUUGGGUUAAAAUGUCGUUUUACCCCACAAUUACAUCUUCUUCCUUAAGCCUCACCAAUCAUCUAAUGAACAGUUGAUUUAAGGUCUAAUUACCACUAAACCAAAUCUCUCUCAUGUCAAUAAGAGGGUGGAGCUCCUUAUUUCAAUCCCAAAGUCAACACACUUAAGGAACAAGCUCUCUACUAUCUCUUACAGCAGGAAAGUGAAUUUCGUCUUGCAUCCUAUGUUUCCAACUAACUACCGAUCUUACCCUUAAAAUGGAAGGCUUGUUCUAUCAUGGAGCUGCCCUCACGCAUGCAAAUAUAUGGCUAAUUUCAAAUUAACAGGAGUUCAUAGUUAGCUCAAAAUUAAGAUUGAGUUACAUAGGUCAAUAGUUAGUUUUAAAUAGUAAAUUGUGUUAUAAUGUAAAAAUGAUUAUUUCAUAAUUCGGUUUUAUGCAAACUCUUUGCAUAGGAUGACUUCACUCGCAAUGUAUUCACAUGAACGAUUUAGGAUUACAUUCUUUAUACUAAACAAAAAGUGGGUCGUAUCCAUAGUGUCCUCAGAAUAAUGUAUCCAACUCUAUUUCUAUAUUGUAGACCAUUUAGAUUAUUAACUCAAACUUGAUCCACUUUUAUGUCAUUAUCUGAAGUUUGAGUAUUGGUUAAAUAUUUAUCGUUUAUUAAAUAUUUGUAGAGAAUGUGAUUGUAGGCAGAAAAUUUCAUCAGCAAAAAACAAAAGACUAAUUACAUCAAAAUAGCAUAGACUUUAAAUGGUCAAUCUUAGAAAUGAAAUCUUAUUUUAAUUUAAAACCAUUACUUUAAACACAAGUGACUUAAAUGUUGAUAAUUAAACACGUGUAGAAGGGUAAAAAUAAGAAAUAAUGAACCCCUAAAACAAAAAGUAUAGGUCAUAGUUAGAUCAUAAUUUGAGGUGUAUUAUUUGUAUCCAUUCAUAUGAAAAACAGAAAAAAGAGUUUAUUAUUAUUGGGAUUAUUUUGUCUCCGGUAGAAUAGAUAAAUAUUAAAGCGAUAAACAAUGAACAAUUAGAAUUUGCAUUGACUUAGGAAUAUGGAAAAAAAGACUUUAAUGCAUAACAUUAUAUGAAAGUGGGGAAAGGUAUCUUUUAAAGAAAGAAAGAGAGAGAUGGUAGGGUAUGUACCCUAAGCUAGAAGACAAUGCCACUCCCAUAAGAGCACGGACCCGUACCAACCAAUAUAUUGGAUUCGAAAGGAUUGGUGGGUCAAUUUUGAUGGGGUUUUUAUUUGUUUAUUUUUUUUUUAUUUGAUGAUUUAAUUUCUCGUCAAUUUGAUGAAUUAUUGAAUAUGGUUGUAGUUCACUAUCAAUAAUGUAUGUAUGUGUCUUCAAACCAUACCACCCUUUAUUUGGCUAUUUAUCAUUUUAGUGAUGGUUAACUUUAGGACAUUUAACUUAUCAAACUCCAAGUUUAUGAUUUAGAAUUUGGAUUCAACAUUUGAUAGGCCAUAAUAUUUUCUUACUCACACAAAAUAUUCAAGAAGUCGUCUUCUAAUAUCGUUCCAAUCUAAGCACAUUUAACUAUAAAAUUCCUAUAAUUGAGGUACUAACUAAAAGAAAAAGAUGAUAUUAGGUAGUGUACGACUUUCUUAACUAUACAUUCAUAUCAUUAGAAUCACUCUUAUUCAUAUCUUUCCUAGACUCAACCAUACAUGAUCAUCAACUUUUGCUUCCAUUUGUCCUUCAACCAUAACUUUUGCCUUAAUACCAUUUGUAACUCUAGAUUCAUGAUUCAAACUCCAAAAUCGACUCCUAAUUAAUGAUCUCACAUUCUCUUGCUUCCUCUGUGCAAACAAUUUGUGGUAUAUACCUAUCUUGAACUGCUUUCAAAGAGAGAAGAUUAUGCCCACAAACUAAUUCUCUAAUACAAUUUGUUGUCCUAGGUUUAUAAUUUAGAAUAAAAAUUUGGCACUUAACGACCUAAAAUUCUUUUGCAUCCUAUUUGACCUAGCUAGGUUAUCUACUUGUCUUAAAUUACUUUCAAGUGUGGGAAUUAUCCUCACAAACCAACACGUGCUUUUUCAACAUGUUUUAUCCUUACUCGCAUGUCUGCUUUUUAGAAAAAAUUAUUAUGAGAUCACCUAACAUAAAAUUUCUCCAAUCUAAUUAAGCGCAUAUGACUAUGAAAUUCUUAUUACCGAGCCAUUAAAAAAAAAAUUGCACAUUGUUAGUAUAGGUAAUAUCUUUUAAUUCUUUCAAACAUUUCUUAACCAUAUUUUUGUAUUAUCGAGAUCUCUCUCAUUCAAUCGUGAUAUCAACUCGUUCAUAUACUUCUUUUAAAUGCGGCCAUUACAUUUGGAAUUGUUUUUUUGAAGUUUGACUUUUAAGAUCAUUUGGAUUGACUUUCUAAAUAUUUAUAAACUUUUUUUUUUUUUCUGUGCUCAUGAACACUUAUUUAAAAUUUAGGAUGUCAACGCAGAUGCAUCCUUACAUUUUAAGAGUAUAGAUUAGUCAAUACUUUUAAAUAAACUAACAUGAUUUUUGAGAAGUUUAAGUAACAAAAUUUUACUUCUUUGUUGCUCUAUUCCUUAACUAUUUGAUUUUUUUUUUGUUUGUAUGUUAUGAUUUUUAAUUUUGUUUUUUUUUAUAGGAACAAAAACCAAACAUGUUUGAUAAUGAUUUUUAGAUUUCUAUUUUUUUUUACAAAAAAAUAUUUUGAAUAUUAUUUUUUUAAGAAAAAAAUCAAACUAUUUUUACUGUUAUUUUUCAUCUAAUAUUAUAAUUACAAAAUUAUAUCCUUGUUUUAUUUAUUAUUAUCGUUUUUAUAAUAUGCUUCCAUGGAAGAAAAUUUCAUUAUUUAUUUAUAUUUAAAAUUCAUUUGACAAAACAAUAUGAAUAUUUUAAAUGAUUUGAUUAAUCAUAAAUAAAAUAUUGCUUCUAUGGAAGAAAAGUUACAAUAAAACGUAUCAACAAAUUAAAGGAAAAUAAUGCUAUUUUGUAAGAACAAACUACAAGGGAAUAAAGAAACAAUGAAAAAAAUUGUUUUACAAAAAGAAAAAACAAUCUCAUGAUAACUUGUGGUUUUCUAAUUUACUAAAAAAUAAUAUUUUCUACCAUACUAUAAAAGAAAUUUCCCUUUAAAUCAUUUUUCUAAUACUUUCAUUGUUCAAAAAUAAUAUUUUCACCAUGUCAUAUUUUGUUCUCUUUUUCCCACAUUAAAUUGUUAAAGAAUUGUCAAAAUUAAUAUAUACAUUCCAUCAAAAACCUUUCUCUUUUAGUAAUUUUUUUAUUGGAACGUAAAUAGUUUGUUUUUUUUAUUAUUUUUAAAAAAGAUUCUUUUAAGUUUUUAGAUUGUUUAUUGUAAUAUAUUUAUUUAGGUUAUUUAACGAUUUUACUACCGUUUAUAAAUAUUUUUAAAUUCUUUGCCAUAUUUAAAAAUGCCGUUAGUUUAUGACAAUAAAAUUUAUAAUUAAUAAUAAAAAAAACUCUAGUUAACUAAAAUUAAAGAUCGUAAAAAAAAUGAAGAGCCAUGCACUUUAAGUGUGUUAAAUUUUUGAAUAAAUGUAAGUAUUAAAGAUAAGUGCAAAAUCAAUCUAAUUUUGGUUAUAUCCAAAAUGGAUGAUUUGACACUGGGAUGACUUAUUUGUUGAAUGAUGUAAAAUUUUGAUUGCUAUUUGAUGCUCUACCAAAUUAUUAAGAGAUGUUUUUAGUAAUUUUCCAUAUACUAAUGGUGACAUCUGAAUUGACAUUUUAAAUAAUAUUCAAAGACAUAAUCAUAUGUUUUACUCUUUAUUUGCUCCAAUUAGAAUUUUAUAAUCAAACAAAUACAUUGAAAAGAAUCUUUUAUAGAUAAAUUUCCUCCAAUUUAUGUUUCAAUGGUGACCUUUAAAAUUAACUUCUAGUAAUUAGGAUAUAUAAUCAAUCCUUUUCACUAUUCACCAACUUUUACUAGUCAUAUAUAUCUUUAAAAAAAAACAUCAAUAACUUUGUCCAGUUAUAAACCAUCAAACUAAUUCAUUUAUAUUUAGAAUCUUUUUAAAAAUGUAAAUCGAUAAAGAUCGUUUAAAUAUAUUGAUACACGAUCGUUUAGAUCAAAUCAACACGAUCGUGUAGUUAUUUAUAAACGAUAAAAAAAAGAAUUUUAAAUUCAAACGAUCGUGUUGAUCACGAUAAACGAUUGUGUAGAUUAUGUCAAAAUGAUAUUUAAACGAUCGUAAUAUUCUUCAAUAUGAGAAAGAUGAAUUAGCUUCAAAGAAUUUUGUCGAAAACGGUGAAGAUGAAAUAGGAGAUUUAAACAAAAGAAUAAAUCGUUAAAAAUAUAAUAAAGAAAAUUUGAAAUAGAAGGUGAAGAAUUAUGGAAGAGAAAAUGAAUAAAUCACAAAAAGGAAGAAGAAAAAGAAGUGACGAAUCUGUCUCCAAUAUCGAAAAAAAUUUAAAAUUAUGAAUCGGUAAUAUAACUAGCAAUGUAUGAUGUAGUUUCUUCCCAUCCCUCUCAUCUUUCUUUCUUUUUCUUUUUCUUUUUUUAUUUUUCUCAAAAUUUUGAAGUUCAAUAUAUAGAAGAAUUGUUCUAUAACUCAUCAAAUUGAAGUUGCAAAAGCAUGCUGAUGUCAAAUUUUGGACAACGUUAAGCCCACAUAUUAUCUUCUCGUAUGACAAAUUUGUUAAAAGAGGGAAAGAAAGUGACCUGCAAAAAAAGAAACUUACACACACUGGCGUAAGUGUUUGUCACACAUACUCUGAUGCUUAAGUUAGAGAAAUUAAAAAUUUGUGGAAGUUAGAAAGAGUUUGAAAGUCUAACUCAAGUUACCUCAUAAGAAGUUAUAAUGAUGUAUUUAUAAAGAAAAUUAACCUAAUGUGUUCUUAAGGUUUUUGAGUUUUCUUAAGAUAAUUAGUCAUAACAAGCCAAAAAAAGAGUAUGUCUGGUUUAAUGAUUGACUAGGGUUGGCCUCGACUGAGAAACUUCCUUGAAUUAUAUAUUGAGCUUUAAUUAAAGUGUUACUUCGGGUUGAACAUGGGUAAAACUUGCUCGGCUUGGCAUUUGGCAAGGAUUGGCCUAGGCUACUAGCUUAGGCCAAGCCCAAUCUAGCUCCCUUUUCCUAGGCCUAUUUCAGUUUUUACUUGUUAAUUUUGGCUCGUAUCAUGCUUCUUGAUUUUGUCAUUUCUAAAUGUGAAUUAUAUCAUUUAGUCCAAAAUCAGUCAUAAACAAAAUUAAAUGUUGUGUAAUGAUUAUAGACCAUUUUAUAUCCUUAAAAUUAAUCGUUAAGAGAACUUCUAAUAUAAUCUUGGACCGAUGUAUGGCAUAUGACAUAACUUUUGAUUCCAUUCUCCUUUUUCAAUUAGUGUACGGUUCUUUUUCAAAAGUGUUACUAAAUGUUGGAACGAAUAUACAUUCAACUAGUUUUUUCAACCAAAAGAAUUUUUAAUUAGUUUGAAUUAGAAAAGGAGCCAAAAAAUUUAUGAAUUAGUUUAAGUUGAAGAAGCAUAAAUGUCAACUUCAAAAUUCUCAAUAUACUUCGGUGGUACAAAAUUUUCUCUCUUUAAAAAGCAUAACAUUAACUUUUGGGUCACCACAAAAAAAACUCUUAUCCACAUCUCAUACCUUAAGAAUUACCCGAUCAAAUUCGCCAAUAAAGAAUGUUACUAUACCAAUUUAUUUUGUUUUAUUUGUAGCAAUCAUUUAUGACAUACUAAUGCUAUGAUAUCAUUUUUAUAUCUAGCCUGGAUACUUCAAUAUAGAAUUCAUAUUUUUAUUUUUAUAUACCUAAGUGGGAGAUGUUAUGAGCUUUAAUGAUCUACUUGGUUAUUUUUAGACACAUAUCUCCCUCUAGAUUUUAUUUCUAAAAAUGAAAAUGAAAUAAAUAACUUUUAUUUUUUUCCCUACUUUUAUAAUAAGCAUAAGCUUUUGAAUCUUAUGGUAAACAAUUCAUCUUUCCUCAAACGAAAAGGGUAAAUAAUUAAUUGAACAAUAUUCUCAUCCAAAUAAGAAAAAAAUAUCCAUUUAUACAUAGAAGGAUAUCUAUUAAAAUUCUAAAUUAACAAUUUUACAUCUUUGACAUUUUAAGAUUUUAAAAAUAAUCAAAUUAGACUAUUUUCACUCUCAUUUUAGGUACCCUCCAAAAAUAGCAAAAGAAUUUAUGAUAAUGGAACUCAUGUCAUUAUAUUUUCUAAAUUGUAAAAGUAUCAAAUUUAAAAACUGAUAACUCUAUAAUUAUCGUCUGAUAGCCCUUCGAUAACCCUAUGAUUACCGUUUGAUAUCACUAAUUUUGUCAUAUUCGUAAUAUACAAAAAAUAGGUGUCAUGAGCUGUCUUUUUCUUUUCUAAAUGUUUUUGUCAUUUGAUGCAAUUUCAUUCAUUUUAUUUAAAAUAAAAUCAAAACUAGAAAUAAAAUUACUAAUUUUCCCAAGGUAGAUUCUAUAAAAGUAUAAAGUAGUAUUAAGUAACAAAAUAGACGUUGAUAUAAAAGAAUAAAUCAGUUUGAAAUGUUGAUACUUUUAAUAAUGUUAUUGAAAUAACUAUUAUUAAUAAUAGGGUGGUGAAGUCGUAUAUUGGGUACACGACUACGUUAAGUCGUAUGUCAAGUACACGACUCAUAUAAGUUGUCUUUCUAGUGUGGCAAUAUUGAUUGUCAUGUUGUCUAGCCUGCAAUGAAGUCGUGAACCAAGUGCACCACUUCAAUGCCUAGUCGUGUACUGAGCACAUGACUCCUCUCUCAAAAUCCUACCAUUCCCUUUUGGGAACCCUCAACCCAUUUUCUUAAAAAAAAAAUAAAAGAACACAACGGUUCUUUCCCUUCGAUCACCGCUAUCUCCAACACAACCGUUAUUGUCAUCGUGUCCCACCAUUUGUCAUCCGUUGUUGCCAUUAUUACCAUCGAUCUAAGCUAUAUAAAAUUAUUCUCUUUUUUUAUACAUUUUGGUUUAUCAUAUAUAAAUCUAUUUGUAUGAUUUAUUUGAAUUUCAUAUUCUUUUUGUUCUAUAAAGAAUACAUUGCAUCAGAAAUUGAGCGUUUAUAAAGUUGUAUGUUUUAAUUGUUUGGAGUGUUAUUGAUUAUAAUUGCAUUGUAUGUGUUGUAUAAAUCUAUUUGUAUGAUUGUUUGUUCUAUAAAAGUGUAAGUUUGAUGUAUUGAUAUGUAAAUUCUAAAAACAAAAAUAGACAUUUUGAAAAAAUAAAUAUCUUGUAAUGAAAACUUAGAUAUUUUAAAUUAAUUUUUGACAUUAUCUCAAUGUAUUUUAAGUGUUUCUCUGACUCUAAUCUUGUUUUUUAGAUUUUUUUUUUUUUUUUGUUACGGGUAAGGCAAUUAAAGUUUGGACUUGAGUAUUGAAGUUUUUUUUUUCUUUAAUUAGUGUAAUGUUGAAAUAGGUUAUGGUUUGAUGUUUUUCCAACUUUAACAGUUGAUUAAAUAUGUGAUGUGAUCUGAAGAUUUAGUUAUUUUUUAACUUGGUAAUGAUGGGGAUAGUGAAUUGAUAUAAAAGUUGAUGAAUUAUUUGGAAAUAAAUGAACGAAAUACAUAGCACGAAAAUGAAAUGGUAUCGUCUGAGAUAUUCACCUAAAUAGACUAGAACAUUAUUGAUUCUAUUUGUGAACAAGGUUAACAUUGGGAGAUAGAAAUAUAUAAUGUAAAUUGUUCUUGUUCAAUUCAAAAGGGCGUAUGUUAUUUAACACUAGAGAAGAAGUUCAAUGGGUGGUUAUAAAGUAUUGCAUGACAACACUAUCAUUGAGUUGAUGAUUUUUUUUUACCCUUUUUGUUAUUUAAUAGUAAAGAAGAUCUUCAAAUGAAACAUGUCGAACAAUCAGCAAAUAUGAUGUUAAUCUAUCAACAGCUAUUUGACCGAGAUUGAUGCGCACUCAAAUAGCAAAGUAUUAUACAAAUGAAUACUACAUAUUUUUUGUUGUCUACUUAUGUUUUUUUUAACAUAUUAAUUAUGGAGACGAUACGCACACAAUAUUAUGGCAUUAUUGCCUAAUCAGUGUCAUAAUGGUCAAGAAGUUUGGACUUACUUUGGCCCUCUGAUAUGCUUUCGUGCCGUAGGUGACAUUUACCAAAUAAACUGUUACGACAGUACGGUCUGCUCCAAAACGCACCAUCGUUGUGGUGUACUGGCUUAACACUACACCAAAUUGAUUUAAGAGGUAAACAUGAUCAAUGUUGAUGUAAGAUUCACGAUGUGGCCUAUACAUCAUGAUCAUUGUGCACAUGGAGAAGCAACACACAUGACCCAAUUGUAUUAGCUGAUGACUAUUUUUUCCGACACAAGUCAAUAUUACAAGAUGAUUUAUCACACCUAAUCGCGCUUACUAUUAUUGCAUAGUAAGAAUUUUAAUAUGAUAUGUUUUAUAAUUUUAUAAUAUGAACAUUAUUUAGUGUUUUAUAUUUAAUCAUGCAAAAUAAUUUUGUUCAAGAAGAUGUACAUAAUUAAUGAAACACGAUUUCCUAGAUUUGAGUUCAAUGUAUUAUCAAACAUUGGUAAAUGUAAAACAUAUUAUUCAACAAACAAAACGAUUAAUGUUAUAAACAUGAAUCGAAGACAUAUUUAAUACAUAAACAACGAUAUGGGAAUGAUAUUAUAUAAAAUAAUUGCAUUCUAAUUCUUUCCACCAAAACAGCAGUCAUAAAAGAAACUUAAAGGAAAAAAUAACAAAAUUAUAAGAGUAAUCUAUUUUCAACUAGAAAUGUAACAUUUACAGCUUAAACAAAAAAUGAACAAAAGCAAAAGAAAAGAAAUCAAUUUAUGGUGCUUUAGUCUAUUUAUAAUUUAUUAUUAAAUAAAUAAUUAAAAAAUAUUAAAUACAAUUAAACAACGGAUACAUUAAUGUUUGCUUGUCCACUCUUACCAAACAAGAAUAAGUAUAUUGUUGAUAUGCCUUGAAUAAGAAAAUAACAUCGCAUAACCGACAUGAACUUAGUUUAACAUCGCACACCUUUAAAAAUUUAAAGGAUAGAACUUAAAAAUUUGAGAUAACAUUCUUUUAAUGGUCCACGUGAUUCUGCAUAUAUUCAGCAUGCAACAUGCAAAAUUUUAGUAAAUAGACAUGAAAAAAGUCAAACGUAUAUAAUAUUUAUUAUCAAAUAUGAUAACUUGACCAUAAAAGUAUUUUUUUUCCCUGUAUUCAUAUUUAAAUUUUACCACUCUUAAUUAUUUGGUAUGUUAUAUUUAUUAUCAAAUAAAUAAUAUAAUCGACUAGACAAAUUCUACAUUUUUAAUGUACCUUCUCUUUUAUCAUUGUUAUAUAAUUAAUUAUUUGCAACUAAAUUUAUAAAAAUCAAACUAUAUAUAUACACACAUACAUACAUACACACAUACAUAUAUACACAUACAUACAUAUACAUAUAUCUAUACAUACAUUACGCAUACACAUACACAUAUCUAUAUAUACAUAUACUUUUUUAUUAUUUGAAAUAUAGUUUGAACGUUUGUGCAUUUUUGUCUGGUCAUUUGAUAUGAAAGGACAAGACCUAACAUUGACAUGAGGUUAUAUAUAUAUCUUCAACAUACUCUAAUGUUUAAAUCGAUGUACUUAAGUUGUUAAGGUUGUACAUAAUAGCAAACAACAAGUACUUAAUUGAAAAGUAGAGACAAUGUCUUGAGAGUCGUUGGUUGUAUAUUACUUAAAUGUUUGCUGAUCAUAUUGAUCUUAAGCCUUACGAGAUGCUUAUUCAUCGAUCAUUAGUUCACAUGAUGUUUUACAAGAGAUCAUAGCGACCAUGGGCUCAUUGGCUUUUGACCUCACACCCAUUUAGGGUAUCCUUAACAAUUUGGUUUCAUUCCAAAAAUUUUAACAUAUAAAAACGUUCGUAUUAAUAAAAAAAAUAAUCAUGAUAACAUAUACACACAUUAUUUUCUUCUUUGGUAACCCAUGUGAAACUUUUUUGUUACAAUAACUACUCUACAUAAUUUGAGAUUAGGGUUAUCCCCAUUGGAAUACAUUGAAUAUAAGCAAAUUUCUCUUUUGAAAACUCAUAAUGUAGAACAAGAAACCAAAAAUGGUAAUCCAAUCAUCCAAUGAGUGUAAUAACAAAAGGCAGAGAAGGAUACAAUGUCAGUCAAAAAUAGGGCAGAAGCUAUAGAGCUGCCAUUGAUGAAGUUUUUAGCUUCACAAUAGACCUUCCCCCACCUUAAUUAGGCCUUGCAAAUUCCAAUAAACUAUACCUAAAGAAAUAUACAAUUUUUUAAUUUUUUUUUUAAAUUGUGAAAGGUCAAAAUUCAAUGAUAAAUUGGUAAUUCUCAAAAGAAGUGUUUCAAAACAACUAACCUGCUUGAUGAAUGGUAUACACCAUCACCUUAAAUUACUACUUAACUGCAUGCAUUACCAUGUGAUUUUAUAAAUUAAUCAUUUUUAAUUUGUGUGUUUCUCUUCCAUUAAAAUAUAUAGAAUCUUCCACACUAUAUAUUAAUUAACAUAUAUUCCUUUUGAUUUAGAGAGAGAAAAAGAGUUGAGAUGAUAGGGGUUGGAACUAAAUAAACAUAAUAUGAUAUAUUGUAUUAAAUUAUAAUAUAUUGGGUUCUAAAAGAAUGUUUGGUAUGUGGGUUUUUGGAAAGAUAAUGUAUAAAAUAUUUGAAAAAGGCAGUUCAUAUCCUAUCUAGUAUGUUUAAAUUAUACAUAUUUAAUGAAUAUUAUUUUUAUUAAUCUCAACUUAAAUAUAGCUCAAUUUAUUAGGUAGGAAAAAAAUUAUCCUAUCCUUUUAUCAUUGUUGAACCAAAUUGUAAUGAUAAACUAAUUAACUGUUAAAUGGUUAAUUGAUUAUAAGAUGUCAUAAUAUUUAUCACACUUGCGAAAUGAUAAACUUAUUACAUAUCAAAUUUAUUCCUAAACUAUAAAAGCUAAUUAUGUCAUUUCGCGCAAUAAAAACUUAUCAUUAAUUUUGUUUUGAAGUAGGGAAUACUUUGUUCCAAAUUUGAAAGUAUAAAGACAUUAUUGUUAUCUAACUUACAUUGUUAUAAGCUAGAAAGUAAAAAAACUCAAUUGUUAUAAAUGAAAGUACAUUUACUAAAUCAUUUUGACAAGUGGGAGUCUACACUAAGUGGACAAUAAAAAAACCUAAAACGACUUGUUAUAUUCAAACCAAAGAACCAUAAAAGGGAUAGAAAUGAGAAAAAAAAUGGGGACCAAAAAGGAUUUAAACCAAAAAAAUGAAAAGGCACAAGUUUUCUCAUUUGUUUAUUUUUCUUUGGGUUUGUUUGAGUGUGGGUUGUUGAAUAAGAAAUUUUGAGACCAAUUACAAGUUGCCACAUCAUUUAUUAAGUUAAUGAUGAAAAGUACAAAUAAUUAAAUUUGGGACUAAUUAAAAUUGACACAUGCCCCAAAUUAAAGAGUUAAAAUAAAUAAAUUGGUCAUUCUAAUAAUGCCACAUGUUUUCAUAUUAAUCGUUGGAUUAAGUUAAUCAUUUUAGUUCAAUUAAGCCAAAAAAAAUAAGCUUAAUUGAGCCCAAAGACUAAAUAUAACCUAAGUCCAUAUGGUUGAGCCCAUGGGUCUGGUCCAUGGACCAACCAAGUUCAAACCCAUAAAGCCCACCAGUGAACUCUAUAAAUAGAGGAAUUCUCCUCAUUUGCAGGGGUUGGAAAAUUUUGACUCUAGAAGAUCCAGAGAGAAUUCUUCCAAAAGCUAGAAGACUCCCUAACUUCUGAAGUUGACCAUCCUCGAAGAUUGAAGCUGUUUUGAAGAUACAAACUUUCUUCCAAGACUCCAACUUCAAGAACAUCACGUGCUCCGCUUCCUCAAAUCAAGCGUAAGCAUUCAACCAACUUGAAGAAAAUCACGUGCUCCGCUUCUCCAAAUCAAGCGUAGACGUUCAACAAACUUCAAGAACAUCACGUGCUCCGCUUCUCCAAAUCAAGCGUAGACGUUCAACAAACUUCAAGAACAUCACGUGCUCCGCUUCCUCCAAAUCAAGCGUAGACAUACAGUUGAGAGAGAAUCAGAGGAUCAAAUUCUAGAGAUUGAACCGCAUCGCAUCAAAUCAACAAAAAUACAACAUCAACCCAAGUUCAAGUCCACGAAUUAAAUUUCUCCGGAAAUCUCGUGCGAACAAAUUGGCACGCCCGGUGGGACCAUCUCUACCUCUCAUCUCUCUCUCAUCAUCUAGAUCUACAAGCAAAUCAAUGGCAUCAAAGAAAGCUGCAUCCAAAUCUUCAGCUGCAAGCGACACCUACACGGGACCUAUCACCCGUAGUCGUUCCAAGGGGAUCAUCCAAGGGCAAGACCAAGGUUCCGCCAUCGCGCAGAGCAUCCUGAAGCAAUUGAUGGAAUCUCCUAAAGCUGGAAUUGUCAUCAAGGAAAAUCCUCUAUAUAAUGAUUAUGAUUCUGCCUCUAGCAGGUCACUGAAAGAAGCACACCCAGAUGUGAUGUCCGUCAUGAUGGCUGAUGUAGCAGUCGAGACUGCCAUGGCGGAGAUGGAGAGAAAAAUUAAUCUCCUGAUGAAGGUUGUUGAUGAACGAGACCACGAAAUUGCAGCUUUAAAGGAGCAGAUGCAGACUCGUGAAACUGCUGAAUCGAGUCAAACUCCUGUCGUUAAAGUUGAUGACAAAGGGAAGAACGUGGUACAAGAAAAUCAGCCACAACAACAAUCAACUUCUGUGGCUUCUCUCUCGGUUCAACAAUUACAAGAUAUGAUCACAAGCUCCAUCAGAGCACAAUAUGGAGGCCCAUCUCAGACUUCUUUCAUGUACUCUAAACCAUACACCAAAAGAAUCGACAACUUGAGAAUGCCGCUUGGAUAUCAGCCUCCAAAAUUCCAGCAGUUUGACGGAAAGGGCAAUCCAAAACAGCACGUUGCUCACUUCGUCGAAACAUGUGAGAAUGCAGGAUCAAGAGGAGAUCAACUAGUCAGACAAUUUGUUCGAAGCUUGAAAGGAAAUGCUUUUGAAUGGUAUACUGAUCUGGAGCCAGAAAGCAUUGAGAGUUGGGAACAACUAGAAAAGGAGUUUCUCAAUCGCUUCUACAGCACCAGGCGUACUGUAAGCAUGAUGGAGCUUACAAAUACGAAACAAAGAAAGGGAGAACCAGUCAUCGACUACAUCAAUAGAUGGAGAGCUCUAAGUCUUGACUGUAAAGAUCGGCUCACCGAACUGUCGGCUGUAGAAAUGUGCACCCAAGGCAUGCACUGGGGACUCCUCUACAUUUUGCAGGGAAUAAAGCCCCGCACAUUUGAAGAACUGGCAACUCGAGCUCAUGAUAUGGAGUUGAGCAUCGCCAGUAGAGGAACUAAAGAUUUUCUUGUUCCUGAAGUAAAGAAAGAUAAGAAAGAGAUGAAAGGUGCUGAAAAGAUAGUGAAAAGCACCUCGAAAGAAUCUAUGGUCGUAAACACAACCCCGCUGAAAUUCUCCAAAGGAAAGGAAGCGAGGGUUGAAAAGAAGGAUGAUGGAAGCGAAAGGCGACGUCUGACUUUAAAAGAAAGGCAGGAAAAAGUUUACCCAUUUCCUGAUUCAGAUAUCGCUGACAUGCUAGAGCAACUACUAGAGAAGCAGCUGAUCCAGCUGCCAGAAUGUAAACGACCUGAGCAAGCAGGAAAGGUAGAUGAUCCCAAUUACUGCAAGUAUCAUCGGGUCAUCAGUCAUCCAGUAGAGAAAUGCUUCGUGCUGAAGGAGCUAAUUCUAAGGUUGGCUCGUGAGAAAAGGAUUGAGCUAGAUUUGGAGGAAGUAGCUCAAACAAACCACGCUGAAGUGACGAUAAUGUCUGAGGCUUCUUCGUCGAGAUUGAUUUUUGAGCAAAGGAAAAGCUUGGUCCAGUUCGGGACCUUUGAGCCUAUAGUUGUCCAAUUCUUUCAGGAAAUCUCAUACGAGGAUCCUCAAGGAGAGAAAAGACCAAUUGAAGAAGACGAUGAAGGGUGGAUAGUGGUGACCCACCGAAAGAAAAGACAGUCGAUCCCGACCCAAAGAGAGUCUCGCUCUUACCAAAACUAUAGAAGAGGAAAUAAGACUCAAAAGAAUAAGAAAAAGAAGAAGACUCAUAAGCUUAAGCUCGUACAUAAUGAAGACAUGAAUUUCUCUCGACCUCAACGCUUAGUGACCUUGGCAGACUUCCUUCCAAAAAGCUUCCUUUGUGAUCAUCAGGAUGAAGACCCAGAAGUCGUUGCGUGUCAUGCUAUCAACACAACGGAGGAAGAAAUAAUCCCUCCAAGAUCACUAGAAGGAGAGGGAGUAUCAAAAGACCUUUCAAGGUUUAAUGUAGAGGAUCUAUUAUCACUUCCUCAAGAGACCAAAACCAUCCUUAUUGAUGCAUUGCUAAAUUCAAGAGCAUCAAGUUCGAGUACUCCGACUAUGACAUAUGAGAGUGGUUCUUAUUGUAUGUCUAUAGACUUCUCAGAUGAGGAUUUGUUGUUGGGAUCUAAACUUCAUAAUAGACCUUUGUAUGUUUCUGGAUACGUUCGAGAACAGAGAGUCGAUCGAAUCCUCAUUGAUAAUGGCUCAGCUGUCAACAUAAUGCCAAAGUCGACUAUGUGGCAAUUAGGCAUCUUGAUGGACGAGCUCUCAAAUAGCAAGCUAGUAAUUCAAGGUUUUAACCAAGGUAGCCAAAGAGCAAUAGGCAUGAUACGGUUAGAACUCAUAAUUGGCGACCUAAAGGCCAGUGCAUUGUUUCAUGUCAUAGACUCAAGGACUACUUACAAGUUGUUACUAGGGCGUCCUUGGAUUCAUGGAAACGGAGUAGUAACUUCAACACUGCAUCAGUGCUUCAAAUUUUAUCAGGACGGUGUAAAGAAGGUUGAAGCCGACUCUAAUCCAUUCUCAGAAGCUGAGUCUCACUUCGCAGAUGCAAAGUUUUAUUCAAAGAAUAAUAAUAUUUUAGAAGUUUUGCCUGCAGAAACCCCUCUUACAAAAGGAGAAGAUAAUUCACAAUUGAAAUCACUCGCAACCACAGAACCACAUGAAAGUGCGAGAACCUUUAACUCUGGAAAGGGUGAAGCAUACACUAGCAACACAAAGGGUAUGAUCUUGAAGGAUGAAAAUGCUGCAAACACACCAGUUUUGCGUUAUGUCCCUCUGUCAAGGCGCAAGAAAGGCGAAUCACCAUUCAUGGAGUCUCCAAAAGGUUUGAAAGUUGGUGACAUCGAAAUCAUAAAAGAAAGCUUCACUACACCACUAACUAAGAUAGCGAAGCAAGAGGUAAAGGUAGAUCUGGUGGAAGCAAACUUGCCCCAAAGGCGAACGAAAGACGGAUUCGACCCCAAGGCUUACAAAUUGAUGGCGAAAGCAGGUUAUGACUUCACAGCUCACACCGAGUUUAAAAGCUUGGAAAUUCAUGACCGACCUGAGCUCUCCUCAACUCAAAAGAAGCUUCUACGGGAAGGACAUUCUAUACCCGUGUCGAGAAAAGGACUCGGAUACAAGUCGCCAGAACCGAUCCGUAUAACUAAAAAGGGGAAGGAAAAAGUGGUUGACAUCAAUCAUAUAACUAUAGAGGAGGAUGACAAUACUGACGUAAAAGAAGGUGAUAAUCAGAGAAUCUCAGUAUUUGAUCGAAUUAGACCAUCUGUUGCACGUCCCGUAGUAUUUGAAAGGCUAAGCAUGACAGAGGCAGAAAGAGAAAGGCUCCAGUCAGUACCAAACCUUGAGAGACAUUCGGUCUUUCGAAGGCUAACUACGACUCCCAUAAAGGAAGAAAGCACAUGCCAUGCCUUGACAACUACAAGACCAUCAGCCUUUGAAAGGCUAGGUGUGUCUAAAAAGAAAAAUGUACAAGCACCCCGUGCUCCGAUUUUUAAUCAUCUCGGGGAUAAAGGAUCACACGACAACAUUGAUUCCAACAUAGAUACAAAGAAGAAGGAACCAAUGUCUCGUGUGAAAGUUUGGCGUCGAAUUAAGCAUACAGAUGUCGAUAAUUAUCGUAGUAAGAAGUUUCCUUGCGAGACAAAGGAAAAUGGAGAAAUUCAUAGCAACGUUCCUUCUCGCAUGAAAAGAAAAACUUUUGUUACUCUCAAUACAAGUCAAGGUUCGUUAAAGGUAAAAAGACAUGAUGUUAUACUAACGAAUCCUGAAAAAGAAGGGUCGGAACAAGGGGAAUGUGAAACUUCAUGUCAUCACAUCACCAUUAUUGAGGAAUCAGAGACUGGAACUCAUGAAGAAGACGCAGAAAAUGCCCCACAAAGUUUAGAGGAUGGUGGCAAUCUACUGUAGACGAGCUAAAAGAGGUGAACCUUGGUACAAUAGAGGAACCACGCCCGACUUUCAUUAGUGCGUCCCUCUCUAACGAAGAGGUGGAUAAAUAUAUGAGUUUGCUCACCGAAUACAGGGACAUCUUUGCGUGGUCGUACAAGGAGAUGCCAGGACUUGACCCAAAAGUAGCAGUCCAUCAUCUUGCAAUUAAACCUGGAUAUCGACCGAUUAAACAAGCACAACGACGUUUUCGACCGGAGCUUAUCCCUCAAAUCGAGGUGGAAGUCAACAAGUUGAUCGAAGCAGGAUUCAUUCGCGAGGUCAAAUAUCCAACGUGGAUAGCAAACAUUGUCCCUGUUAGAAAAAAAAUGGACAACUUCGCGUUUGUGUAGACUUUCGCGAUCUGAAUAAUGCAUGCCCUAAAGAUGAUUUUCCCUUGCCCAUCACCGAAAUCAUGGUUGAUGCAACUACUGGACACGAGGCGUUGUCGUUUAUGGAUGGGUCGUCUGGAUAUAAUCAAAUACGGAUGGCCCUCUCAGAUGAAGAAAUGACAGCUUUCAGAACUCCAAAGGGAAUAUACUGUUACAAGGUGAUGCCCUUUGGAUUGAAAAAUGCCGGCGCUACUUAUCAACGUGCCAUGCAGAAAGUGUUUGAUGAUAUGUUGCACAGGUAUGUUGAAUGUUAUGUUGAUGAUCUUGUAGUCAAAACAAAGAGACGACAAGACCAUUUGAAGGAUCUAAAAGUCGUGUUUGAUCGCUUGCGAAAAUAUCAGCUAAGGAUGAACCCUCUCAAGUGUGCGUUUGGUGUAACUUCAGGAAAAUUUCUUGGCUUCAUUGUAAGGCAUCGAGGGAUCGAAAUAGACCAGUCCAAGAUUGAUGCCAUUCAGAAGAUGUCAAGACCUAAAAGUUUGCAUGACCUAAGAAGUCUCCAAGGACGACUGGCUUACAUCCGAAGGUUCAUCUCUAACUUGGCCGGUCGGUGUCAACCUUUUCAAAAGUUGAUGAGAAAAGGAGAAAAUUUUGUGUGGGAUGAAGCUUGUCAGAACGCUUUUGAUAGCAUAAAGAAAUACUUGCUUACUCCCCCAGUGCUGGGAGCUCCAGUACCUGACAAACCACUAAUAUUGUACAUUGCUGCACAAGAAAGGUCCUUAGGAGCAUUACUGGCACAAGAAGAGGUAAAGGGAAAGGAGCGUUCUCUCUACUAUCUAAGCAGAACAUUAAUUGGGGCUGAAGUUAACUAUUCUCCUAUCGAAAAGAUGUGUCUUGCACUUUUCUUUGCCAUUGAUAAGUUGAGGCAUUAUAUGCAGGCCUUCACGGUUCAUCUAGUGGCAAAAGCAGACCCUAUAAAGUAUGUUCUAUCCAGGCCAAUCAUCGCUGGACGCUUAGCCAAAUGGGCGGUUCUACUCCAACAAUAUGACAUUGUCUAUAUUCCCCAAAAGGCGAUAAAAGGACAAGCGCUAGCAGACUUUUUAGCAGACCACCCAAUUCCUUCGGAUUGGAAGUUAUGUGAUGACCUACCAGACGAUGAGGUUUUCUUCACAGAAGUUAUGGAACCUUGGACUAUGUACUUCGAUGGUGCAGCUCGAAGAAGUGGUGCGGGGGCAGGCAUUGUCCUCAUUUCUCCUGAGAAGCAUAUGUUGCCUUAUAGCUUUGCACUUUCCGAAUUGUGUUCAAACAAUGUGGCUGAAUAUCAGGCUUUGAUAAUUGGCCUUCAAAUAGCAUUAGAAAUCGGAGUGUCAUUCAUAGAGGUCUAUGGUGAUUCAAAAUUGAUAAUCAAUCAACUCUCGCUUCAAUAUGACGUGAAACAUGAAGACUUGAAGCCAUAUUUUGCUUAUGCUCGACAAUUGAUGGAAAAGUUUGAUAAUGUGAUGUUAGAACAUGUCCCUAGAGUAGAAAAUAAGAGAGCGGAUGCAUUGGCAAAUUUAGCCACGGCCUUGACCAUGCCAGAUGAUGUAACUCUGAACAUACCACUUUGUCAACGAUGGAUUAUACCCCCAGUUAGGCCUGAAUGUCAGGAAGUGAACAUGGCAACAUCCUAUUUGAUUGAUGAAGAAGAUUGGCGUCAACCCAUCAUAGAGUAUCUUGAACAUGGAAAGCUUCCAAAGGAUUCUCGUCAUAAAAUUGAGAUACGAAGAAGGGCAGCACACUUCAUUUAUUACAAGGGAACUUUAUAUCGCCGUUCUCUUGAAGGGCUCUUCCUUCGAUGUCUCGGAAAGGAAGAUUCGGUAAAAGCUCUAAAGGAAGUACAUGCAGGUGUUUGUGGAGCACAUCAAUCGGGACCAAAGCUUCAAUUCCAGCUAAGAAGAAUGGGCUACUACUGGCCUAAGAUGAUCCAAGAUUCAAUAGACUAUGUGAAGAAGUGUGAGCCUUGUCAAUACCAUGCAAACUUCAUACACCAACCUCCAGAACCUCUUCAUCCAACUGUGGCUUCUUGGCCUUUUGAGGCUUGGGGACUCGAUCUGGUUGGCCCCAUUACACCAAAAUCAUCAGCAGGACAUUCUUAUAUCCUAGCAGCAACAGACUAUUUUUCAAGGUGGGCUGAGGCCAUUUCAUUGAGAGAAGCCAAGAAGGAGAACGUGGCAGACUUUAUUCGAACACACAUCAUCUAUCGAUACGGUAUUCCACAUCGAAUCGUGACGGAUAAUGGAAAGCAAUUCUCCAAUAGUAUGAUGGACAAGUUAUGUGAAAAAUUCAAAUUCAAGCAAUAUAAGUCAUCCAUGUACAACGCAGCUGCGAAUGGACUAGCAGAAGCAUUCAACAAAACAUUGUGUAAUCUUUUAAAGAAAAUUGUCUCCAAGUCAAAGAGGGAUUGGCAAGAAAAGAUCGGCGAGGCAUUAUGGGCUUAUCGAACGACUCAUCGCACCCCUACAGGGGUUACACCAUAUUCGCUUGUUUACGGUGUGGAGGCUGUCCUUCCUCUCGAAAGGGAAAUUCCGUCACUAAGAAUGGCAGUACAAGAGGGAUUGACUACCGAAGAUAAUGUGAAGUUACGUCUUCAAGAAUUAGAAGCACUUGACGAAAAGCGAUUAGAGGCUCAGCAAGCAUUGGAAUGUUAUCAAGCGAGAAUGUCCAAAGCUUUUGAUAAACACGUUAAACCUCGCUCCUUUCAAGUCGGUGAUCUAGUACUUGCCGUAAGGAGACCGAUCAUCACAACAAGGCAUACAGGAAAUAAGUUCACACCUAAAUGGGAUGGACCUUACAUUGUUAAAGAAGUUUAUACAAAUGGCGCAUACAAGAUCGUUGAUCAAGACGGACUACGAAUUGGCCCAAUCAAUGGUAAAUUUCUUAAAAAAUUUUAUGCUUAAUUUUGUUAGGUAAAAAAAAAAAAAAAAAAAGUUGAACUACGUUAUGACUUGAUCCCUAUAUUAUAAAGGGUACGUAGGCAGCUUAAGGAAAACCUUAAGCCCAGUCCAGCAAAAAAAAAGUUGAACUACGUUAUGACUUGAUCCCUAUAUUAUAAAGGGUACGUAGGCAGCUUAAGGAAAACCUUAAGCCCAGUCCAGCAAAAAAAAAAGUUGAACUACGUUAUGACUUGAUCCCUACAUUAUAAAGGGUACGUAGGCAACUUAAAGAAAAACUUUAAGUUCAGUCCACCAUUAUAAAAAAAAAAAAAAAAAAAAAAAAAAAAAAAAAAAACCUUGAAACUACGUCGUGAGUUAAUUCUUUUCUUCAAAGGGUGUUCAUCUCUACUAAGGAAUCAUAACAAAUUGGGGGCAAAUCCCUAAAUUCAAGAUGUUCAUCUUUAGUAACAAUGAGAUGAAAUAAAAUUGAAGAUGUACAACUCCGUGCAAAGACUAUGUACAAGUUGAGUGCAUGUAAAAGAAAAAAAAAAAAAGGAAUCUCAAUCAAGCUCAAAGGCAUCAUUAAUGAUCCCUCAAAUUCAAGCAUAAAAGUUUUCAUUGAUGAUUCCUUAAUAUUCAAGUUUAAGGCUUCAUCGAGCUGCAGCUCCAGCUCUUUGAGAGGAUAACGAUGGUACAACUUUGAUAGGACGACGAUCGGGCAGCUCUGCCUUCGCCUCUCCAAGAUGAAAACGACAGUGUAACAUCGUUUCUGCCUCUUGAAGAGAUGCAUGAAUGCUAAAGCUUUAACCUCUGCUUCAUCUUCAGGCUUAUUGCAACUGAAGAGGAUUCAUCUUUCAUCGUCUUUCUAAGUUCAUGUGCAAUCGAAGAUGAUUCAUCUUCANNNNNNNNNNNNNNNNNNNNNNNNNNNNNNNNNNNNNNNNNNNNNNNNNNNNNNNNNNNNNNNNNNNNNNNNNNNNNNNNNNNNNNNNNNNNNNNNNNNNNNNNNNNNNNNNNNNNNNNNNNNNNNNNNNNNNNNNNNNNNNNNNNNNNNNNNNNNNNNNNNNNNNNNNNNNNNNNNNNNNNNNNNNNNNNNNNNNNNNNNNNNNNNNNNNNNNNNNNNNNNNNNNNNNNNNNNNNNNNNNNNNNNNNNNNNNNNNNNNNNNNNNNNNNNNNNNNNNNNNNNNNNNNNNNNNNNNNNNNNNNNNNNNNNNNNNNNNNNNNNNNNNNNNNNNNNNNNNNNNNNNNNNNNNNNNNNNNNNNNNNNNNNNNNNNNNNNNNNNNNNNNNNNNNNNNNNNNNNNNNNNNNNNNNNNNNNNNNNNNNNNNNNNNNNNNNNNNNNNNNNNNNNNNNNNNNNNNNNNNNNNNNNNNNNNNNNNNNNNNNNNNNNNNNNNNNNNNNNNNAUCAGGUUGUUGACGAAGAAACGGUAGGGUUAACGAUCUGGAGGCUCCUUGGUGGCGUGUUUGAACAUCUUGAUGGGAAAGUAGAAAUUAAGUUUGAAAACGAAUCACCUAGCUUCCUUGUUGUUAAAGAAAAUAUGAGUUCAAGGCCCAGUACAUGUAGUAUUAAGAGUGAACCAAUAUCUAAUCAAACAGAUCAAGUUCUCGAAAGUAAAAUUAAUAUGUUAGAUUAGAUCAAGAAUACCAAAUAACAUUUAUGAAGAAAAUCUCCCUGGUUCUCUAACUCAAACAGAAAUGGAUACUAGUUCUCAAGUAAAUGUAAUUAUUUUAGAAUCAAAAUUUGAGCUUGACAAAGAAUCCUUACAAAAGGAAUUUAUGUCUAAAGCAAAUUUUAUUGAAAGAAUUUCCUUUUCCGAAACUUACUUUGAAACAGAACAGAAGUUGUUUAGAGAAGUUUCAAGGCUUUUGAAAUACUUCAAGAACAUAUUACAUUUUUUAAAUGGUUCAACCAAAGAAAAGAUUUUGACCAUCUUUGUAGAAUAAAAGAAAAUGAAUAUUGGAAAACUCAAAGAGGAGAAAUCAAAGAUGAUUUCCCUCCGAUGGAAGAUGUUGAGUUCAAAAGUUUUUCUAAUAAGAAUGUUAUAGCAAAUCCUUUUCAAAUUAUCAAUGAAUUUGAACACAAGACUCCUACAAAUAAAGAAAUAAAGAGUAUCCAAGUUUAAAAUAAUUAUUCUAACAUAAUGAUUUCUUCAAUCGUAGUCACGUCUUCAAGUUAGAAGAAAAUUUCAAUUCUUCUACUCUCGAAGAAACUUCUAACCUUUUCCAACCUUUAGAUAAUGUUAAGAUAAAAACUCAUAAACAAAACCUUCCGGAUGAUAUUAAUAAAAACCUAAACAACCUAAGGGGCGAAAGUUUUCAUGGAAGAUUUUGAAAAUCUUUCAUUCAACGAAGAAGAAAAACAAAUCAACAAGAUAAAUUUUGGAAGAUUUGUUAAUAGGAAAGAUAAAAUAAAUUUUCAUCCUUGACCUUCAUUUCCCGGAGAAGAACUAGAGCAAGACAAAUGUAUGUCAUAAAUACAGAAUUCAAUGGAGAAUCCAUAUAUCUUUGGAAUAUUGAUGGAACUCUAGAGUAUCAAAUUUAUGACACAUUGAAUAACAUGUUAACUUGUUCCAUAACCUAUGAAUCCAAUGCUCAUACAAAUGGAGAGGCUCCUAUGCUUCUAAUCAAUGGAUUUAGUGGAACUUUCAAACUAUGGUGGGAUCAUGCCCUAAUCAAUAAACAAAAAGUAGCAAUUAAAAAUCAUAGGACAAGAAUCAAAAGGACAAUUAAGACUAAAGAUGGAGCUUUAGUAACUCAAGAAAUAAAAGAAGAGUGAGAGGACACUGUUCCUCUUUGAAAAAAUUUAGAUGGUACAAAAACAUGUUCUUAUUUAAAAUUUAUAUAUUUUUAAGGAUUGUAAUGUCAGACACUUGAAAGAAAUGUCCAUUGAUAGACUUUCAAGCUUCAUGGCAGAAAGAGUCUAAAACUCCCUCAACAAAGCAUAUCCUAAGGAAAUACCUUGGGAAACUCUUACCUAUGUCCAACUAACUUCUAGAAUCAUAGAAUGUGGUUUAGAUAUAUACGAUGAGAUAAAAAUUCAAACCAAAGUACACAAACAUUCAAAUCUUCAUAAAAAAUAAAUAAAGACAUUUUGUUCUCGAAUUUGAGAAGGUCAAAGAACCAGCUUCUUCUUCAAGAAAAAUUCGACCAAAAAACUAUAAUAUGAAACUCACAUAUUAUGGAAAAUUCCAAGGUAUAACAAGUCUUACCCCAAAAGAAAUAUCACAAAUAUUCAAAUUACAAAAAACCUGCAGAAAAUCAACCCAAAAAAGUUCAAAAAAGAGGAAAAUCAAACAAUUUGUUUUUUUUUUUUUUUUUGUUAGAAAUAAAGAAAAGAAGGACAUUAUGCCAAUAAGUGUCCACAAAGAGAGAUUCAUGAAAAAAAAAUGAAGAAAAAUAUUAUUAAGAUUUAUCUUAUAUUUCUAACUUUCAAUUGUAGGAAAUUACAGAUCAAACCAAUUCAAAAAUUUCAAGUCAAGAACCAUAUAAAUAUAUUUUAAUUUAAAUAAAUGUUUUAACUUUCAAACAUAAUUUAUUAUUUCAAACAAUUAACCAUGUUUCAAAUGAAGAUUUAAAAAGAAAUAUUUUGGAAACCAUCUCUAAAGAAGAAAAUGAUUUUGAAAAAAGUCUUUAAAAAGUUUUACAAACUCCAAAAAUAUAAACACCAAUUUCUAUUGAAUUUUGAAAUCAAUUGUCUAGAAAGAAAAAUUUCUCAAAAUAAAUAUGAAAUUUUAUAAAUUAAAAAAGAAAUUUCUCAAAUAAAGCAAAAUGAUAAUUUAGAUGAUUUAGACCUAAGGAAAAGAUUUUUUAAGUAAUCUAAAUGCUAAAAUUAAUUUAAUUUCAAGAAUAAGUUUUCAAAAAUAGUAUUUUUUAAUUAUUUUAAAAAUAUAAAAUUUUAAAAUUACUUUGAAAGCAUUGAUAGACUCAGGUGCAAAUCAAAAUUGUAUUCAAGAAUGUUUAAUUUCUACAAAAUAUUUUGAAAAAAUCACAUAGGUUUUUAUUAGAGCAAACAUAAAAAAAAAUAGAAAAAUUGCAUCAUAUGACAAAAAAAAAAUAGAAAUAAGCAGUCCAUAAUACAUUUUUUUUUUGCAUAUUGCAAAUAUGACAAAUAUGACAAGUAAUUAGAUAUAUCAGAUAAGACGGUUAUCAGGGCUAUUGGAGGGCUAUCCGAUUUAAAUUUACUAUUUUUGCAAUUUAGAAAAUGUAGUGUCAUUAGUUCUAUUACCAUAAAUUUUUUUUGCUAUUUUUGCAAACGCACCCCAAAUGAUUAAUUAAAUAUCAAAUUUAAACUUUCAAAAGUAUAUGUUUGUAAUAAAAAAUUUUGUUUCAAAAUAUAUUUUCUUUUAGUCAAACAUCUUCGCUAAGAAUUAAUUCUUCGGACACCUUUAACAAAUAAAUUUGGAGAAGAAAUGAUUUUUGAAUUUAUCUCUCCAAUUUUACCUCAUCAACUUUUAAAAAUUAUUGUUUUGAAAAGUGAACAAAUGAAAAGAAAAUAAAACAAACUAGUUUUCGAAAAUAAGAAAUUCGAUUACAAAAGAAUUGAAAAAAGUUUAAAAGAAUUUUCAAUUUAAAAUAGGAUAAAAGAAAUGGACACUUGCAAAAAUAGCAAAUAUAUAUAUAUAUAUAUAAGAUAAUAGACAUAUGUUACUACAUUUUCUAAAAUGCAAAAGUAGCAAAUUUAAAAGUCGAUUACCCUCUGAUAGCGCUCCGAUAGUCAUCUUAUAGUUGUCUAAUAUCACUAAUUUUGUCAUAUUCGCAAUAUGCAAAAAGUAGGUGUCGUAUGCUGUUUUUUUUUUAAAUGUUUUUGUCAUCUGAUGCAAUUUCUCAUUCAAUUUAAAAUUGAAAAGAAAUUUGUUCUAGUUCACCACAUGCAUUGUGGGAUAGGAAAAAACACAUAGUUGAUCUUCCAUAUUCUAAAGAAUUCAAAGAAUCGGAUAUCCCAACAAAGACUAGAUCGAUUCAAAUAAAUUCAUACUUGCUAACACAUUGUAGAAAAGAAAUACAAAACUUUUAGAUAAAAAUCUAAUAAGAUACUAUAAAAGUCUAUGGUCGUGUGUCGACUUUUAUGUCAAUAACGUCGUCGAAAAAGAGCAUGGAGUUCCAAGGUUAGUAACCAACUAUAAACCUUUAAACAAAGUCUUGGAAUGAAUUAAAUAUCUAAUUCCCGACAAACAAUAUUUAUUAAAAAGAAUUGCAAAUGCAAAAAUAUUUUUAAAAUUUGACAUAAAAUUCAAAUUUUGGCAAAUUCAAAGUUUCGAAAAAGAUAAAUACAAAACUGCUUUUAAUGUUCCGUUAAGACAUUAUGAAUAGAAUUUAAUGCGUUUUGGGCUAAAAAAUGCACCAUUAGAAUUUCAAAAAAUCAUGAAUGAUAUUUUUAAUGAUUUUCAAGAUUUUACAAUUGUUUAUAUUAAUAAUGUUUUGGUCUUUUCUCCAAAUAUAAAAAAGCAUUUUAAGCAUAUCAAUAUUUUUAUAGAUAUUAUAAAAACAAAUGGUUUGGUAGUCUCUCUACCAAAAGUAAAAUUAAUUUGAAACAAAAAUAAGUUAUUUGGGCUUUGAAAUACAUGUAGGAGAAUUUAAGCCGAUUCAGAGAUCAAUUGAGUUUGCUUUAAAUUUUAGGGCUGACAAGAACAAUGACAAUUUAUGAGGUUUAUUUUGAGAAAAUAGCAAAUUUAAUUUUAAAUUGUUAGAAUGGUAAAACUCAAAAAUCUGUAAAUAAAUAAAUGAAACAAUGUCUCAAAUGCCCCUACCCAAUUCAAAAUCAGUUCUAAAUACAAUUGUUCAUCUAAACCCCAAAUACCUUGUAAUUAAAUAACACAUCCUUGUUGAAAUUGUGCAUGUUUAGGUAUUAAAAGCCGAAAAGAAUCCAGCUUCACUACCUUCCACUUUCGUAGAUUCCACUAAAUCUUCAAAGUCUUCGAUUCAUUUGCUGAAAAGAUUGGAGCUUUAAACUUCGUUCUUCUCGAAACCUUCAAAGUUUUCAUACAUUCAGUGCAAAUCAAAGAAUUUUCUUCUUGUCAACCAUCUUUUUCAUCAAACCGAUUAUAGAUUCUUUUUUGUUUCACGCAAAGGUAAGCUUCUUCAACGGAUUUUCUUCUUCGCUCGUUUAAAUUACAACAACAAUAUAUCCGCUUGAUUUUUAGAAAAGAUACAAUGUAUGUCACAAAACCCCAACAACAACAAAGACACUAAAAUUCGACGGCUGACAGUGGCUGAAAGUUUUGGCAUAAUCGGUGAACGAAUGCAGAAGAAGAAAACCGGCGCAACUGGGCGUGUAGCGGAGGAGAUGUUUCUUUAUAGCUUAGUUCUUGAUCAACAUAAUGGAGGAGAUGGUUACAAAGGUGAGAUCUCGAUUGGACGAAGAACACUCGAACGGAGAUAGAAGUGUCAGCGGCGGCUAGGGUUUGGUGAAGUGAAGAAGAUGAUGAAUAGUAAUAAUAAUAUUAUUAUAUUAUUAUUUCCCUUAAAUAUCUUCCUUUUCCUUUUUUUCUUUUCCAAUUUAAAUAAAACAAAUCUUUUCUUCUCAAUUAAUUCUUCCAAAAAUAAAAUAUUAUUUUUAUAAAUAUUUUGAAUAUAAAUAAUUCGAAAAUGUUAAAUUUAUGUUUGCUAUUAUUUUGGAGAUAUAAAUAAUCUUAGCAUGAUUUUAGGGAUAAAAAUUUUAAAUUCAAAUUAUUAUUAACAUAACUAUUUUUAUAAAUUUUUAAAUCAAUUUUAAUAUUUUGACGGUUUCAAAUCAAAAUUUAAAAUCUAUUUUUAAAUAACAAUUAUGGAAAAUAGAUAAAGAUAUUAACAAGAUAAUCCUAAAAUUUUGAAAUUAUGUUUGACAUUAUUUUAGGAAAUCAAUCAAUACCACGAUUAUAGGGGAAGAUCAAAAUUUUCUUAGAAUAAUCAUAUAUAUAUCAUUAAAUGCAUCAUAAUUAUAGGGUAAGAUACAAUUUUAAUUUUAACAACCACAACUAAAUAAAUUGUUAAUUACUUGAUUUGAAACCUACAAACAAGAAAACUGGAAUAAAUUGUAGCUUAAAUCUAGGGAUGUUGAUUCAAUCAAAUUAUUUCGAAAAUAAAUAUUUAUUUAAUAUUUUUACACAACUGAAUGAUUUGCAAAUACAAUGUAUUCGUGAUUUGGGUUAUAUUCCAUCAUUACCAUCAUUUUAAUGUAGUAGACUAUAUCUAUCAGAUAAGAAUUUUCCUCUAUACAAGUAAAAUCGACUAAAAAUAUAAAAAAGUGAAAUUAUUAUAUUUAUAUUUGACAUAAUUUUAGGGAAGAUCUAAAAUUUAAAUUCAAAUUGUUAUUAAAACUAUAUCAUGUAUUAUUUAAUAAAUUGUACAAAAUAACAUGUUUAGUUAAGAUUUACAAAUUUGAAUGUUAUUUACAAAAUAGUGAAUUUGUGCUAUUUUCAAUAUCAUGUCUCGUUUUUUUACCUAUUGAAAUAAAUUGUAUUUGGAAUAUGUGAAAUCAAGAUGGUAAUGAACUACAUCUUGAUGACCAAAUUUUUUAUCUUUUUUUGUGUGUCCAAAAUCUGUUGAUUGGAAUAUGUUUGUAUAAUAGAUGACUAUAAGAUUUUAAAGAUUGUGGAUCACAAUUAUGAUGUAUUUGAGACUCUUACUAGAUGAAAAUAAACGUAGAUAUUAACGUAAUUUAAAAACACGUCUCAAAAUAAUUAUUCCUACCAUUGGCACAAUAAAACAAUUUUUAAAAAAUAAAAUAACAAUUAGACGAUUUUAGGGAAGAUAAAAUUUUAAAUUCAAUUUGUUACGAGCAAUACGUAUUUUGGAGGUAAAUUUUAAAUUCAAUAAUUUUAUAAAUAUUUUGAAAUAUAAAUAAUCAAAAAUGUUAAAUUUAUAUUUGCCAUUAUUUUAGGGAUAUCAAUCCAAUAACACGAUUUUAGGAGAAUUUACAAGAAUUUAAAAUCAAUUUUUAAAUGGUAGUAAAUAAUAUAUAAAGAAAAUGUUUCUAAUUUAAUGAUAAUUACAUAACAAGAUUGCAUUGUGUUAUGUUACCAUUUAUUCCCUAAAAUAAUCUUAACAAUUUAUUAUUAUUAAUAUGAUCAAUCCGAAAAUGGAAUAAUUGCUAUAUACAUAAUUAUAGGAAGAUACACCAUUUAUAUGAAGUUGUUAUUAUAUAAAAUGCAUAAUUUUAGGUAAAAGAUAUUAUUUUAAAUUCAAAUUUUUGAAUCUUCCAACGAACCUACAAUUAAGCAAUAGAUAAUCUGUUAUAAAUUUAAGGCAUGAAUCUAGAAUUUAGUUAAAUGAGAUCAAUAGAUAAAAUAAAUAUUUAUUUAAUAUUAUUAUAAAAUUGAAUGAUAUCCAAAUACAUCGUAAUCGUAAUUAUGUGUUAUGUUUUAUUGUUUUACGGUUCACAAAUAUAUUGUAAUUAACAAAAUGAUAUUCAUUCUAUCAAGGGAUAAAAUCGGUUGAAAGAUUCUCAAAAAGUAUAUAUGUUUUACAAUUUUGCUAAAAUUCAAAUUAUUUUUUAAAUUUGCUUUUUUCCAAACUGCACUAUCUUAUUUUGUAAUUCUCACAAUUUUCUCUAAAUUUUACUAAUCAAAUUCGAGAUAAAACCCAUCUUCAAAGGUUUUUGGACUGCCUAGAUUAUGUGCUUGAUUUCAUAAAGAACCUCAACCGCAUUUGCAAACCGUUGUACAAAAGGUUAAAGAAAAAUUUAAAACCAUGGUCUGAUAAGCACACCCAAAUUGUUCAAAAAAUUAAGUCUUUAGUCAAAUGAAUCAUUUGUCUCAAUCUCAUUAAUUCAAAAGCAAACCUUAUCAUUGAAAUUGAUGCCUCUAAUAUAGAAGAUGGAGGAAUCCUCAAAUAGUGUCUAGAUAAGACCGAAUCAAUGAUCUGACUCCACUCAGAAAUUUGGAAUGAUACACAAAAAAUUACUCAACGAUAAAAAAGGAAUUACUUGUCGUAGUUCUUUGUGUCUUAAAAAAUUCCAAGGAGAACUAAUCAAUAAAAAAUUCAUAAUCAAAACAAAUUCAAGAGCUUCAAAAUUCGUGUUAGAAAAAAAUGUGAAAAAUCUUGUUUCAAAACAAAUUUUUGCCAAAUGGCAAACCGUCUUGCUUUGAUUUUGAAGUUGUGCCUAUAAAAGGAUAACAAAAACCCCUAGUUGAUUACAUCUCAAAGGAGUUUCUAACUCCAAAACUCUCUCCUUUUUAAAAGCACUCGAAGAAGAAGAAUGAGUUUGGAAAAGGAAAGUGCAAGAUGAAGAGUAAACUCGACCUCUUCAAAGGGCAACCACCCAUCUCUUCUUCUUCUAAUUAUGCACCUUCACACAUGAGUGCAGAUCAAUAUGCUAUGGAUAUAAGGAAUACCACAGUAACCUAAUCCAGAGUAAGAUCAUCGGGCAUACGGACUGGAUCUCCCAUAGAGCCAUCAACUCCAUCUAGGCCUUCGGCCAAUCUCAUCUGUCCUUCUAGCGGAGUUGUUCCAAUGAGGCUUCCUACCUCUCCUUCAUCCAAUAGGGAGUCUUCCACUCCUCCUCUAACUUAUUCUCAUGCUGUCACUUUCGAUAAACGGUUCGUGCCAAGACCCAAGAUCAAAACUUAUUUUUAAAAUUCGAUCGUGGUCUAUGGUCCUAUCAUAGAACUCGAAUAUCAAAGUCUCACUCUAUAAGAGAGUUUAAAAAAUAUUCCCCCAAGGGCUUCAACUUCGAUCCAAAAGACCUCAAAAAAACAAGAAAAUUCUAUGAGUAUAUUUUAGCUGAUCCUUUAAAAAUUGCAUAUUCAAAAUUAAAAAAUUUCAAAGCAAUCAAUUGAUCAACUCAUUAGAAUCAAAAACAUUUUACAAAAAAAAUCAUUUUCAAAGCGUUUUGUUCCUCAAUCUUACUCCUUUCAAGAUUACAUCAAAACUUGGUUUAGAGUAUUUUAAUUUUCAAAUAGAAACCAUUCGUGGUUCUUUCUUUUUGUCAAAACGCCUACAAAAUUAAUUUUCCUUUAUGGUUUAUUCAAUGGUUGAAUAACUUUGGUAUUACCAACGAUAUUCUACCAACUCCAAUUCAAGAAUCAUAUUUUUAUUUUUCAAGAACAUUUCAAAAGAAUUCAUUUCAUAAUUCGAUGAGAUUUUGCCUUUAUUUUCAAAUUCUAUGGAUAUUUUGUUGGAGCUACAAUAUAACAUCAUAUCCUCAAUACAAAAUGUUAGUAAAAAAUCUGAAGAUCCAACGGUGGGAAAAAUAAAACUUUCAACAUGUCACCGUCAACACACGUGAAAGAAUGGUUUGUAAAGAACAACUAUUUACAAGACCUUGAUCAAAGAAAGAAUGCUGAAUUCUUAAAUGAUAAACCAAAGCUUCUUGCAGAACUUGCUCAAGCCACGACUGAUGUAGAUUUCCAAAGAUUACUAUUAACAGCAAGUAAAUGCUUCCUCAUCUUCAAAUCAAUCUCUUCCUCCAUAUAGGAAGUGAAGAGCAAGCAGAUCCAUAAUACGAUCUGGAUGACCCGUAUCUCGACUCACGACCUAUGUGAGCUCCGAACCCAUAUACAUGUUUCAAAAGGAAAAUAGAUUAUAUAUAGAGUCUUCUAAAAGAAGAUUUCUAUUCAAAUUAUUAUAUUAUAAAAAAUAAUAAAAAUAAAAUGUAUUUUCGCAUCCCUAGUAUAAAAAAUAAAUAUUGUUCUGUCAUCCAGAAAUUCAGGAAAAAAAUGAAGACAAUAAGUACAAUUCAAGAUCAAGUCUAAAAGCUAAAAUGAAAUUGUGUAUAUUUCGUAAAGUGUUAAACUACAUUUGAUGGUCGGGAUCGUAAGUGACAAUGUUGAAGUGCAGGGAGUCCAUUGGUCAGUCAAUAAUGAAGGUACCAAAUACGAAUAAUAGUAUACACAAUUACAACUUGAAAGGACAACAAAUAUUCUUGGAGAGUAGAAAGAAAACUUCAAUUUCUCCUUGGAUCAAUGGCCGACAAAUUCAUUUCCUGUUAUAAAUCUUUCCAUUUAUUAUGCAGAUAUAGUAAUGUUAAUAAUUAAUAUGUGUGAAUAAUAAAUACGUUAGUUACUAACUAUGCACAAUAAUUAUAAAACUAUUAAAGUAAAUUAUUAAUAAAGCAGUUUAUUAGGUGGUGGAAAUUUCCACACUUUAGUUUUGUACGAAAAUAUGAUUUCAAUAAUUAUCCACUACUUUCUAAUUUAUAUAAAUAAUUUUAAAAUUUUAGGAUUUUACCAUCCACCAAAUCUUACUCUGAACCAUUUUAUCUAGUUGAUUCGAUCUUAUCUUUUUUCUUCAAAAUUUUAUCGAAUAAGAGGUUAUGUUCUAUCUGAUUUGAUUUUAUCUUCUUUUUUUUACUUCAAUUGCGUUUGAAAUUCGAAGUCUAUAAAUAGACUUUCAAGUUGUAAUGCGAAGCAUGUCACGAAAUAUUAUUUAGCUCAUGAUAUUUUCACUGCAUUCUUUUCUUGUAAAUUAUCAAGCCUAAUUCUCUUUACAGUUAGCAUCAAGCAUGCAACUCAAACUCAAAACAGAGUGUACACUAUUUUAUUAUCUUUUAAUUAGUGAUGUAUGUUUAAUUAAAGUUUAAAUUGUAUGUGUAUAAAGUAUGUCAUAUAGAUUUAAAAUCUCAUUAUAAGUUGACAUGUCCACGCAUUCAAAAUAUGUUAUAAUGGCUAUAAUGUAUAGUGUGCAUGUUAAUUAAUUUAUAUGGAAGUUAUUAAUAUGAUUAAUUAAUUUUGAUUAAAUACGAUUUAAUAAAAUUAAUUAUAAAUUUAUUUAAUUUAAUUAGAAGUUAAAUAAAUUAAAAUCCAUAUUUAUUAGAGUCAUUUUUAAAAAUAGUAAAAUAAAUUAAAAUAUUUAUAAACUAUAAUAAAAUUUUGAAUUCUAUUACCGUAGUAUAUCAAUGAAUCAGUAAAAAUUUACUAUAGGUUGUAAAUAUUUUGUAAAAGCUACUAUUUUUUAAAAAAAAAAAUCCUAGUUUUAAUUUAAUUAAAUAAAAUUAAACUAAACUAUUUUUGAUUGAGAUAAUCUUAGUGUCAUUCAAAUUACUCACAAUAGUGUAUUUCAUGAACGAGCAAAGCACGUUGAGAAUGAUUGACACUUUAUUCGCCAUCAUCAUAAAGCAAAACUCUUCAUCUUCAAUUCAUCUCCACCACAGAACAACCAGCUAAUAUCUUUACGAAAGCUUUUCGUUCUCUUUGCUUCACUCAAUUACUUCACAAAUUCAAGUUGGUCUCUAUUCUAAAUUAUGAAAUUACUUGAUAUAUUUUUCUUAUCUUACUCUCUUUUUAUAUAUAAUUAUCUUUAUAUUAGUUCUGUAAUAUAGUCAAUUUUGGCCAUAGAAAUUACUUACCAAUAAUUUCAAAAAUAUGAUGACAUGAAUGCUAUCGUACAAUUCUCUCAUUUGUAAGAAUAGAAAAAAGAAAUCUACAAAUAUAACCAAAAAAAAAGAAAAAAACCGUCCAAUUCUCUAAUAGUCUAUUAAAUUAUUUUUAUGAGAAAAUAGUUUAAAUUAUUUGUUUAUUUUGGAAAAUUGGAUGACAAAACAAUUAGAAAAAAAAAUAGCUAAAGCACCUCUUCCUUGGCAAAUACGACAAAAUGAUACAUAUAUCAAAUGACUAUAGCUAUCCGUUUUUAAAUUUACUAUUUUAGUAAUUUAGAAAAUAGAGUGAUAUAAACCCUAAUUGUUUUUACUAUUUUUACAACACUUUUUUUUUUUUUGUAACAAUUUAUCAAACACUGAAAAAAUUAGAAAUAACAAAACAAAAACAAAUUUGGAUUGUGCAAUUAAUUUUCUUUAUUGUUGGGAGAUAAUUUUUUAAAUAAAAUAUUUAUUAUUAUGGAAUUUUUUAAAAUAUAUAACAAAAAUGUAAUAUAUUUAUAUCGUAUUGAUCAAAUUUGAAAACGAAAAAAUUCCAUAGACCUACAAUGAAAAUACAAAAAAUACCAUAGUCAAUAUAUGAUUAAUCAGUCACACGCACGCAUGUAAUUCUUGUUCUAAACGAUCAUGAUACACGAUCAUGUUGGAAAUGAUACACAAUCGUGUAGGUAAUAUCAACACAAUCAUGUAAUUAGUAUCAACAGGAUAGUGUAGUUUUUUUAACGAUGAGAAAAACGCUUCAAAUCUAAACGAUCGUGUUGACCACGCUAAACAGUCGCGUUGACUAUGGUAAGCGAUCACUUAGAUCAUAUCCACACGGUCAUGUAAUUCUUUUCAAAACGAUGGAAAAAUGGCUUCAAAUUUAAACGAUUGUGUUGAUUAGAUAAGCGAUCGUUUAGAUUAUAUUCACACGAUCAUGUAAUUCUUUUUAAACAUGGAAAAAGGACUCCAUAUCUAAACGAUUGUGUUGAUCAUCCUAACUAAGUGAUCUUUUAUAUAUAUGAAAGUAAUAUCUAAACAAUCUUGAUAUUCUAGAAGAUGAGUUGGAAGAAAGAAAUAAAAAAUAAAGAUGAAGAAAAAUAUAAGAAAAAAAAUCUGAAAGAGAAGUUGUAGAAAUCUGGAAAAGAAAAUGAAUAAAUCGAAAAGAAAGAGAAUGGAUUAAUUGUUCACGAUAUCAAAAGCAAAUCUAGAAUUUAAGAAAAUAUUUUACCAGCUUUAUGAACUUUUUGUUUUUGUUAGCAGUAAAUAUUUUGGUUUUUUUUAUUACAUUUAUGAAAAUGAGUAGAAACAUUUCUAAAAAUAGCAAAAUAAAUUAAAAUAUUUAUAAAAUAUAACAAACUUUUGUAUUCCAUCAAUAAUAGUCACAUAUAUAUUUCUAUUACUGUCUAUCAAUACCACUUAUAGAAGCGUAAUACUCACUAUCAAUGUUUAAUACUGAUAGAAUCUGAAAAUUUUGUAAAUAUCUAAAAUCACCCGAUACGUCAGAAAUAUUUUGUUAAAUUUGAUAUUAUUCAACAUGCUUCACGUCAUUUCAAACUAUUCAGGACAAUAGUUAUAAUGCAAACAUUUAAUUCAAUUAAAUGCAAACUGUUCGGUGUAUAUAUAUAUAUUUAUGAAUUAACCAGCUGUCCUAAAACAUAUAACAUUUGUCACUCACAGCCCCACAACCAAUCCUCUCAAUUAAGACACUUUGAAUUCAAAUUCUUCCCUUUCAAUUCAUGAUUCAUCUAUACAUAUAAAUAUAAGGGGAAAUUUUUAAUUUACCUCUUCAUUUUAUAUAUUUUAUUUAUUUAAAUCUAAAUUAAUAAUUAUAUAUGAUUUAAUCUUUAGCUUCUGUAAAAAUUUCAAUUGACACUACUUUUAAGAUUUGAAUUUUGAUCAAAGUUGCAUGAAACAUAUAAUUGUUUAUGUUAAUCUUAAAUUAUAAUAACAGAAAUAAUUUAUAUCCUUUAUUAAGAUUAAAUAAAUUAUCCAUGUAUUUAAAUCUUCCACUCUCGAAAUAGAAUUUAAAUGUUAAAUUUAUCAAAUAAAUAAGUAGGAGUUCAUGUAUGAAUUUUGUUAAACAAAGUAAUAGAAUAUCUAAAUUGAUUUGUUUAUAGACAUUAUAAAGAUAUCUAGAAACGUUUAAUUGAUGCGAAGAAGGGCACCAUACUAAAGUAUUUAGAAAAAUAUUAGUAAAAUAUCACAUCGAGUGAUAUACUAUUAAUAAUAGUAUAAUGUAAUCUAUACAAAAGUUUUUUUUUUUUUGUUUAUUUUAGUAUAUUUGAAAACAAAUUGAUAUAAUGGUUAUGAUACCAUCUAUAAUUUAAAUUUUAAGGGUUUAAGACAAACUAUUUAUACUUUAUAGAAAAAAUUACUGAAUAUAACUUUCCAAAUUUUUAAAAAUCUACUUUGAUUAAAUUUAAAUUCAUAAAAACUAACCAAAACUAAUUCAUAAAAACUAACCAAAACUAACAAACCAGGUUAAUAGAACUAAAGUAAAUCCACUCUUUACAUAUCUUAAUCAACAACGAGAAGACUUACUUAUUUUUGUAUAUGUUUAGAAGGAGCUUUUGUAAAAAUACUUAUUUUGUAUAUGUUUAGAAGGAGCUUUUGUAAAAAUAGCAAAAAUGUAUGAUAAUAGAAAUCAUGUCAUAAGAUUUUUUAAAUUUAUAAAAUUUGAGGGAUAACUGCCUCAUAGUCUCAUACAAUUACUGUCUGUUAGUCCUACAACAACUCUUGCAACAACUCUAGAUUACGGAUGAUUAUCGUUUAAUAGUAGUCUGAUAUCAUUAACUUUGUCAUAAUACGUCAUAUUCGAAGUAUGCAAAAAAAAUAGUGUUGUCAAACUUAUUUUGAAAUAUUUUUGCAAUUUUUCUUUUUAUAAAAGACAGCAUGAAAAAAUCUAGUAAGUUUUAAUAAAAAGCAAAAAUCUUCCCUAACAAUUUUUUUUUUUUUGGUUGAAAAACUAUGUAAGUUGGAGACAUAAAGAUAUUUGCAACCUAAUCAUCACCAAGAUAUUGUUCAAUUUUACUUUACAGCAACCUAAAAAAGAGAAAAAAGGUGAAACAUUUAACAAAGAAAACACCAAUCUAAAAAUAUCUUUAUAGAAACAUACCAUACCUAUUAUUUUAAUUCAUUAAAAGAAAAAGAAAAGAGAUAUAUGAUCAACAUGAACCUACUUUAAUAACUUUCUUUUAUUGUUUUAUUCAUAGGAAUAACUAUAAAAUUAUUCCAGCUUAAUUUCCACACAUAUGGCCAAAAGAAAGACCCUCUAACACCUUGGAGUGGGAACACCACAUUUGGAAGCAACAUGUUUGGCGCCAGGAGAAUUCACAUAAGGACUCAAAGCUGGGUUCUUUAUGUACCCGCAAAGACAUUGUUGCUGCUCUCUCAAUUUGCUGCAGCAAGUGGCGGAUGGGUCUGCCAUCGACGUGAUUGCCCUGGCACAUGAGCUCAGCUCCGAAGGUCUGCAACUCACCGCCUCUGCAACACGAACUCCGCCAAGAACGGCCAGCACGAAAAGACAAACAACUGUGACUGGAAGAACUUUGUUCAUUGUCUCUUGGUUUUGAUAGAAAUCAGUAAUGUUUGUUGAAGGGAAAGGGAAAAGGAAAAGGAGAAAGAGGAAUAAUAUGGCUUUAAUUGUCUGUUUUUCCCCCCAACUCUUUUUUGUUUGUAUUUAUAGCCACAUAAAGUUGGAAGAGUUGAUAAAAGGGCCAACCCUAUUAUUAAUUUCUCAUUUCCAAUUUCACCUACUUUUCUCUUUGAUUUUAAUUGCUUCCAACAUCCUUUUCCAUAAAGUUAAUAUUGUGAUGAUAACAAUUAACAAAUAUUGUUGGCAUUGAUUUAAAUGUUGGGUUGCUCUACACGUUUGAUCUAUUCUAGAGCACAAAAAUUACCACAAUUAUUUUAACAUUUUUUUGAAUUAUCCUAAAUCAUAAAAGGAAUUAGAGACGAAUAUAUUUUGCUUGUUUUUAUUUCUUUUUACAAUGGUUUGGUAUAAAUAUGCAAUACAAGAUAAUAUUAAAUAUGAAAAGAUUGGGAUAUAAUCAAAUAUACAAUUUGGGCAAAAAUAAAGGGCAGAAAUUGAGGAGUAGAUUAUGAAGAGGAUUGUGAUUUUGGAAAAUAUCCUCUAAUAUCCUCCCUCAGAUUGAUGACUCAAAAUGAGUCAAUAGUUUGUCUCGGAGUUGUAGAAGUGUUGUAGAUGAGAGUGACUUUGUUUGUAGAUCAACAAGUUGAUCGUUGGAAGAGAUGUAACAAAUGAAAGUUUGAAAAAAGUGGUAAUCAAUCUCAAUGUGUUCAGUGCGAGCAUGAAACACGAGAUUAUGAACCUGAGAUAUAGCUAAAACAUUAUCACACCAUAAGGUUGUUGAAGAUUUAAAGUGGAACAUGAAGAUCACAUAGAACUUGUCGGUUCCAGUAAAGAUCUGCAGUGGUAGUGGCGAGUGAGCAAUUUUUUGCUUAUGUGGAAGAACGUUAGACUGUAGGUUGCUUUCUAAAAGACCAAUAGAUAUGAUUAUAACCAAGAAAGACAAUGAAUCCAUAGGUGGAAUGUCGAUCAGAAGUGUCGCUAGCACAAUCAGAGUCAUAAAAGGUUUAUAGAUAUAAUUAAUGAACCCAUGCAAAAUUUUAUCCCAAGGGUUGAGUACCACAUAGAUAUCGUAGGAUGCAUUUGAUUGCAGAGAAGUGAAUAACAGUGGGUUUGUGCAUCAAUUGACUAACACAAUUUAUAGAGAAUGAAAUAUCAUGGUGAGUAAAGUAAGGUAUUUUAAUGAAAGGAGUCAGAUGGAUGGGUCAUUAAAUGACAAAACUGUUGAAAUUUAUGUCAUAAAACUCGUAGUUUGUAGUUUAAAAGUAUAUUUUAUUCAAUAAAGUGGUUAUUGAGGAUUUAUUAAUAGAAUACUAUAAUCUUGAAUCUAAAUAAACUAAGGUCCUUAUGCUACCUAGUGUAGACUUGAAUUUACAUAAAUGUGGAUCAAGUUCAAGUAUAUAGCCCAAAUGGUCUAUAGUGUAUGAAUAAGCCUUAUUCUUGUUGUAGUUAGUACAAACGAUAUGAUCCUGAAUCGUUCAUGUAGAGACCAUGGAAGUUGGAGUAUCCUAUGUACAAAGUUUACAUAAGACUGAAAUCAUAAAAUAAUCACUUUUAAGUUAUAACACCAUUGAUUGUAUAAAACUGACUAUUUUGUUUAUUGAUGACCCAUGUAACUUAAUCUUAAUCCUAAGUUAACUAUGAACUUUGUUCACACGAAAUUAUCCUUAGAUCUGCAUAGGUGAGGUAGCUCAACGACACUGACACAAUAAGCCUCCCAUUUUAGGAGUAAGAUUGGGUGGAUGGCUAGGUGUAACGAUCCAAACUUUUCAAACUAAACUGAGGUAGUUACUUUAAUACAAAUGCACUUCUUUUAAACAUGAGUGUUUAUAAAAUAUGUUAAAAUCAAUAAACAUCAAAUAAAUCUUUAUUCAGGCCCUAUUUCAAACAAAAUUAAAGGUUCGAAAUUAUUGUUUAUAAAAUCAAGAAAUAAAUUGUUGUGCUAAACAUGAAAUUCGUUUCAGUCACAACUACUAAAGUAAAACAAAAGAAAACUGUAAGCGGAAGCUAUUUUAAAGAAAAUCCUCCUAUGGCGAUCACGUCUCCUUCUUAUUCCUCGUUGGUCGGUCUCUUAUAUUACUUUUGCCUGAAAGUUAAACAUAAAAGGGUGAGUAUAAACAUACCCAGCAAGAGACACACUACUGGUCCCACUAGGGUAAAAUUAUUAACUUUCUAUUGGAAGGUACCAUGUAUCAUAACAGUCUUGUGAUCCCGUAGGAUGCACAUAAUUAAUCUAAUGCUCAUAAAAGAUGCACAUAUCAGUCUAGUGCUCCCGAAGGAUGCACCUAUCAGUCUAGUGUUCAAAAGGAUGUACAACAGGUGGUGAUCCCGUGGGGCACCUGCAAGACACACUACCCUACAGAUAAAGCUAACAGUUUCCCUCAGUCCAUACUAACAUUUAAAACAGUCAACUCAACUUAGAAUAUAAACUACCAUUAUAUCCUUCUUUCAGCUCAACACAUAUACAUUAAUUUACCCAAACCAAUACAUAAUCAAACAUCAUCAGAACAGUCCCUCAAAUAAUUAAAUUUAUACAUAAGCGUCACUCACCUCAGUUCAGUCAAUUCAAUCUAGUUUGUCAAUUCAACCUACAUUACACUACCUAUGCCUUAACAUAACCGUCAACAACCCACAAUCUAAUCAAUUCGAUAUCCUCAGUUCAGUCAUCAAACUAAUUUUACAUAUCGGUCAACUCAUCUCAGUUCAAUAAAAUUCAUAUAAUAAACAGUCAUCAAAUAUAAAUUUGCUUAUCAGUUAGUCCAUCUAAGUUCAGUGGAAUCCAUAUAGUCAAUACAUCUUAAUUUCAUCAUUGAGUCCAGUAGUAGGAACCCUUACCUUAACUUCAUUUAUUCCACUAAAGUUCAACAAAAACAACCUAAACAUAAGUAAACAGAAAUCAAUGACUUCCAGAAACAAUUUCAUCUAUUCAAUUCAUCCUAUAUAUAUAAUUUCCACAACUUACCCAAAACGUGGAGAAUUGGAGUCCAACCCCACUCAUUUGAAACUCAAGGAAUUUAAGUGUUGUCCACAAUUUGCACCUUGAAGAAACAAUAUCAAUCAAUUUACUAACCCAACCAAUAUUGGUUAUUGAAAACAAUCACCAAAACCCAAAACUACACCCUUACCACAAACCACAACAAGGUAGAAACAACGGCUUUCGAAACCAACACAAAAGAGAUUGUGCAAAAUAGAUAUGCGUGUGGGUUGGCUUGCAACUCGUAAACGGACAACAGAUGUAGACGAAGGCAGAUUGAUUCGAAUCUUCAACAGCAGCUACGCGCAACGGAGAAUUCCACUAUCUCCCUAGUUCGUUUUCAACAUAUUCUUAUGUGAAAUUUAUUGUUUCAAUUCUUUAUUGCUUUGGUUUAACACCGCUUUGGAUUCUUUGCAGCAAAAGGUGGUAAAACCCACUACUUUAGAAGCGUCCCAAACAGUUUGGAAUCAGUGGAGCAUUGCCGUCCAAGAGGGAUCUCACUCACUUUGUCAAAUGGCCCAAAGUUGUUUAAAUUUAGAGAAAAAAUAGAAUUUUGAAGCAGAGGCUAAAAAUUCCACCAACAUUGAAUCUGUUCUAUUUGACUUUCUUUUUUCUCUUUUCUUUCUUGUUGUCAUCAUCAAAAUUUUCAACUAUACGUAUAAAGACGGAGAUAUUUUAUGUGGACAACUAUACGGCCGUCCGAACUACUUUUAACUUAUGUGGCUGGAUCUAAAACUUAGAAGAUUGUCCAAGUUUUCUGUUGAACAAUGCAUGUACCAGAUUUUGUGCAUUCCCAACAUGAUACAUUCUUAUGCUAUGUUGGGAAAGGGGGUUCUCUGUUUAUAAUCACAAUCACUUUAGCCCUUAUUUGGGGGUCAAGGUUGCCUUUCACUUCUCCUCCCUCAUUUUGUAUAAGGGCAAGUAUUUCUUUGUCUAAAAGGGUUCAAACUCUCCUACUAUUAUAAUCAUUCAACAUUCUCUGUAAUGAUCAAUUCUUUAUUCCUCUUAGAUUUAUUAGGUUUUACUUUUAAUUGCUGCAUAUAGUUCUCUUACCUUCGUAUAGACAAAAAGGUGUUUCUGAGAGGUUUUUCUUUGAUAAGUUAAACGCUUGUAUUUUGUUGGAUUUGGCCUAUGGUAUUGAAAAUCUCAAAUCAAUUGAACGCAAUGUCUUGUUUACACAUUUGAAUUGAAACUUUCCUAUACCUAUAUUAUACAUAUUUUUUCUAUUCUUUCCCACAAAUGUGUUAUAUCGACUUAUCUAUUCUACAUAAUUUCACGCAUGGCUAGCACGAUGUUCCCGUUUUCAAGGGAUGCCAAAAUUACUUUUCACUCAUUCUCGUAACUCCAUUGACGGAUAUAUUUCCUAAACCUAAACGGAUCUGCCUGCUCAUGCAUUUCCUAAUCAUGUGAUAAUGUUGAAUCUUCCUUUAUUAUAUAUAUAUAUUAUUGAUGUAAUUAAGAAGUUAUUUAAUAGUAAUAAGAGUUGUUCUUUAAUAGAAAUAUGUACGUUCGUAAAAUGUUCAUAUAUAUAUAAAUGGGUUCAAAAUUUGAGGUUACAAAAAAAAAAUGAAAUAAAUAAUAUAAGGUAUUUUUUUAAAAAAAAAUCAAACCCGCGAUGCCAUAUGUAAGCGUCGAGACUUGUAUAUAAGAUCUCCCGACGACUAAAGAUGGCGAACUCCCAACAUCGUAUACAGUAUCUUCCCGACGCUGCAUAUCUUAGUGUUGUAAAGGCUUCUUUUGAUGCAUUUUAUCCGAGCACAGUUUUGACAGACAUUUUUUGGGAGAUCCUUUUUCAACUCUUUUUUCGUAUAUCUCCCAACGAUUGUGUGCGUUGGAAGACCCCUCAUUUUUUUGUAGUGAAUUUGUAACUCGAAUACUCUUAAUAAAAUUUCUCAAAACUUGUUCUUAAUGUGGACGUAGACCAAAUUAGUCAACCAACUUAUAUCCUUGUGUUCGUAUUCUCUAUUGGUUUGUGUAUUUUAUGGCUAUUGCAUUAUGCUUGGGUUGUGUUAUUAAUUAAUUUAGUCCAUUAAUUAAUACAAAUAAUCAUGUCAGUUUUUAUUCAAGAGUUGAUUGGGCUGCACUAUAUACGAUCCAAAUGAAAAAGUUAAUUCUACGUCUUUUACUUCUCUAGAUAUAUUUCACAUUCUUUUAUAGUAAUGCCAUUACAUAUUUGUAUAAUGAUAAAAAUUGAAGCAUAUAGAACAAAGAAAAUACCAGAUCACUUUCCUUUUUAUUCAUAGUCGUUUGAUAUUGUAGUAUAGGCUAUAUAUAUAUAUAUAUAUAAGAAAAGUCCAUUACAAAGCAUGACCUCUAGCAUUUGGGAUAGGGAACACCACAGGAGGAAAUAAUAGCUUUUGCUCGAGCAGAUUUCACGUAACCUCCCAAGCUUGGAUUCUUCAUAUACUGACAAAAGCAUGGCUGUUGCUCCCUCAGCUUACUGCAACAAGUGGUGGACGGUGCCCGUCGAUGUCAUUGCACCAAUGCAUGGACUCAGCCCAUGGUGUUGCAAGUUAUCGCGUCGGCAACACGAGCUCCAGUGAGAGGGCCGCCAUUGCCACCACCAAAAGGGGAAGACUUGUGAACCCAAGAUUUUUCAUUAUUUUUCUUCUUUUGAUAUAGAAAUGAGGGAUAGGUUUCUAUUUGCCGCACCUUCAAAACAACGUUUUAUAACCUCAUAAAGUGGAAUGUGAGCACCUCACUUCUAUACCAACUUCUCUGUUUUGGCUUAAACUUUUCAAUAAAAUUAAUUUCUGAGUUGUUAACUUUCAAUAAAAUUAAUUUCGAGUUGUUAACUUUAUGAUGGUAACAUCUAUAGUUUGCAUUAAAUAUAUGGUUGGUGGUGGUAAUAGUGACAAACUCCCAACUUUGGAACAGUGACCAAAAGUUCAUAUAAAAAUUAUUUUAAAUACAAAUAAGUACACAAUUAUUUUUUGGAGUUUAAAAAUAACAAAAAAAAUAUAUAUAUAUAUAUAUAAUAAAAUCUUAAAUUGUAAAAAUAACAAAUUUAAAACAGAUAAUCUCUAAUAACUCUCUCGUAAUCUUUUGAUAGAUUUUUUUAUAGUUGAUAUCAUUAAUUACAAAAAAACUUUUUCUAAAUUCUUUUGUCAUCUAAUAUAAUUUUUUUAUUUUUUCUAACUAGAAAAUAUUAAAGCUUUUCACCAAUAUUUGAAAGUUAGGAGGUUGGAAACUUUUACCUUGAUUAGUAGCAUAUGCCUUACAUACUGUUUGCAACAUUUUCUAUAUUUUCUUCUAAUAUUAUCAACUAACAACAAUUCUAAUCGAAGUCGGUAUGUACAAGAAUUUGUUUUACAUUAUUGUUUAAAUACCUGACAUUUGGUUUUUUAAUAUUUCAUAAUUCCAGAAUUCUAUGUUGAAUUUGUGCUCCUUAAUUCACCAAUCUUUGAUCUAAAUACAUGAAUCUUAGGAUUACACGAAUCGAGAGUCCUAUUUGUGGAUCUAAAUGUAUGUAUUUUCUUGGUUGCAUUGCAUUAAUUUUGGCCUUUAUGUUCUUCGUUUGCAUUUUAAUUAAUUGCUUUGCCGGUUGAGUUCACCAUGAACAGGAUUAAGAAACGUAUAACAAGGGUCGUAACACAACGGAAUUUUUUAGAGAAUCUGAAUGAAUGAGUAGAGAAUGUGGUAAUAUUUAAGGUUAUGGUUGAUGCAGAGUAUUGGGAGAACAGUCGACCUCUGGAGGGCCAACAUCCAGUGAGCCUGCAGCAAGAAAAGGAUAUUUCUUUAGCUGGGUGAACAAUUUCUGUUUCCGACGUAACAAAAAUGUCAAUAAAGAUGAUUUAUGUUGAUGGAUUUUCUAUGCAAAGGUAUAACACCAUGUUUCGCGUAAGAAAAAUAUAUCCUUGGAGAGAGUUGAUUGAUGUUAGUGAAACCCAUGAAGUUUGGGUUUCUGCCGACACAAGUUUUAAUUUCUGCUUAUGCAAUUUGUGUGUAGAUUAUUUCAAAAAUAACAUGUUACCAACUGAAAACUACGCAAAGUUUAAUUCAUUUUAAUUAAAUAAAGAAAUGAAAUCAAUAAAACAAUCUAAACAGAAACCAAAAUGUUUAGUAAAAUAUAAUAACCAAUCACCAAAAAAGUAAUUUAUUUGGACCAAUCAUGAGUUUAGGAUAAAUCUAUCAAUAGACAUGUGGCUCUAAAACAUGAAAACAAAAAUAAAGUAGCGAAAGCAUUGUCACAAUAGUUCCAAAUGGCACAAUCACAAUCGUAGAUCCUUCUUACCGGCCUUGUCUUUGUUUGAAAAAUUGAACAAAUACCCAGUAAGAGAUCAGUCUAGUAGUUCAUAGAGCACACAUCAAUAGUAAAAGUUAUCCACUUAAUGCACUACCUAUAAGUGGGGAUCCUAUAGAACACUAUACAUAUAGGGUAUAUAUUAACCUAAUAAUCAAAGUUAAUAGUUGUCAUUAGUUCAAACACAUCCUAGUUUAGUCAUUCUCAAUUCAAUUCAGUCAUAAACAUAACAUGUAAAAUAUAUUCAAUAACCUCAUUCGUAACCAUCAUGUCUCAAGUAUUUCAUUAUGAGUCAUCAAUUAAAUCAGUCAUACUAUCAAUGCCUAUUAAACCAACCCAAUAUAUAAUCAAUAAUAAUCACAUUAUCAAUCUCAGUCUUACUCAUGUCGAGGAUUUGGUGUAAUAAACCCCUUACCUUAAAUUAUAGAGUUUAGGGUGGCAACGUUGUUGCUUGAGAGAAAAUUUUAUGUUAACUUCGAUUGAAAAUUCAUAACUAUUAGGAAAAUACACCUUACAUAAGUCUCUGUGUCUGUUUUACCUUGGUUUUUAGUGUUUUAACUCAUAAUUAUGAAUAAAUGAAGAUAUUAGUGAAUCAUAUAAGAGCCCAUGCAAAAGACUACGCGAGAGAAUAUUGUCUGGUGAGUAUAAUUCUGAGGUGAGGAAUUACGUCAUCACGCGAGAAAGGUUCACUAGAAGACAAGAAUGGUAGUUGGGGUUGAUGUAACUUGACAAAUGCUACAAUCGACACUGACAUGAUCAGAAGAAUAGAUGUUUUCCAUCGAAAGAUGCCUAUAAAAAGACUUCAUCCUUACCAAGUAAAGUGGUCGACUUCGAAAAGAGUCAAACAUCUAAAUGGAUCGACCAAACCCUAAAAGUGGCGGAAAGGAGUAGUCUUUCUGUCCUCUGUAAAAAGUCAUUCUUCUUCUUCUCUGCACCCUUAAAAAGAAGUUUUAUAAGUCUUGUAAGUAAACACUUUUAGAUAGAUCCGUCUUAACCAAGUUUUAUCAUUUGUAUCUCGAGAAGGCAAGCUAGUGUGAGUUUAAGGCACUGAGAGGUGCUCAACUUAAUUAUAAGCUAGAUGGCUUAAUUGCCUAAUAACACGAAGACCUUCCUUGACACUUUUUAAUACAAGUUAGUUCACAUUUUCAUCUCGCCACUAUUUUUGUCCCCUUUUACAUAUUCUAGUGUAGAUAGUAGAUUUAGCUUAGACUUAUUAGAUAGUUAUUUUAUACCGACUAGAUGAAGAGUGAGCCUUAUAACUAAUGUUUUGUAUCAAUUCUCUAUGUUCGACCAUGAAUUAUCCAGAAAACCUAUUAUUUCGCUUCAUUUUUCUGUCAUACAGGGUAAAUACUUUCACUUUUUCUUAUUCAUGUAAAUUUCUCUUGAUAGCAUAUAUAUUGUUAAUUCACACAAAUAUUAAAGUGGUUCAUAAAUGAUAGACAUCUAUCAAUAAUGAUAAACCUACAAAUUUUUUAGUAAUCAACCAUACAAAAACAAUUUAGUGUAUCGACUAUUAAAAUGGUUCAGUCUAUUGUUGAUAGAUCCAAAAAAAUCGUAAAAAUAACACUUACACAUUAUUAAUUUUUUGUGAUAUAGUUACAAAUGUGUGGCAACGAAUUUUAUCACGUGACACUAAUCUUUAAGAAACAUAAAAUUCGCAAACAAAUGAUGGCAAUUUACUUGUUUGACUUUACCAAGCUUUUCAUUAUGUUAAUUAAUUUUCAUUUAUCAGUAUUUGGAUGAUGAUAUAAUUGUGCAGUGAAUAAACUUUAAUUAGUGUUCAAAGUUUUAGGCCUUAAUUAGUUCAAUUUUGAUUAGUGUUUAAAGAUUGCAUUAGUUAAAUUUUGAUUAGUGUCCAAAGUUUUAAAGACUAAGCGUGUCUAGACAGAGGGAUAAUCUAGAGUAGACUUUUUUAAUCACUAUAGUUAAUCUACAAUAUAGUGAUUUGAUAUUGGUUUAUAAGUGGUUCAAAAUAAUGAACUUUUAAGCCUUUUUUUUUUUUAACAGAAAUGAGAAGAGAAGAACCAUAUCAUAUACCUUUGGAUCAUUAGCUCGUAACACUUUUUUUUCAAUCUAUUUCUAAAUUUGUUAUUUUCACAAUUUUAAAAAUAUAAGUGACAUGAACUCUAUUAUUAAAAGUAAUCAUGACCUGAAUGAUUGUUUAAAAGAACUAUAUAUGAUCUGAAUGAUCGUUUAUCAUAAUAAUCACGAUCGUUUACUGUGGUCAACACGAUCGUUAGAUUUAGUUUUUAAAUAUCAUUUAUAUUGGAGUACACGAUCGUUUACCAUAAUCAACACUAAUUAACACUAAUUAACACGAUCGUUCACCAUGGUCAACACGAUCAUUAGAUUUAAGGUUUUUAAAUAUCAUUUAUAUUGGAGUAUACGAUCGCUAACUAUAAUCAACAUGAUCAUGUUCCAUGAUAACACAAUCGUUUGUCAUGGUCAACAUGAUUAUUUUAAUUUGACGUUUUCUUUCCUCUAUUAAAAAAGAAUUACACAAUCGUUUGUCAUUCGUUGAGACGGUAAGACACGAUCGUUUAGAAGAAAAUUACUCGCACGCGACUGUGGUCGAUUAAUUGUGUCUUGACUAAGAUAUUUUUUAUAUUUUCUAUCGUAGGCCUUGGAGUUUUCCAUUUUCAAAAUUGUUCAGUAUAGUGUAAAUAUGUUAUUGUAAAUAUGUUAUUGAUUUGUUAUAAUUUUUUUAAAAACCCUUAUAUAUGUGUGUAUGUGUGUGUGUAUAUAUAUAUAUAUAGACUAUUCAAAUGUGAUAUAAUAUAUUGUUCAAAUGUGUAUAGAUAUAUAUAUACUGUUCAAAUGUGAUAUAAACUAAUAUUGCAAAAAUUAAAGCUCUUAGCUUGAGCUGAACGCACCAAAUUAUAAUAUAGUAAAAGGAGGUUGAGAAACCGAGUAUCUCUCCUGAAUACAAAGUGGAUGAAGUAAUUUUUAAAUAAAUAGAAACGAAAAACAUUUAAAUGACAACCAAAUUUCAUAGAAUAAAAAGAUUUAAUUCGUUUUUGCAGGAGAAGGGCAAAGUUUCUUUUCUUCAAAAAGAGGUAAUGUUGACUUAAUCUUCUAUUAUUUUUAGCUUAAUUAAUAUUUCCAACGAUGGAAUAUAUCUGACAAAAUAACAAAAUUAAACCCUUAAAAGAUAGCACUAGCCAUAAUACCAAUUUGAGAUGUCUAUCUACUGACUUAUUAUUAACUCAUAAUGGGUAAGGCGGUAUAUUAAAACGUAAUAUUGAGCUUUUAAUUUAUAUAGAAAGUAUAGGUUGGUUUUCCCUUUAUUUUUAGUUGGGAUCAGAAUAUUGUAUAUUAGAUUAAACUAAAGAGACAUAACAAUACUUAAUUCUUGUAGAAGAGUCCAAACUCAAGUAAGUAGGGUUUCUAUUUAGAGCAGUCAGCCUCAGUUGGUAAGCUAAUGUUGCAGGAUUUAGCAAUUCUUCUAGCCGCACUAGAAUUCACGAAACUCCUCAAAUCUGGAUCAUUGAUAUAUUCACAGUAGCAUGGUUGUGCCUCCCUCAACUUGUUGCAACAUGUCUGACUGGGCGUCAUCCCAAAAAAUGCUGCUGUGCAUGACGAGAGCUGUGAUGGGUCGCAUUCCACUUGAGCAACCACCGGAGGAGCGCCAUUAAGAAGAGCCACCGUGGUUGCCACCACGAAAAUGCAAACAACGAUUGUGAUAGGAAAAUUCUUCAUUUGAUUGUGUUACGAGGAAGGGAGGAAUAACGAAUUUGUGUGUUUCUGUGCUUUUGCUGAUGCUUUCAACCUCUCCUUUUAUAGCCUCUCAUAGGGAGUAAAUGUGUGCAACAAGUUAAGUUACCACACCUCCUAUUCAAUACUUUAAGUUACCACAAACUCUUCCGCACGAGUUAAACAAGUGAAUUAGUUGUCAUAAAAUUUCGCUUACUAGAUGCCCAACGCAUUAUGACAUGGUUAGAUAGACAUUGAUCAAUGUCUAGGUGGUCACACCUUCACUUAAUCACAUGACGAGACCUGAGAAUGGGGUCUGGGUGAUUGAAACAUCAAUGAUGUACAAAUAGUGUCAUUGGUGAUCAAAAUCUCUCGAUGAUUGUAAAAGAAAGAGAGAUGACAAUCAACUAGGAACAACACGUUAAAAACUCUCUAGAUGGAAGAUAUCUGAGAAUCGAGUAAUCGUCGUGUGAAGAUUUAAAUAUGUUAAAAGGUAUUUUUGAAAAUUUCAAAAAGUGAAAAUUACGUGUCCUAAGCUUCGUUUUUUUGACAUAUAACGUAAAUACUUUCAAUUUUUUUAUUUAUGUAAAAUUCCCCUUGUAAAAUAUAUAUUGUUAAUUCACAAAUAUAUUAAAGUGGUUGAUACAUGAUAGAUACCUCUCAAUAAUGAUAAUCCUACAAACUGUUUAUCAAUCAAUAUAUGCAAAAACAAUUUCGUGUAUUAACAGUAAUGGACUAUUAAAAUGGUCUAUCAGAAACGUUUGAUAGAUAAAAAGAAAAAUCCUAAAAAUAACAUAGUUACAAAUUAUUAAAUUUUUUGAUUGAUAUAGUUUACAAAUGUGGCAACGAAUUUUGUUACCUAACACUUAUGAUUAAAAAACAUAAAAUUAGCAAACAAAAUGGUGACAAUUUACUUGUUUGACUUUAUCAUGCAUUUAAUUAUGUUAAUUAACAUUCAUUUAUCUGUGUUUCGAUGAUGAUAAUUGAACAUUGAUUAAAUUUUGAUUAGUGUUUAAAGUUUUAGGCAUUAAUUAAAUUUUGAUUAAUUGGCAAAAACAGUACAAAUUUGAUAAUGAGACCAAUUUUGAAAAGAAGAGUCUUGGGACAAAUGGAUAUGUGAAAUAUCUAAAUUAUCCUUUAGUUUAAAAAAGCUCUAAAAUUUUGAAACCCACAAUUUCUUCCUCACACAACACAUCCAUCUGUAGAUGAACAAAUUGCAACCAAUGAAUGGAGGGAAUCGAUCAGAUGGAGUGGCGGUGACUUGGGUAGCAACAACCGAUAUCCAUUUGGAUGACUUGGACAACAACAACAAUUUCCCUAAAGCUAAAGUCUGGGUUUUAUGGAUUGUGCAUCAACGAUUUCUACAUCUUUCUUUAUUGCCAACUUUGUGGCCUCGUCCUCCUCCCAUUCCGCUUUCUUGCAUUUCCUAUUCAUUUCUCUCUCCUUCAUGUAAAAUACCAAUGAAUUGUAUUGAAUUUGGUUGCUAUUUUCAUUGAUCAAAAUGAAUAUUUAUACAAUGCUUGAAGAUACAAAUAUGGUAAAAAAUAAUUACAAAUCAAUUUACAACAAAUAGAGGGAUUAUAGGAGUAGAUUUUGUAAUAUGAUAUUAUUUCCUAAUAUCCCACCUCAAACCAAAGAUUCAGAGGGAGUUAGUAGUUAUUUCAAAGGUGAAGAAAUAUGAGAGACAGAAGUAGCUUUUGUGAGUAUAUCAACAAGUUGUUUGUUGGAGGAGAUGCGUCGAACAGAGAUGUCUUUACGAAGAACUUUUUCCCGAACAAAAUGGGAAUCAAUCUCAAUGUGUUUGGUUGACAAAAAUGCCAUUAGUGGAGAAUUGUAUUUCGAGACCAAGAAAAUACUUUAAAGAACCAAGAUCAGAUAUUUUAAAUUCAAGUGCCAAUUGGUUUUUAGAAGAGAAAUAUAAGAGGAGUCUGGGCCAGUGCCAAUAGUAUCAUCAAAACAUACAUGAGUAAGUAAGUAAGAGAAGAUCCAACAUGUCAAAUGAAUAAAGAUGGAUCAACCAGCUGUCCUAAAACAUAUAACAUUUGUCACUCACAGCCCCACAACCAAUCCUCUCAAUUAAGACACUUUGAAUUCAAAUUCUUCCCUUUCAAUUCAUGAUUCAUCUAUACAUAUAAAUAUAAGGGGAAAUUUUUUAAUUUACCUCUUCCUUUUAUAUAUUUUAUUUAUUUAAAUCUAAAUUAAUAAUAUAUGAUUUUAAUCUUUAACUUCUGUAAAAAUUUCAAUUGACACUACUUUUAAGAUUUGAAUUUUGAUCAAAGUUGCAUGAAACAUAUAAUUGUUUAUGUUAAUCUUAAAUUAUAAUAACAGAAAUUAUUUAUAUCCUUUAUUAAGAUUAAAUAAAUUAUCCAUGUGUUUAAAUCUUCCACUCUCGAAAUAGAAUUUAAAUGUUAAAUUUAUCAAAUAAAUAAGUAGGAGUUCAUGUAUGGAUUUUGUUAAACAAAGUAAUAGAAUAUCUAAAUUGAUUUGUUUAUAAAGAUGUCUAGAAACGUUUAAUUGAUGCGAAGAAGGGCACCAUACUAAAAGUAUUUAGAAAAAUAUUAGUAAAAUAUCACAUCGAGUGAUAUACUAUUAAUAAUAGUAUAAUGUAAUCUAUACAAAAGUUUUUUUUUUUUUUUUGUUUAUUUUAGUAUAUUUAAAAACAAACUGCAUUCGUAAUAUGGUUAUGAUACAAUCUAUAAUUCAAAUUUUAAGGGUUCUUUUUAUAUAAACUAUUUGAAUAUGAAUAUGGUUAUGAUACAAUCUAUAAUUCAAAUUUUAAGGAUUCUUGUUUUAAGGGUUCUUUUUAUAUAAACUAUUUACCUUUCAAAGAACCUAUACCUAUUUAUACUUUAUACAACAAAAUUACAAAAUAUCUUUCCAAAUUUUUAAAAUCUACUUUGAUUAAAUUUAAAUUCAUAAAAACUAACCAAAACUAAUUCAUAAAAACUAACCAAAACUAACAAACCAGGUUAAUAGAACUAAAGUAAAUCCACUCUUUACAUAUCUUAAUCAACAACGUUUAGUUCCAACUCUUUACAUAUCUUAAUCAACAACGAGAAGACUUACUUAUUUUUGUAUAUCUUUAUAUGGAGUUUUGUAAAAAUAGCAAAAAUGUAUGAUAAUAGAAAUCAUGUCAUAAGAUUUUUUAAAUUUACAAAAUUAUAAGAUUUUUUAAAUUUACAAAAUUUGCAAAUUAAUUUACAAAAUUAUAAAAUUUUUAAAUUUACAAAAUUUGCAAAUUAAUUUAGAAGGGAUGACUGUCUACUGUCAUACAAUUACUGUCUACUGUCAUACAAUUACUGUCUAUUAGUCCUGCAACAACUCCACAACAACUCUAGAUUACCGAUGAUUAUCGUUUAAUAGUAGUCUGAUAUCAUUAACUUUGUCAUAUUUGAAGUAUGCAAAAAAAAUAGUGUUGUCAAACUUAUUUGGAAAUAUUUUUGCAAUUUUCUUUUUAUAAAAGACAGCAUGAAAAAAUCUAGUAAGUUUUAAUAAAAAGCAAAAAUCUUCCCCUAACAAAUUUUUUUUUUUUUGUUGAAAAACUAUGUAAGUUGGAGAGAUAAAGAUAUUUGCAACCUAAUCAUCACCAAGAUAUUGUUCAAUUUUACUUUACAGCAACCUAAAAAAGAGAAAAAAGGUGAAACAUUUAACAAAGAAAACACCAAUCUAAAAAUAUCUUUAUAGAAACAUACCAUACCUAUUAUUUUAAUUCAUUAAAAGAAAAAGAAAAGAGAUAUAUGAUCAACAUGAACCUACUUUAAUAACUUAAUUAAAAAAAAAAAAGAAACACAUAGAUCGUUUUUUUCUUUUAUUGUUUUAUUCAUAGGAAUAACUAUAAAAUUAUUCCAGCUUAAUUUCCACACAUAUGGCCCAAAAGAAAGACCCUCUAACACCUUGGAGUGGGAACACCACAUUUGGAAGCAACAUGUUUGGCGCGAGGAGAAUUCAAAUAACUACUCAAAGCUGGGUUCUUUAUGUACCCGCAAAGACAUGGUUGCUGCUCUCUCAAUUUGUUGCAGCAAGUGGCGGAUGGGUCUGCCAUCGACGUGAUUGCCGUGAGACAUGAGCUCAGCUCCGAAGGGCUGCAACUCACCGCCUCUGCAACACGAACUCCGCCAAGAACGGCCAGCACGAAAAACAAACAACUGUGACUGGAAGAACUUUGUUCAUUGUCUCUUGGUUUUGAUAGAAAUCAGUAAUGUUUGUUGAAGGGAAAGGGAAAAGGAAAAGGAGAAAGAGGAAUAAUAUGGCUUUAAUUGUCUGUUUUUCCCCCCAACUCUUUUUUGUUUGUAUUUAUAGCCACAUAAAGUUGGAAGAGUUGAUAAAAGGGCCAACCCUAUUAUUAAUUUCUCAUUUCCAAUUUCACCUACUUUUCUCUUUGAUUUUAAUUGCUUCCAACAUCCUUUUCCAUAAAGUUAAUAUUGUGAUGAUAACAAUUAACAAAUAUUGUUGGCAUUGAUUUAAAUGUUGGGUUGCUCUACACGUUUGAUCUAUUCUAGAGCACAAAAAUUACCACAAUUAUUUUAACAUUUUUUGAAUUAUCCUAAAUCAUAAAAGGAAUUAGAGACGAAUAUAUUUUGCUUGUUUUUAUUUCUUUUUACAAUGGUUUGGUAUAAAUAUGCAAUACAAGAUAAUAUUAAAUAUGAAAAGAUUGGGAUAUAAUCAAAUAUACAAUUUGGGCAAAAAUAAAGGGCAGAAAUUGAGGAGUAGAUUAUGAAGAGGAUUGUGAUUUUGGAAAAUAUCCUCUAAUAUCCUCCCUCAGAUUGAUGACUCAAAAUGAGUCAAUAGUUUGUCUCGGAGUUGUAGAAGUGUUGUAGAUGAGAGUGACUUUGUUUGUAGAUCAACAAGUUGAUCGUUGGAAGAGAUAAUGUAACGAAUGAAGAUGUCUUUGCGAAGUACCUUCUCUUGAAAAAAGUGGUAAUCAAUUUCAAUAUGUUCGGUACGAGCAUGAAACACGAGAUUAUGAACCUGAGAUAUAGCUAAAACAUUAUCACACCAUAAGGUUGUUGAAGAUUUAAAGUGGAACAUGAAGAUCACAUAGAACUUGUCGGUUCCAGUAAAGAUCUGCAGUGGUAGUGGCGAGUGAGCAAGUUUUUGCUUAUGUGGAAGAACGAUAGACUGUAGGUUGCUUUCUAAAAGACCAAUAGAUAGGAUUAGAACCAAGAAAGACAAUGAAUCCAGAGGUGGAAUGUCGAUCAGAAGUGUCGCUAGCACAAUCAGAGUCAUUAAAAGGUUUAUAGAUAUAAUUAAUGAACCCAUGCAAAAUUUUAUCCCAAGGGUUGAGUACCACAUAGAUAUCGUAGGAUGCAUUUGAUUGCAGAGAAGUGAAUAACAGUGGGUUUGUGCAUCAAUUGACUAACACAAUUUAUAGAGAAUGAAAUAUCAUGGUGAGUAAAGUAAGGUAUUUUAAUGAAAGGAGUUAGAUGAUGGAUCAUUAAAUGACAAAACUGUUGAAAUUUAUGUCAUAAAACUCGUAGUUUGUAGUUUAAAAGUAUAUUUUAUUCAAUAAAGUGGUUAUUGAGGAUUAUUAAUAGAAUACUAUAAUCUUGAAUCUAAAUAAACUAAGGUCCUUAUGCUACCUAGUGUAGACUUGAAUUUACAUAAAUGUGGAUCAAGUUCAAGUAUAUAGCCCAAAUGGUCUAUAGUGUAUGAAUAAGCCUUAUUCUUGUUGUAGUUAGUACAAACGAUAUGAUCCUGAAUCGUUCAUGUAGAGACCAUGGAAGUUGGAGUAUCCUAUGUACAAAGUUUGCAUAAGACUGAAAUCAUAAAAUAAUCACUUUUAAGUUAUAACACCAUUGAUUGUACAAAACUGACUAUUUUGUUUAUUGAUGACCCAUGUAACUUAAUCUUAAUCCUAAGUUAACUAUGAACUUUGUUCACACAAAUUAUCCUUAGAUCUGCAUAGGUGAGUGUAGCUCAACGACACUGACACAAUAAGCCUCCCAUUUUAGGAGUAAGAUUGGGUGGAUGGCUAGGUGUAACGAUCCAAACUUUUCAAACUAAACUGAGGUAGUUCUUUAAUACAAAUGCACUUCUUUUAAACAUGAGUGUUUAUAAAAUAUGUUAAAAUCAAUAAACAUCAAAUAAAUCUUUAUUCAGGCCCUAUUUCAAACAAAAUUAAAGGUUCGAAAUUAUUGUUUAUAAAAUCAAGAAAUAAACUGUUGUGCUAAACAUGAAAUUCGUUUCAGUCACAACUACUAAAGUAAAACAAAAGAAAACUGUAAGCGGAAGCUAUUUUAAAGAAAAUCCUCCUAUGGCGAUCACGUCUCCUUCUUAUUCCUCGUUGGUCGGUCUCUUAUAUUACUUUUGCCUGGAAAGUUAAACAUAAAAGGGUGAGUAUAAACAUACCCAGCAAGAGACCACUACUGGUCCCACUAGGGUAAAAUUAUUAACUUUCUAUUGGAGGUACCAUGUAUCAUAACAGUCUUGUGAUCCCGUAGGAUGCACAUAAUUAAUCUAAUGCUCAUAAAAGAUGCACAUAUCAGUCUAGUGCUCCCGAAGGAUGCACCUAUCAGUCUAGUGUUCCAAAUGAUGCACAACAGGUGGUGAUCCCGUGGGGCACCUGCAAGACACACUACCCUACAGAUAAAGCUAACAGAUUUCCCUCAGUCCAUACUAACAUUUAAAACAGUCAACUCAACUUAGAAUAUAAACUACCAUUAUAUCCUUCUUUCAGCUCAACACAUAUACAGUUAAUUUACCCAAACCAAUACAUAAUCAAACAUCAGCAGAACAGUCCUCAAAUAAUUAAAUUUAUACAUAAGCGUCACUCACCUUAGUUCAGUCAAUUCAAUCUAGUUUGUCAAUUCAACCUACAUUACACUACCUAUGCCUUAACAUAACCGUCAACAACCCACAAUCUAAUCAAUUCGAUAUCCUCAGUUCAGUCAUCAAUAUAUUUUACAUAUCGGUCAACUCAUCUCAGUUCAAUAAAAUUUAUAUAAUAAACAGUCAUCAAAUAUAAAUUUGCUUAUCAGUUAGUCCAUCUAAGUUUAGUGGAAUCCAUAUAGUCAAUACAUCUUAAUUUCAUCAUUGAGUCCAGUAGUAGGAACCCUUACCUUAACUUCAUUUAUUCCACUAAAGUUCAACAAAAACAACCUAAACAUAAGUAAACAGAAAUCAAUGACUUCUAGAAACAAUUUCAUCUAUUCAAUUCAUCCUAUAUAUAUAAUUUCCACAACUUACCCAAAACGUGGAGAAUUGGAGUCCAACCCCACUCACUUGAAACUCAAGGAAUUUAAGUGUUGUCCACAAUUUGCACCUUCAAGAAACAAUAUCAAUCAAUUUACUAACCCAACCAAUAUUGGUUAUUGAAAACAAUCACCAAAACCCAAAACUACACCCUUACCACAAACCACGACAAGGUAGAAACAACGGCUUUCGAAACCAACACAAAAGAGAUUGUGCAAAAUAGAUAUGCGUGUGGGUUGGCUUGCAACUCGUAAACGGACAACAGAUGUAGACGAAGGCAGAUUGAUUCGAAUCUUCAACAGCAGCUACGCGCAACGGAGAAUUCCACUACAUCUAGCCCUACUUCGUUUUCGAACAUAUUCUUAUGUGAAAUUUAUUGUUUCAAUUCUUUAUUGCUUUGGUUUAACACCGCUUUGGAUUCUUUGCAGCAAAAGGUGGUAAAAACUACUUUAGAAGCGUCCCAAGCAGUUUGGAAUCAGUGGAGCAUUGCCGUCCAAGAGGGAUCUCACUCACUUUGUCAAAUGGCCCAAAGUUGUUUAAAUUUAGAGAAAAAAUAGAAUUUUGAAGCAGAGGCUAAAAAUUCCACCAACAUUGAAUCUGUUCUAUUUGACUUUCUUUUUUCUCUUUUUUUCUUGUUGUCAUCAUCAAAAUUUUCAACCAUACGUAUAAAGACGGAGAUAUUUUAUGUGGACAACUAUACGGCCGUCCGAACUACUUUUAACUUAUGUGGCUGGAUCUAAAACUUAGAAGAUUGUCCAAGUUUUCUGUUGAACAAUGCAUGUACCAGAUUUUGUGCAUUCCCAACAUGAUACAUUCUUAUGUUAUGUUGGGAAAGGGGUUCUCUGUUUAUAAUCACAAUCACUUUAGCCCUUAUUUGGGGGUCAAGGUUGCCUUUCACUUCUCCUCCCUCAUUUUGUAUAAGCAAGUAUUUCUUUGUCUAAAAGGGUUCAAACUCUCCUACUAUUAUAAUCAUUCAACAUUCUCUGUAAUGAUCAAUUCUUUAUUCCUCUUAGAUUUAUUAGGUUUUACUUUUAAUUGCUGCAUAUAGUUCUCUUACCUUCGUAUAGACAAAAAGGUGUUUCUGAGAGGUUUUUCUUUGAUAAGUUAAACGCUUGUAUUUUGUUGGAUUUGGCCUAUGGUUUGAAAAUCUCAAAUCAAUUGAACGCAUUGUCUUGUUUACACAUUUGAAUUGAAACUUUCCUAUACCUAUAUUAUACAUAUUCUUUCUAUUCUUUCCCAAAAUGUGUUAUACGACUUAUCUAUUCUACAUAAUUUCACGCAUGGCUAGCACGAUGUUCCCGUUUUCAAGGGAUGCCAAAAUUACUUUUCACUCAUUCUCGUAACUCCAUUGACGGAUAUAUUUCCUAAACCGGAUCUGCCUGCUCAUGCAUUUCCUAAUCAUGUGAUAAUGUUGAAUCUUCCUUUAUUAUAUAUAUAUAUUAUUGAUGUAAUUAAGAAUUGUUAUUUAAUAGUAAUUAAGAAGUUGUUCUUUAAUAGAAAUAUGUACGUUCGUGAAAAUGUUCAUAUAUAUAUAAAUGGGUUCAAAAUUUGAGGUUACAAAAAAUAAAAUGAAAUAAAUAAUAUAAGGUAUUUUUUUUAAAAAAAAAUCAAACCCGCGAUGCCAUAUGUAAGCGUCGAGACUUGUAUAUAAGAUCUCCCGACGACUAAAGAUGCGAACUCCCAACAUCGUAUACAGUAUCUUCCCGACGCUGCAUUUCUUAGUGUCGUAAAGGUUUCUUUUGAUACAUUUUAUCAGAGCACAGUUUUGACAGACAUUUUUUGGGAGAUCCUUUUACAACUCUUUUUUCGUAUAUCUCCCAACGAUUGUGUGCGUUGGAAGACCCCUCAUUUUUUGUAGUGAAUUUGUAACUCGAAUACUCUUAAUAAAAUUUCUCAAAACUGGUUCUCAAUGUGGAUGUAGACCAAAUUAGUCAAACCACUUAUAUCCUUGUGUUUUUAUUCUCUUAUGCUUUGUGUAUUUUAUGGCUAUUGCAUUAUGCUUGGGUUGUGUUAUUAAUUAAUUUAGUCCAUUAAUUAAUACAAAUAAUCAUGUCAGUUUUUAUUCAAGAGUUGAUUGGGCUGCACUAUAUACGAUCCAAAUGAAAAAGUUAAUUCCACGUCUUUUACUUCUCUAGAUAUAUUUCACAUUCUUUUAUAGUAAUGCCAUUACAUAUUUGUAUAAUGAUAAAAAUUGAAGCAUAUAGAACAAAGAAAAUACCAGAUCACUUUCCUUUUUAUUGAUAGUCGUUUGAUAUUGUAGUAUAUAUAUAUAUAUAUAUAUAUAUAUAUAAGAAAAGUCCAUUACAAAGCAUGACCUCUAGCAUUUGGGAUAGGGAACACCACAGGAGGAAAUAAUAGCUUUUGCUCGAGCAGAUUUCACGUAACCUCCCAAGCUUGGAUUCUUCAUAUACUGACAAAAGCAUGGCUGUUGCUCCCUCAGCUUACUGCAACAAGUGGUGGACGGUGGCCGUCGAUGUCAUUGCACCAAUGCAUGGACUCAGCCCCAUGGUGUUGCAAGUUAUCGCGUCGGCAACACGAGCUCCAGUUAUGAGGGCCGCCAUUGCCACCACCAAAGGGGAAGACUUGUGAACCCAAGAUUUUUCAUUAUUUUUCUUCUUUUGAUAUAGAAAUGAGGGAUAGGUUUCUAUUUGCCGCACCUUCAAAACAACUUUUUAUAGCCUCAUAAAGUGGAAUGUGUCACUUCUAUACCAACUUCUCUGUUUUGGCUUAAACUUUUCAAUAAAAUUAAUUUCGAGUUGUUAACUUUCAAUAAAAUUAAUUUCGAGUUGUUAACUUUAUGAUGGUAACAUCUAUAGUUUGCAUUAAAUAUAUGGUUGGUGGUGGUAAUAGUGACAAACUCCCAACUUUGUAACAGUGACCAAAAGUUCAUAUAAAAAUUAUUUUAAAUACAAAUAAGUACACAAUUAUUUUUUGGAGUUGUAAAAAUAACAAAAAUAUAUAUAAUAUAUAUAUAUAUAUAAUAAAAUCUUAAAUGGUAAAAAUAACAAAUUUAAAACAGUAACUCUAAUAACUCUAAUAACUCUCUCAUGACUUUUGAUAGAUUUUUUUAUUGUCGAUAUCAUUAAUUACAAAAAAACUUUUUCUAAAUUCUUUUGUCAUCUAAUAUAAUUUUUUAUUUUUCUAACUAGAAAAUAUUAAAGCUUUUCACCAAUAUUUGAAGUUAGGAGGUUGGAAACUUUUACCUUGAUUAGUAGCAUAUGCCUUACAUACUGUUUGCAACAUUUUCUAUAUUUUCUUCUAAUAUUAUCAACUAACAACAAUUCUAAUCGAAGUCGGUAUGUACAAGAAUUUGUUUUACAUUAUUGUUUAAAUACCUGACAUUUGGUUUUUUAAUAUUUCAUAAUUCCAGAAUUCUAUGUUGAAUUUGUGCUCCUUAUUCACCAAUCUUUGAUCUAAAUACAUGAAUCUUAGGAUUACACGAAUCGAGAGUCCUAUUUGUGGAUCUAAAUGUAUGUAUUUUCUUGGUUGCAUUGCAUUAAUUUUGGCCUUUAUGUUCUUCGUUUGCAUUUUAAUUAAUUGCUUUGCCGGUUGAGUUCACCAUGAACAGGAUUAAUAGGGUCGUAACACAACGGAAUUUUUAGAGAAUCUGAAUGAAUGAGUAGAGAAUGUGGUAAUAUUUAAGGUUAUGGUUGAUGCAGAGUAUUGGAGAACAGUCGACCUCUAGAGGGCCAACAUCCAAUGAGCCUGCAGCAAGAAAAGGAGAUUUCUUUAGCUGGGUGAACAAUUUCUGUUUCCGACGUAACAAAAAUGUCAAUAAAGAUGAUUUAUGUUGAUGGAUUUUCUAUGCAAAGGUAUAACACCAUGUUUCGCUAAGAAAAAUAUAUCCUUGGAGAGAGUUGAUUGAUGUUAGUGAAACCCAUGAAGUUUGGGUUUCUGCCGACACAAGUUUUAAUUUCUGCUUAUGCAAUUUGUGUGUAGAUUAUUUCAAAAAUAACAUGUUACCAACUGAAAACUACGCAAAGUUUAAUUCAUUUUAAUUAAAUAAAGAAAUAAAAUCAAUAAAACAAUCUAAACAGAAACCAAAAUGUUUAGUAAAAUAUAAUAACCAAUCACCAAAAAAGUAAUUUAUUUGGACCAAUCAUGAGUUUAGGAUAAAUCUAUCAAUAGACAUGUGGCUCUAAAACAUGAAAACAAAAAUAAAGUAGCGAAAGCAUUGUCACAAUAGUUCCAAAUGGCACAAUCACAAUCGUAGAUCCUUCUUACCGGCCUUGUCUUUGUUUGAAAAAUUGAAAAAUACCCAGUAAGAGAUCAGUCUAGUAGUUCAUAGAGCACACAUCAAUAGUAAAAGUUAUCCACUUAAUGCACUACCUAUAAGUGGGGAUCCUAUAGAACACUAUACAUAUAGGGUAUAUAUUAACCUAAUAAUCAAAGUUAAUAGUUGUCAUUAGUUCAAACACAUCCUAGUUUAGUCAUUCUCAAUUCAAUUCAGUCAUAAACAUAAUAUGUAAAAUUUAUUCAAUAACCUCAUUCAUAACCAUCAUGUCUCAAGUAUCAUUGGUGAUCAAAAUCUCUCAAUGAUUGUAAAAGAAAGAGAGAUGACAAUCAACUAGGAACAACACGUUAAAAACUCUCUAGAUGGAAGAUAUCUGAGAAUCGAGUAAUCAUCGUGUGAAGAUUUAAAUAUGUUAAAAGGUAUUUUUGAAAAUUUCAAAAAGUGAAAAUCACGUGUCCUAAGCUUCGUUUUUUUGACAUAUAACGUAAAUACUUUCAAUUUUUUUAUUUAUGUAAAAUUCCCCUUGUAAAUAUAUAUUGUUAAUUCACAAAUAUAUUAAAGUGGUUGAUACAUGAUAGAUAUCUCAUCAAUAAUGAUAAUCCUACAAACUGUUUAUCAAUCAAUAUAUGCAAAAACAAUUUCGUGUAUUAUCAGUAAUGGACUAUUAAAAUGGUCUAUCAGAAACGUUUGAUAGAUAAAAAGAAAAAUCCUAAAAUAACAUAGUUACAAAUUAUUAAAUUUUUUUGAUAUAGUUUACAAAUGUGGCAACGAAUUUGUUACUAACACUUAUGAUUAAAAAACAUAAAAUUAGCAAACAAAAUGGUGACAAUUUACUUGUUUGACUUUAUCAUGCAUUUAAUUAUGUUAAUUAACAUUCAUUUAUCUGUGUUUUUGAUUGAUUGAUUAAAUUUUGAUUAGUGUUUAAAGUUUUAGGCAUUAAUUAAAUUUUGAUUAAUUGGCAAAAACAGUACAAAUUUGAUAAUGAGACCAAAUUUUGAAAAGAAGAGUCUUGGGACAAAUGGAUAUGUGAAAUAUCUAAAUUAUCCUUUAGUUUAAAAAAGCUCUAAAAUUUUGAAACCCACAAACACACACAUCCAUCUGUAGAUGAAACCAAAUGAAUGGAGGGAAUCGAUCAGAUGGAGUGGCGGUGACUUGGGUAGCAACAACCGAUAUCCAUUUGGAUGACUUGGACAACAACAACAAUUUCCCUAAAGCUAAAGUCUGGGUUUUAUGGAUUGUGCAUCAACGAUUUCUACAUCUUUCUUUAUUGCCAACUUUGUGGCCUCGUCCUCCUCCCAUUCCGCUUUCUUGCAUUUCCUAUUCAUUUCUCUCUCCUUCAUGUAAAAUACCAAUGAAUUGUAUUGAAUUUGGUUGCUAUUUUCAUUGAUCAAAAUGAAUAUUUAUACAAUGCUUGAAGAUACAAAUAUGGUAAAAAAUAAUUACAAAUCAAUUUACAACAAAUAGAGGGAUUAUAGGAGUAGAUUUUGUAAUAUGAUAUUAUUUCCUAAUAUCCCACCUCAAACCAAAGAUUCAGAGGGAGUUAGUAGUUAUUUCAAAGGUGAAGAAAUAUGAGAGACAGAAGUAGCUUUGUGAGUAUAUCAACAAGUUGUUUGUUGGAGGAGAUGCGUCGAACAGAGAUGUCUUUACGAAGAACUUUUUCCCGAACAAAAUGGGAAUCAAUCUCAAUGUGUUUGGUUGACAAAAAUGCCAUUAGUGGAGAAUUGUAUUUCGAGACCAAGAAAAUACUUUAAAGAACCAAGAUCAGAUAUUUUAAAUUCAAGUGCCAAUUGGUUUUUUAGAAGAGAAAUAUAAGAGGAGUCUGGGCCAGUGACAAUAGUAUCAUCAAAACAUACAUGAGUAAGUAAGUAAGAGAAGAUCCAACAUGUCAAAUGAAUAAAGAUGGAUCAAUCUUUGAAGCAACAGAACCCAAAGUAAAUAAAUAAGAGGUAAAGCAUUCAACCAAGCACGAGGGGCUUGUUUGAGGCCAUAAAGGCUCUUGUGUAGAAGACACACAUGGUUUGGAAUUUUUGUCAUGAAAACAAGUAGGUUGAGAGAUAUAUACUGUUUCCUGGAGAACACCAUGAAGAGAGGCAUUUUUGAGAUCUAACUGUGUCAAUGACCAAUUUUAUUGAGCAGCUAGAGCAAGAAUAAUUCGUAUAGUAGGCCUUUUGACAACAUAACAAAAGUUUCAUCAAAAUCAAAACCUUGUACCUAGUGAUACCCUUUGGCAACUAGGCGUGCUUUGUGGCGAGCAACUGAGCCAUCAUGAUUAUAUUUGGUACAAAAGACCUGCUUACAACCAACAAUAUUCAUGGAUUGAUGGUGAGGGACUAAAGACCAAGUACCUUGUGCUUGAAGAGCAUUGAAUUCUUCACACAUUGCAUCUCUCCAUUCAUGAUACUUGGAAGUUUCAGUGUCUGAUGUUAGAGUUGGAAGAGUCGUGGUGAUCAUAUGGAAUGCCUUUGGUUUAAAAUUCCUGACUUUGCUUGAGUUUGCAUGGCAUGAGUGUUUUGAGGAGGAAUUGGAGCUGGUGCAUUGGUGGUGACAGCCUCUAUGUUAUUUCCUGUAUCAACAAUAGGUGAAACAUGCAAAGACUGACAAGAGGCAUUAGUAUCCAUAAAGGGUGAGUAAGUAAUGUGGAGUGGGAGGAUUAGGAGUAGGAGAUUGUAUGGGGAUAAAGUGUGAGGAUGUAGGAUGUGGAAGAUUGAGUAAGGUGAGUAGUAAGCUGGGAUAAAAAAGGAUUGAUUUUGUGAUGAGGAAGACACUACAAGAAAAUGGGCUCUCCCGACGCACACAAUCGUCGUGUUUUCCUAUGAUUUUUCUUGCGUCGGAAAACUCCGAUUUCUUGUAGUGAGAAGUAGUGGUUUGGGCAAAAGGGAAAAUUGUUCCAUGAAAGAUAACGUGGCGUGAAACAAUGGUUUGUUUGGUAGAUGGAUUAUAGCAAAUAUAGCCUUUAAAAUUGUGAGGAUAGGCUAAGAAAAUGUGUUGUAUGGUUUUUGGUUCAAGUUUAUGUUUGGUGUAGGGUUUAAGGAGAGGAUAAUAUGCACAUCCAAAAACUUUUAAAUGGUGCAAAUCAGGAGUAUGACCAAAAAGCAUUUCAAACGGUGAUAACAUUUUAAGUAAGGGGAGGGCAUGUGAUUAAUAAGGAAAAUUGCAGUAGAAAAGGCAUAAGGCCAAAAUUAAAGGGAAAAAGAGGAAUGAAAAAUUAAAGACAUUGCAGUUUCAACAAUAUGACGAUGUUUACGUUCUAAAAUGUCGUUUUGUUCAGGUAUAUAAGGACAUGAUUUUUUAUGAUAAAUACCUUUGGAUUCGAAGACGGAUUGUAAGGAAUUGUUGCAGAAUUCACUACCACCAUCUAAUCUAAAAACUUUUAAUUUUUGAGAUAUUUGAUUUUUAAUGAAGGGAAUAAAUUUUUAAAUAAUAGAUGGAACAUUUGAUUUAUAAGCAAUAGGAAAGAGCCAAGUCAAUUUGCUAAAAUUGUCAAUGAAACUAACAUAAUAUCGAUUUCCAUUGGAAGAAAUAAUUGGUGAAGGACCCCAUACAUCGCUAUGAACAAGUUCAGGUGGUGUAAGAGAAGUGGACAAAGACAUAGGAAAAGGUAAUUUUGUUAUUUUUGCUUUUAAACAACCAAUACAAUUGUAAGUUGAAAGAGAAGAAGAUAUAGAUAGACCAAAGCGAGAUAAAAUUGAACUUAGAAUCCUUGGAGCAAGAUGACCCAAAUGAAAAUGCCAUAAUGAUGAAUUCUCCUAAUUUGCAUGAAAAUUUAAAAUUUUGAAAUGCAUAGUAUAUGUGGAUAGAUGAGAAGUACUGGGAAUAAGGUAGAGAUCAUUGAUGCUUUCACCAGUAUACAAAGUUCGGCCGGUGACUUUAUCCUAAAUGAGAAACCAGUCAGUAUCAACAAUAAAAAUGCACUUAUUAUCAAGGCAAAAUUCAUGAACAGAUAAGAGAUUUGCAACAAGUUGCGAAGCAUGAAGUAUAUUUGAAAGAUUAAAGGUAUGAGAGGGAGUUGAGAGUUUACCACUAUCAAUAUUUCGAAUGUUUAAAGGUUGACCAUUUUCCACUAUGAUAGUUUCCUCACCAUUAUAAUGAUUGGAUAAGAUGAGAUUUGUCAACUCAUUUAUCAUAUGAACGUUACAUCCACUGUCAGAUAACCAAAAAUUAUUAGAAUUUUCAGCAGAAGAUUGAAAAUGCAGAGUUUACCGCCAUUGUUGCUAAUUGAGAGAGUGGAUGUUUUCCUUGAUAAGAGAAAUUCAUACCGUUGUAGCAAUCGAGGUGUCAUGUCCGAAUUUUUUACAAAUUUGACAGAAUAUGCGUCCAAUGAUUAGAAUUGGUUUCAGGCCCAAAAAUGGGCCCAUGAGUGGGGAAAGCGUCCAAUGAGCCCACAGUGAGAAGAGAAAUUGAAUGAUGGACGGUUUGGGCUGAUGAAGAAUUGGGUCGAUUUAAGAUGUUGGGCUGAUGAAAAAUGUUCCUCCAUGCGACCCAUGUUCACGAUAAUUUGUCUGGUUUUGAGAACUAAAAUGAGGGUUACAGUGUCGUCUUCCUCGUCUGCGGCUACCCUUGGAUGAAGGAUGGAAAUUUUGUGCGGCUUCCAUGGUGGUAGGAAUGGCUUCGAUGGCGGACGAUUUUGCUAUGGUGAAUUCUUCAGAGAUGAGAAGGGUGUGAAGUUCUUCAAGGGAGAUGGUACCACUUCGAGUUUGGAUUGACGUGCGAAAGGUGUUGAAGGUUGCAAGAAGUCCAUUUAAGGUAUGAACUAAAACCUAUUCAUCUUCUAGAGCGACAAAGGCGGCAGCAAGCUUCUCGACAAGGACUUUGAUUCGAAAAGUAUAUUGCUCAAUUGUUUUCAGAUGGAGUUUUCUUUAUGGUGUAAAGGGCAGAUCGAAGAUCAAGAAUAUUGGAUCUGGUGUUGCAGGAGUACCUCUUUUCUAGAGAGAACCACAAUGCUUUUGAUGAGGUUGUGCCGACUACAUGAGCAAGAGCCGAAGGGGAUAAGGUUGCGUUGAUGAGGGUGAUAAAAGCUUGGUCACAAAAGAGCCAACGAAGAUGCUCAAGAUUUAUUUCAAGGAUGGUUCCAGCAGAUGUUGAAGGUAAAAAUUUGGGAGGGCAGGGAAGAGAAUUGUCAAUGUGACUGUUCACAAGAGAUUUUCGGAGAAAUUUAAUUUGUGGACUUGAACUUGAGUGUUCAUGUUGUAUCUUUGUUGAUUUGAUGCGAUGGGUUCAAUCUCUAGAAUUUGAUCAUCUGAUUCUCUCUCGACUGAAUGCCUACGCUUGAUUUGGAGGAAGCGGAGCACAUGACAUUCUUGACGUUUGUUGAACGUCUACGCUUGAUUUGGAAAAGCGGAACACGUAAUGUGGAAAAGCGGAACACGUAAUGUUCUUCAAGUUGGUUGAAUGCUUACGCUUGAUUUGAGGAAGCGGAACACGUGAUGUUCUUGAAGUUGAAGUCUUGGAAGAAAGUUUGUAUCUUCAAAUGAGCUUCAAUCUUCGAGGGUCGACUUCAGGAGUUAGGGAAUUUUCUAGUUUUUGGGAGAAUUCUCUCUAGACCUUUUGGAGUAAAAAAUUUCCAACAUCUAAAAUGAUGAAAAUUUCUCUAUUUAUAGAGUUCACUGGUGGGCUUUAUGGGCUUGAACCUGAUUGGUCCAUGGACCAGACCCAUGGGCCCAACCAUAUGGAUUUAGGUUAUAUUUAAUCUUUUGCUUAUUUUUGGGCUUAAUUGAACCAAAAUGAUUAACUUAAUCCAAUGAUUAAGAUAAAAACAUGUGACAUUAUUAGAAUGGUCAAUUUAUGUUUUUCAAUUCUUUAAUUUGGGACACAUGUGAAUUUUAAUUAGUCCCAAAUUUAAUUAUUUGUACUUUUCAUGAUUAACUUAAUAAAUCAUGUGGCAAUUUGUGAUUGGUCUUAAAAUUUUUAUUCAAGAGUGACCAAGCAGAGAAUGUGCUUUGAGGAAUUGAGGAGACUUGGUAUUUCCAGAUAGCGUAGUUUGUGAAGUCUAAUCGAAGGUGUACAAGAUUGCACAUAUUUUAUAGUAAGAAGAGAGUUGAGGUAGGAAUAGGUUAAUUUUCUAGUGAUGAUUCUGUGGGAAGAGGAUUGGUAGGAGUUUCUGUAGAGAUGAGAUCAGAUUGGGUGCUGGAGGUAGCCAUUGAAGAAGAAGGAGAAGAAGAAGAAAAAAAUAUUUUGAGGUAUGCUCAGAUAGCAUGUAAAAUAUCAAUGAAUUGUAUUGAAUUUGCUUGUUGUUUUAAUUGAUCAGAAUGAAUAUUUAUACAAUGUUUGAUGAUACAAAUAUGGUAAAGAAUAAUUAUAAAUCAAUUUACAAUAAAUAGUUGGAUUGUAGGAGUAGAUUUUGUAAUCUAAUAUUAUUUCCUAAUACUCCAUCCUUCAUCUUCACAAGGGUGCGAGAGAUCUUCGAGCAGGUCAGUUGAAUCAAUUGGAUUACACUUCAUUUCUUGCUGGACUCGACCAUGAUCAAUAACCCCAUGUGAUUUUUCUUUUUCAUCUGGGUGUUCCUUCUUUUUGUUUGCUUUUUUCUUUUAUGGGUUUUGUUUGUUUGGUCAUAUAUUUUACCUAUCUGUUUUAGAUUCAAUCGAAGAUUUGAUCUGAUUGGUACAUGGGACUAUCCAUUUUGUGUAUUUCUAUUAUACAUUGUUUUGUUUCAUGUUGAUCCGUUCAAUUAAUGGUGAUUUAGCAGUGUUUUGGAUUUGAUGUAUCUCAUUUGGAUGUGUUCUUAACGUGUACCGGAAGAUUGGUGUUUUAGUUGGGAGAAAAUCUAGCAAUUUGGAUAUGGUUAGUUGUUAGGCUGAGCAAACUAUUACUUCGAGAUGAUGACUUAUCAUAAUCAAACUUUUCUUAGAUCACUCUAUAAUUGCUGAUUUUCUCUUGAUAUUGUUACAAGUAAAUAGUUUCUUAGACUAUAUAUCAAAACUCUCAACAUUCUUUGCUGCUUUCAUUUUACUGUUGAAGAUUUAUUAUACACAGAAGAAUGAUGGUGGAUGGGAUUGGUAUUCGGAGGAAAUGCUGAAAAGCAUCAAUAACUUUUCAUUCAAAUUCACAAAACUUAGAUUAACCAACAAACCUACAUGAUAGGAGAAGAAAAAACAGUGAAUGUCCUAUUUGAAUUAGAAUUAAGCAUAAGUCAAUACUCAAUACUUUAGGAAAUGAAACAAACAAAUAAGUUGGAAAAAAAGAGGUGGGGAGAAAAAUAAGAAGAUUAAACUGAGCUGAAAAUGGAACAAUUUUUUUUAAAAAAAAGAUCCCAACUUCUAAUUCAAUCACAUAUUCCACCAACAUCAUCAUUUUUCUCAAUUUUUUUCUGUUCACCAUUUUUUUUUUUUUUUGCAUUCCUUCUUUAUGAAUAUUAAUGAAAACUUCUGUCGAAAAAGGAAGAAAGGAGCUUCAACAAGUAGCAACACUAAUGGACUGAAAAUUAUCCAAUUGUUCCAAGGCCCACAUAUAGUUGGUGAUUUUGUACUUGCUCAAAGAUAUUAAAUUCUAUCCUUCAACUUCAACUUUCUAUAACUAAUAUAGAAAGUACUUUGAUUCACAAUUCAUAGAGUAGAAGGACCAGAAGAAGCAAGUUAUGGGUCGUCUAGUUUCUGUAAAUUUUCCUAGUUGAUUAGCAACUGCUGCACUCAAGUAUUUUUCCAUAAAAUAGUGCAUAGUUGAAGAAGCAAAUAAGAGAUGAAGAAGCAAACCAUUAAUUUGUGAACUUUUGAGUGGUUCAUUUUAUAUGUUUUCUCCAUUGAUGAAACCCAUCAUAGUCUCAUAACCAUAUAGUAAGAUAUUUUAUUUUAUUUUAUUUUAUUUUAUUGGUAGAUUUCUCCAAACUUCCUUCCCUUUUUUAAUUCCACUUUCACAAAGGCUCCCAGAAGCUUUGAUCCUUUAUUAGAUAAGGAAGUUCUUGUGAUGGAAAGGUGAAGAUUAUUUGAGUUUUGAUGUGGAGUGUGUGGAAGAUAAAGACUCUUCAAACAUCUCCAUAAUAUAUUUGAGUAGUGUAAAUGCUUUAUUCUUCUUGUUCUUGCGUUUAUAUCUACAUAAAUUCAAAAUACAUCCAACACUAAUAUUAGUGAUAUUGUCUAUUGCUAUCCAUUAAGAUUUUGAUUAUGUUAGAUUAUCAUACAUGCGAUUCCUCCAUGCAUGGAGAAAUGUUAAUUAAGCUUACAGUAAAUUCUCUCUCAAUUUUGAUAAACAGACUGGAGAUGAAAACACAAAUUUGAAGCAUAUUGAAGCAUGGAGAGAAAAUAUCCACGCUCUCUCUUUUUUUAUAGUUUAGCUUUUAUUUAUAAGUUUAAGCUUGCGGAUACACCAUUUCAUUUGGAACAAAAGCCUAACAAAAGGACAACAGCAGGAUUCUAUAGUUCUAGCAGGUGGGUAUAGGAACGCGACAAGAAGUAGCAAUCUUUUUAGCAUUGGAGAUUCUAAAUAAGGCUUAAAUACAGGACUUUUGAGGUAUGCACAAAAGCAUGGCUCUUGCUCCUUCAAUUUCUCACAACAUUCAGCUGUUGGCGGCACUGACGAUUCCAAUGCCGGAAGACAUGGUCUCAUCUCCAUAGGAUUACAAUUCACUGCAUCUGCCAGUCCAGCUCCGGUGAUGAGCGCCACCACCAUCACCAUUGCCAUCACAGGCACCGAUAGGCAAAGACUUGUUGAAAUCGAAACUUUCUUCAUUUUCUUGGUGAUUUCGAAAGAAUUGUGAUAUUUGUGUAUAAGUGAUAAAGAAAAAGAAAAGAAUGGUUUAAUUUAUAGGGUUGUAAAAUUGGAAGAUGUUCACAAAUCACAAAAUAUGAGCAUCUGUGUAUAAGCAUCUGAUCUGUUACGAGUGCAGCCAAAUCUAUAACAACAUUUACCUUAUAUAAACCUUAUAUAAAGGAAACUGAAGCCCUACUAAGUGCUUAAAGCUUGCUAGCUCUCACACUUAAUGCUCCCAUUCAAUAAAUUCAGCAUUUUUUUGUGGUUCAAGUAAAUGAUGAAACAUGUGAAAGGAUAUAAAAUUAAGGGUAAUAGAGUAUUUUACGAUUCUAUAUGUAAACAAAAAGGAAGGGAAAAAAAAUUAAAAUAUAUGGAUAUGGAUAUGGAUGCUUAAAAUUUGAUCAAACUAAUGUUGGCUAAACAAUAUGACCAUCAUAAUGAUGAGAAUAAGGACAUCUACAUCUCUAUCAAUGUAAAUUAUAUCACACAAUGGAUACUGUACUAUAUUUAUUGGAUAGGGGUAAAAGUAUUUUAAGAAACAAGUGUUUAAAUCGUAGACAAAGUCUCAAUUGCAUAAAAUUAGUCCAAACUUUGCGUGUCAAUUGUGCACUCGGUCUACAAUUUAACCCCUUUCGUUUUAGAGAGAUUGUGAGAAUGACAAAAUAGUAGAUAACAACUUGGAAAAUAGCAAAACCAAAAAAUAUUUUGAUUUAUAGCAAAACCGCGUGAAAUAGAUAUUUUUUGACCCGUUUUCGGCCGAUUUUACCCUUUCAUAGAUGGAAAUUCUUUUUUUCUCAGAUACGUGUAUUCGUGUAGGUUAAAAUAAUAGAAUAUAAACCAGAAUUCUGAACAGAGUGCAUUUGCAAAUCAUUCCAUUUCAUAUAAAUAUUUAUUUUCAUAAUUGAUAUCAUUUAAUCAACAUCUCCUAGAUUCAUGCCUCCAAUUUAUAUAAGGUUUUGGGAUUUGUAGGUUUCAAAUCAAAUAAUUAAUAUUUUUUUAUUAAUAGAUAUUUAAUUCAUAAUCAUUUUACUAUCCAUAAAAUGUUUGAUAAUAUAAUUUACUCAUGAGAUCUGGUUAAUACUUAGUAACUUUUUAUUAUAUCAUACAGAUACACAAGUUUUAAUAUUUUUAUUAUAUAUAUAGUAAUAAAUUUCUUUUUAUUAUUUGAUUUUGAAAGUUUAGUUGAAAGAUAUCCAAAAUUAAAUUUAAAAUUGUAUCAUUCCCUAAACUUUUGCAUUCGAUAUAAUAACAACUUCAUAUUAAGAUUGCAUCCCCUAUAAUUAUGCAUGUAACCAUCAUUUCAUAGAACGGUUCAUUUAAUAUAAUUAUAAAUUGACAUUAUUUUAGGAGAAUAAAUCAAUUAUCACGAUAUUUGUGGAUGAAUUUUUUUUGUUUAAACUAAUGAUAUGGAUGUUAAACGCAUUGCCAUUAGGCGGGACUAAAAUCAUUUUAUUGUAGAAUCGUUAAAUGAGGUAUAUUUUCCGUAAGUGUUAUUUAAAAAUUGAUUUGAAACCACCAAAAUACUAAAAAUUUGAUUUUAAAUGUCAAUAUCCAAAAAAAAAUUGUGAAAAUGCUGUGAUUUUUAUCUGAAAUUAUUUAAUUGUACAAAUUUAUAUGUACAAUAUAUAGUUUUUUUUUAUCAAAAUUUUAUUUUGAAGUACAACCAUUUUGAAAUUAUUUAAAGUUUGAUUUGAAACCACCGAAAUAUUAAAAAUGUGCAGUUUUUACCUAUUUUGUUACAUGUAUAACUAAAAUACAUUAAGAUAAAGAGGUUUUGGUUAUCUAAUUUACAUACACUUACCUUCUUCCCUUUUUCUAUAUUUGUUUGUCUCUUUCUAUUAUUCAUGGAGUGCUCACUAUCUUUACUUGCCUCUUUUGUGGAUGAUUUUGAUUCGUCCUUUCUUGUGGUAUCUGCCUGCUGCUUCAUCUAUAGCAUCUUCUUCCUUUUUAUCUUCCAGACUCUCAGUCUUUUCUUGUUCACCCUAUUUUGAUUAUUAAAUUAGACAAGUUUGUUCAUGUUUAUUAAUUCGAUUACAACAAGUUGCAACAUUUACCUGGUCUUCAACCUCUUCUUCACUUUCUUCUACACGUUUCGCUCUCUUUAUUCGACUUAACGAAACCUACCAAGCGAACAAAUUUAAAAAAUCUCUACAUAUACUUUAUUAGAAAAUAGGAGAACAUAAAUGUUAAUAAGCAUAUUUACCAUGCUUUUUAUUCUUAGCUUUUUAUGUAUAGUUGGCUCUUCCCUUGGAGGGUCCUUCAUCUCUCUCUUAUUGGAUGAUUGUGGAAGUUCUUUUAAAUCAAGGAAGUUCUUUUAAAUAUAUGUAGGAGGCACGAUUAAAAAAAAAAAAAAAAAAAUUGUAGUGGAUGAGUCUUGAACCCAAAAUCUCUGCAUUUUAAAGGGGGCACAACCACUAUACCAAAAAUAGAAUACUAUAAAAUAAUGCAUUUUGUAAAUUAUAUUGUAAUUUGACACUACAAACUAAUAUUAAAAUAUAAAAAUCGAUAAUGUGAGGGGGGCACAUGCCCCUGGCCCUUAAUAGAUUUGCCCAUGAGUUAUGUUAUAUCAUGUAAUGAACCAUACACUAAGUUAUAAGAAUGUACAACUUUAUUAUACUUGAAAAAAUACUUGAAAAAUAUAUAUGAAUACUCGUCUGAAGAGCUUGAAAGAGUUUGGACACCUGUUGACAAUGGUAUUUUUGAACCAGUGUAUCCAGAAGACCGUAAUUUAUCACUUCUUCACUUUUCUCCUUGACCCUUCUUCGUCCUUAUAUUUAGAUUUUCUACAAUUUAUAAAAUAAUGAACAUUUAAGACAUAAACAAAUAAUACAGAACAAGCCCUUUUUUUUGCUCCUAAAAUGGAGGACAUAACUGUUGUACGUUUUAUUUUAUGAUAAUAAUAAAAACAAACCGAUUGUUUUCUCUAUAUAUAACAAAAAAAAACUUUGUUCAAAUUACAUCGUUUCUUUCGAAUGUUCGAAAACUACAGAGGCAACAACAAUGGUGAUAUUCAAGUUCUCCAAAAUACAGUCCUAACCAUGUUGUGCAUAGUGAUAUUCGAAGAAGAAAUUUGAUCGAACAAAACAGCUUAAACAAUAAUUUCGAAUCAACACGGCAACUAAAGGACAAUAAUGGCGUCAAAUAAUCUGAUUAAAUCUGAAAGAACUAUUAGUUCGUUCGAAGAUUUAUAUAAGAAUAAGAGGAUGUUUCUAAAUAACCUAAAUAUGAAGUAAAGGCGUGCAGAAUUCUUUCGAAAACAGUGCAAAGUAAACUAGUCGAAGUCCGGAUGUUCUUCUAAAGUAGUGCAAAGUAAAGCAGUCGAAGAAGAGCAAGAGAUUUGGAAUAAUCGUGUAUUGCACAAAUAUGAUUUGGAAGAAAUGUGGUAAGAAGAUGAACAUAUGGAUUUUCAAAGUUUUUUUAGGGUUUCAAAUGAAAGAAGGAAAGUUUCUUUAUGGUUUUGAAUGAAAGAAACAAGUAACCGUCCGAAGUCCAAGAAAAAAAGAUGAACGUAAGGAUUGAAUGAUAUUAGUAAUUUAAUUUGGUGAGAUUUAAGGAUUUUAGCUAAUUAUAUAUAUAUAGGGUUAAUAAUAAUUAUAUUAUUGAAAUUAUAUAUAAUUAGAAUUUGUUAUGGAAGAUUAAUAAUAAUUAUAUUAUUAAACAUAAUAUAAUUAUUAAGUGUUCGUUUUUGGAAGAUAAAAAGAGAGAUAAUUGAAUGGGAUUUAAUGAGGAGAGAAUAAGAUUUGUUGGUAUAAACUUCUAUCAAAUGGCUAUUAAUGUCACUGAUCAAAGAUGAAAGCAUAUCAAUGACUAUCAAUAUCUAUUAUUAAUAAAAUCUAAAAACUUUGUUAUAUGUUGUAAAUAUUUUGCCAAAUUUACUAUUUUUGACAACUUUCCUUUAAUAAAAUCUAAAAACUUUGUUAUAUGUUGUAAAUAUUUUGCCAAAUUUACUAUUUUUGACAACUUUCCUUUAAAAAACAAACAAAUACCUAGUUAUUUAAUGGAAAAAAAAAAUCCUUUAAAAAACCCUAUUUUCGACAAACCCUAUUUUUGACAACUUUUCUUUAAAAAACAAAUUAUAGCAAAAUUUUGGAUUCUAUCACUUAUAGUCUUCUAUCACUAUAGCAUAUCAAUGAUUAUCAGUGAUAGAAUUUGCUAUAAGUUGUAAAUAUUUUCUAAAAAAUAUUAUUUUUAUAUAUUUCUCUUUAAUAUAAAAAACAAAUUUCACUAUAGAAGGAAAAAUAUUAGUAUAUUAACAAAAGUUAAAUAAAUUAGGUUAUAUCGUAAAUUGGUUUACAAUUCUAAUAUAUAAUUAAAUAAAUACAUAACUACUUUGUAUUUGUUGAGAUUGAAAAAAAAAAAAUCAAUAUACAAGAUUAACGGAAAAAAAUAGUGUAUUAACAAAAGUUAAAAUUUAAACAUACUUAAAUUUGAAAGAAUUUAAGAAAAUUUUACCAUUCAAAACAUAAAAAAUAUUUUACCAUUCAAAACAUAAAAAAUAUGAAUACAAAAAUACAUUGUAUUUUUUAUUUAAUUCACUGCCUAUAAUUAUUAAAUACACAUUGUUGGGUACUUGGUAGUUCAAUAUUAAAAUAUUUACUUCCAGCAGCACCCUCCAAUACAGUGUCAACGACCACAAAAACAGAAGAUUCAAUCCAUCUACCAUAAAAAACAGUUGUAUAACACAUACACAAGUUUUUGUAUUAUAUUGCUAAAGGAUGUAGGAUAAAAAAUGUGAUUAAUGUACAAAUAGUGUUAAACAAAUAAGAUAGUCUACAAAUUAAUUUAAAACAUUAAAAUAAAAACAAAUAUGGUAAGUAACAAUAUAUUUCAAAAACUUAUACAAAAUACAUAUUUUCGAACAUUUUUAAAGAUAGAAUCGAAAGCUAACUAUAAAAAUCUAUUAAUAAUUUUUUAAAUACACUAUGGACACGUAAAAAAUAAGCAUAUGAAGAUACAAUUUAAAAUAAUAAAAAGAAACGAUAAAGAUACACAUUUUCAAAAGUUAUUAGAAAUACUUAUUUCGAAAAUUCAAAUUUGAACUAUAUUUUGAAAAUGUAAACAUAUAACACUAUUUCAAAUUUGCCCUAUAUUAAUUGAAUGUCUUAAAUACAGAUUAUGGACAUUAGAAAAUAUAUAAAGGUAUAGUUCAAAAUAAUGAAAAGGAAAAUGAUGAAAAAAGAAAAACAUAUUUUCAAAAUUUGUUAGAAAUACAGUAUUUCAAAAAAUCAUUAAUUUUUACAACCUAAUUAAAAAAUAUGUAUCAUGGAUUAAUUAAGUAUAUAAUUCAAAAAUAUUAUUAACGUAUUAUAUAUAAUUUAUUAACGAUUGAGUUUCAGUUAUGGUAUAAUGAGAUAACUAAGUGACAACUUGAACUAAUGGGGAGAUUUGUUGCAAUUUCGUCUCCCAAAUAAAUCUCAGAUUUAGUUAGGAUUUAACAAAAUAAUCGAAUUUGUACAAUAGAUUAUAUUUACCCAUUAAAAUACAAUGUACUUUCAACCUAUGAAAUAUCCUAAAAUCAACGACAAAAUAAAAAUUAAUUGACAACCAUAAAUCUGCAUGUUCUCAAUUUGCUAAAACUAUUAUUCGUGCCGAUUUUGACUAUAUUUCCAACCGCCACCUCCAAAUUUUCCAUUCCUACAUAUUUCUCAAGAAAAAUAUAUAUUCUCUAGAGGGGGAAGAACCCACGUCAUAGUUCAUAGUUAAAGGCUCUGCGCCUAAUCACUUUUUGUUGUGCACUUCACCUAGGAGUAUUUCGCCUUGUCUUGACAUUUGAUGUUUCACCUUGUGCAGUGAUCAAAACGCCUAAGGAUUAGCCAUAGAAACUUGUUACAUAUUAAUCAGUUCGCCUAAUGAUUAGUCCAUCUGAUCAAAACGCUUCUUAUCAAUACGCCUAUUGCAAAAUAGAGAGUAGUUAAGAAUAUAGGGGUUGGGUCACGGAUCUCGCUUUCUUUAAGACGUUUUGCAGCUCUAUUUAAUUUGUGCAAACAAAUUUUAAAUGCCUAGUCGUCCUAAGGAUAAAAUAGUCGUGUUCUUCAAUUAGUUUUGCUUUAUUUAGAAAGAUCUAUAUGUCUAGGGGUUUGCAUUGAAACUAAUCACAAUCUCAACACUCAAGUAGACACUUUUGAUUUGCUUGGAAAGCUCACAAAAAGAAAUUUGAAAGGAAGUAUUUGCUUGUGAUUUCUCACGCACAAAAUGAAAGAAGUAGAAGAGUUUAUAUAGUGUGAGAAAACUAAUAGAGAUAUUGGAAAUUAAUUUUGGAAACGUUUGUAGUUAUGGAAAGAUUACGUUGAACAUUAAAUACAAAACGGUAAUAAAACGUUUGAUUCUUUAACUAUACGAUAAAAAUCAUAUCAUUUAUUUCACCUCAUCUCGCUUGACCAUCUCACCUCAGAUGUCAGCAUAUGCGAUGAAAUAUUCUAUCAUCUAGCAUAGAUAAGUGCUAGUCUUAUCGUAUAGUCAUGAUCAAAUAUCACAUCAUUCACAAAAAUCCGAUAACUCCAUCGCUUAGAAAUCUUACCGUAUAGCUUGGUCCUUAUCGCAUAUCGUGUAAAGAAUUUUUCAAUCAACACUUUUCGAUUUUUAAUAUAAAAAGAAUUCAGUUUAUAAACACAGUUUUUUGGUUACUAUCUGUGCUACAAAUUUGAGGGAGAGAGAUUGAUGAGACUUAAAUAGUGAAUAAGGGAAAAUUAAAAGCUUUGGAUCUCUAUGUGUUCAUUGACACGAUCCUUUGCAUUCAACCACACCUAUAUUUAUCUACAUAUAUUGCCCUUUAAUGAUACUCAUGUUGUGCUAUAUUAUCUUCUCUUUAAAAUCUAUAAUAUGCAUCUUAUAUAUAUAUAAAUAUUUAUAAUUAUAUAUAAUUUAAACCGUGCUUGAAAAAGACCUUUGUAAUAAUCUCUAGGAGGGUUUGUUUUUAUUAUUAUGACUCUUUAACUAAACCAAAACCAUUAUUUACCUUAGUGUUAACAUUUUAAUUUUAAAGUUUGAAAAUUGCAUCAAACACCACAAUUUAAAAAAUAAAUAAAAUUUAUAUCCGAAUGAAAAUAAUAUUUGUAAACAAGAUAACUUUGACCGAUCAUAUGUUAAAUUUUUUUAAAUUUCAAUUUUGUCACAAUUUCCUUCUCCUUUUGACUUUCCUUUCUUUUAUUGACAAGAGUAAUGACUUCUAUCACUAAUAUCAUACUACCACGGAUGUUUUCAAUCAAAUCGUAGUAAUAUGUGGAUAUGUUCACGAAUCUAUCUUAAAUUGAACUUUAUAUUUCUAAAUGAUAUAUAUAAAUGUUGAUAACACGUGACUUUAAAUCAAUAAUUUAUUUCAACCAAAGAUGCAAUUAUAUCAUUUUCAUUUUAAAACUAUAUGUUAACUGUAUCCAAUUUAACACAGUCGUUUACAAAAGUUUAAGCAUUGCAAUUGAAUGUCAAACGAAAGCCUAAACAUAAUAAUCUAUUGUCAAACAAAAAUCUAUCAAAUGUCAAACAAACAUUCCUAAUUAUCACAUUUUUAUAUUUGAAGAUCAAAAUUUUGAGUAUCAUCAUUCCACCUUUGGAGAAUGCCUUAGCUAAUUUGCUGGGAGACAUUUUUGUCUUUUUGUCUUUUCUUUUUUUUGUUGUCUUUUCUUUAAACUACUUUUGCAUUCUGUAAAUCUUUUUUCUAUUCAUUCGUAUUCAUAUUUUUUAGAGUCUUUUCAAUGACAUUUAUCAGUAAAGUAAAGAAAAUAAAACAGAAAAUAAAACAGAAGUGUGUAUGUGAAACAAUCGUUUCUCAAAUCCAAAGUUAUAAUUCAUUUAUCAAAUUGAAAGUUAUCAAUAACAAUUAUAAUUGAUUCAUUUAUCAAAUUGAAAGUUAUCAAUAACAAUUAUAAUUGAUUGCUGCCAUGGGUGAUAUAUAUGAUUAGUGACUGUUUUUAAUUUGAGAAAUUGAGUAAGAAGAAUCCAAAAUAUAGCCGCAACACAUGGGCAUUUUAAUCUUCUUACUAAUUUUUUACUAUAUAUACAAUUAUUUUAUUCUCAUGUUACAUAUGCUAUUAUCUUAAGCUUUAUUUUAUUUUAUUUUUUUUAUGCAACUGAUCCUUUAAAAUUUUAUUCAUGAACACUUUUAUUAUAUAGAUCAAUAUAGUUCAGUUGUGAUGUUGGUUUAUGUAAUUUGUCCAAUAAUUAAUGGAGAAAGUGUUAGAUCCCUUUUGGUAGCCAUGUUUUUGUAUUCUUUUUUCUUUUUUUGUUUCUGAAUUUUUCAUUUUUAAAAAUAAAAACCAUAUAGAUUUGAUGAUAAUAAAUUUUUUUACAAAAACAUAAAAUAAAUGGAACAACGCCCUUAGUGUUGUUUGGGAUGCAGCAAAGAUCUUAUAUUUCUUGCAACCCGCACAACUUUCCGAUUAAUAACAAUUUCCUCGUGCCAAUCUUUUAAAUCCUAUUUUCUUAUAUAUAUAUAUAUAUUUUUGUAUGUAAGAGAAAACGAGUGCACCUAAUCAUUGCAGUAAAAAGAAAUUGAAAACAUAGAGAUAUCUAAUUCAUGCCAUUGUUUUUAUUUAUAACUUCAUUUUGUAAUACAGAUUAAGAUUCCAUUUCAUAAGAGACCACCGUAAUUUUCUAACACUUAGGGAUAGGGACACGACACUGGGAAGCAAUGGCCCGAACACGAGGAGAUUCUGCAUAAGCUUUGUACUUUGGAUCUUUUAGGUACCCACAAUAGCAUGGUUCUUGUUGCCUCAACUUCUGGCAGCAAGCAGCCGUCGGUGCAGUUGAUGAUGUGAUUGCACUCACACAAGGGCUCAGCUCCGUCGGAUUGCAACUCACCGCCUCACCCAGACGAACACUGGAGAGAAAUAUUGCCACCACCACAAGAAGGCAAAGGCCUGUGCCUUGAACUUUCAUCAUUCUUUUUUUGGUUUUGAGAAGAUUAGUUCUUUGUUUUUCUGUAUUUGGAAGGACAAGAAAGAGGAGUGGGUGUGUGUGUGUGCAUUUUGCCAAAAGGUUUCAACCUGUAUUUAUAGUCUCAUGUGUGAAAUGUAUAGACAUAAUUUGUUAAUAGUGGAGUCCAAAUUGAUGACAUCAAUUAUGACAAGUAUAUAGUGAGACAUUUGAAAGGAAGAUACGGAAACUUGGGUUAAAGGUAAGGAAGAGAUUACAAAUACUCUUUAACUUUUUUAGAAAAUUUAAUUGUAUUAUUUAAAAGCUAUAUAUAUAAAAUAUAAUCGAGUGAGGGUUAUAUAAUAAUUCACAAGGAUAUAAACAUUUCUAUUUUUUACUUCAAGUUCUCAAAAAAGAAAAUUGUUUUGAGAUGAUUUAAUUACUGUCUGGGUUUUUUUGUUUUUAAUUAUUUAUCAAAAUAUUUACUUAUUAAGUUAAUCUACUUCAAAUUGUUUUCAAAAUUCAAGCCAACUUUAGAACGAAAGGCAGCAGCUUUAUUGGGAAGAUUUGGAUUGAAGGACUCAAUUAACAUCAAACAUAAAUAAAAGUGAGGAAUCUAAGAAAACAAGAAAUGAAUAAGAAAUAGAACUUUUAUGAGAAAAGUAAGCUUAAAGCAAUGAGCUUUAUAUCAGAGAGAGCAAGGUCCAUCCGAACAAAAUACGUAGUGGGGUAUGCCCAGUCAUAAAAACAACAUAGAACAAAAUUAUAAGGUCUAUGGAAAUAUGCUCGACCUUAGCCAAGUGCAAGGCCAAUAAUCCUAGCAAAAUGACCAAUAGUGGUGCAUUCCUCAACCCAGUGAGCUAAAGGGUUAUUGACUUAGCAUGAAAGUUUUGUCCCAAAUAACCUAUAUCAUCUAUUCCAAUAAACAAAUCAUUAUCACGUCCGAAAUAACCUAUAUCAUCUAUUCCAAUAAACAAAUCAUUAUCACGACAAAAUUGAAAGUCCUACACUUACGAACUCUAUAAUUCAUUCGAGAAUUUCACUUUUUUUUUUAAAUAACUAUAUAUGCUAAGCACAACACUAGUCUACUUCGUCUUUCAAUUUUGCAAAUCAAUUUUUUAACUACAUUUUAGAAAACUCCUAUUUUUAGGAAUUUAGUUGAUAACAAAAUUUGUGAUCAAGGAUUUGUGAAAAUAGACUAAUUAUUUUUUUUUUUAUAAUAGAAAAGAGGAUUAUGUUUUUGAAAUCUAUUCUUGUUUUCUAUUUUUUGAAAAAAAGAACAUAAACAAAAUAACUAUCUUUUGUUUUUUUAUUUCUUUUUUCUUUUUUGUAACACCAUAUAUAAAAAAAUGAUAUGUUACACAUUAAGAAUAAAAAUUAUAUAUUACCAAAAGUUUAGUCUUGAUGACAACUAAAACAUAGUAACAAAGCUUUAUAAUAUUCUUCAUAUGUUAUUUAAAUUGAUCGACAUUGUCAUUUCUAACUGUCAUUUUUUUAAAGUAAUAUCGAGUAAAAUUUAAUUAAUUAAUAAUAAAUGUGAUCAUUGUAAAAUGUUAAAAUUAAAAGUUAAAAGCUAAAUGAUUAUGUGAAUUAACCAUAUUUAUAUAUUGUGAGAUUAUAUAUAUUAAAAAUAUUUAAACAGCCAUAUUGAAAAUUUUAAUAGUUGAAAUAUAUAUAAAAAACUAAUAUACAUAUUCAAACUUUUAAAAAAAGAAAUAAAUUAAAUAUUAGAGAAUUUUAAAAUUCAAAAUUAAAAUAAAAUAUAAAUAUAGCAUAUUUUAGACCUGAACCCUACAACUUGCGAAAGUACACUAAAGGUGAAUGAAUUUUUUAAUUUUGGUGAAAAGAAUUAUAUUGUAAAAUUUUAACCAGUUGCAAAUGUACCAAAAAUGAAGAAUUAAAACAAAGAUAGAAAUAUGGCCUAUUUCAAAAAUUAAAAAAAAAAAAAAAAAUUGAAACCAUUUAAUAGAAAGUUACAAGUUGUUAAUGGCCAAUUUUGUUAAGAGUAUGAAAUUGUGAAUAGAUAUCUUUUAACUUAUUAAUACAUUAUAUCAUAAAUCUAAAUGAAAUUAAGAGCACAAUAUAACAAACUGUAUAAAAUCUUGGCUUUAUUUGUUUGGAAUUGGCUCAUUUUAAGGGCAUCCCUUCACUUGUGUGCCCUUCCAAGUUAUCUAACGUAGGAAUAUUUAAUUUCAGUUUAAACAUGAGCACAACCACAUUGUAUUUGAAGAAAAAGACAUUUGCUUCAUUUCUUCUCUAAACCUGUUGCCAAUGCUACGCGAAUCAAUUUUGAUGGAUCUUCCUAAUUCAAAAUUGAAAAUCGUGAAUGUACAAAUUUUCAACACAAUUUAAACAACCCAACGUUUAUGACCUUUCAUAUAAGGUUGGCUUCUUUAAAUUUAAUUGCUUUAUUGCAAUUUAUUUCUUCAGGUUUGGUUAAAUUUGAUGACUUUUUCAUGAAGUCAGUCUUCUCUCUCAUUUAAUUCAAAUCGCUUUACAAGUAAACAAAUUAAAGGAAGUAACUAAAACUGUUCGUCAUCACCUUCUGCUAUUCUCCUAUUACGUUAUUUGUAUACGUGAACAACGACUGUCUAGCAUGCAUGCUGAUAGCAUAAAAAAUCACAUGAACACGUUUUUCUUAAUUCAUGGUCCUUACUGGUUUUAUGUGUUUAUUAUGUGAUUUCAUAGAUAUUCAACAUCUAAUUAGAGGCAGAGCAUCACAUUAGCGAUGAAAUGGAACUAAAACAAUCCAAAACAUAACUUAAAUGGAAUAAUAGAAAAAUAGAAGGUCAAAAAGAGCAACAGUUUUAUAAAACAAGUUUUCAUAAACAUUUUAGUAUAUAAAACCGAAGCUUGAAUACAUUUAUUAGUAAAUAAUCGUAACAUGAAUAUUUGCAUAGCUUUUCGAAGACAGUCCUCCAUAGCCACAGACAAUAUUUACUCCUUUGUCUAAAUACGGAACAGUCGAUAUGUAGCUAACCCUCCUCCUUUAAGGCAAACAAUAUACUCUUCCUGAUGGCCUGACCCAUAGUUAAAAAUAUGUCCGUCAGCCAUAGCAUCAAUAUGAAGUUAACCAUAUGUAUAUUAAUAGGUCUCAUGAAAUAUUCAGACAUGGAUAAAUUUGAACACAUGAAAUGUUUUCUUGAAAGUAUUUGAAAUGUUUCCUUGAAAUCAUGAAGUCAUAACAUAACUUGGAAAUAACAUUUCAGUGAACAUUUAUCAAUAGCAUCACUUGUAUAAAAACUUGAGAUCAUGUUUAACAAAACAUGUUUGAUAAAUACUUUGGAAAUCAUGAUAUUACUCCUAAGCUAUUGCUUGUAGAGUCUGAAAACAUGUUUAACAAUAACAUUUAGAAUCGGUGUGACGUUACUCACAAGCUAUAACUUGUAAUGUUGAAAACAUGUUUAGUAAGUAGCAUUUAAAACAUUUUGUUACUUACAAUACUUGAAUAGCCUUGGUCUCGGAAAUUUCUCCUAAUCCUUCUUGUCCUAAAAAAUUCAUAUUUUAACAGUUAAUUAAUUCCUUGAACAUGAAUAUAUCCAAAAGUGUUGGAAUUUAUGUCCUAAAACUAAUAGAUUAUAAUCAUAUUCUAUUCAAUAAAGUUGUUAUUAAUACUAUAAUCUUAAAGCCAAUAAACUAAGGCUCCAAAGCUAUUAUUGAGUAAACUUGAACUUUAUGUAGACAUAAAUGUGGAUCAAGUUCGAGUAUAUAGCCUAAAUAGUCUAUAGAAUAUGAAUACAGAUGGACACCUCAUUCUGGGAAUACUAUGGAUACGACUCGCUUUUGUAGUUAGUACAAACAAUGUGAUCCUGAAUCGUUCAUGUAGAGACAUGGAAGUGGGGGCAUCCUUUGUAAAGAAAUUACAUAAGACUGGAACCAUAGAAAUAGUCGCUCUUAAGUUAUAAUAUCGUUAACUUUUAAAACCGACUAUUUCGUUUAUAGAUAUCCAAUGUAACUUAAUCUUAAUCAUGAGAUAACUAUGAACUUUUGUUUGUUGGGAUUUAUGUCCUAAAACUAGAAUACUGUAAAUAUAAUUCAUUGACCGUUAUUAAUAAAGUGUUAUUAUUGUAAUAAUUGUUAUUGAUUAUAUUAUUAGUUUUGUCUUAAUAACCAAAAUCCAAUAAACUAACAUCCUAAUAUGUUUAAUGAGUCUUGAACAAUAUGUACAGACAUACAUGGAUAAAUGUUCGAGAUCAGCUUAAAGAUCGGUCUAUAGUAUAGGGAUAAGACUGGGUACCUUAUCUUGGUAACACUAUUAAUACAACUCACUUUUUUAUUUGAUACAAACGCAAUGAUUCAACGCGUUCGUGUAGUUGACAAGCGAGUGAGGGUAUCCUAUACAAUGAAUUUGCAUAAGAUAAUACUGCAAAGUAGUAACCACUAGAUGUAACCCCGUUAACUAGUUAGGUUUCUAUUUCACUAGGAUGACCUAGGUAACUUAGUCUUAAUCCUGAGUGUGUUAUGAACUCCUGUUCGCAAGGGAUUAUCCUUUGAUUAUCCUAUACAAUGAGUUUGCAUAAGAUAAUACUGCAAAGUAGUAACCACUAGAUGUAACCCCGUUAACUAGUUAGGUUUCUAUUUCACUAGGAUGACCUAGGUAACUUAGUCUUAAUCCUGAGUGUGUUAUGAACUCCUAUUCGCAAGGGAUUAUCCUUUGAUUUGUAUGGGUGAGAGUAGAAGAUCGUCGACUCAAUAAGCUUAUUAUUUUGGGGACAACACCGAGUGUGGAGCUGGGAACAUAAUUACACAAGAUGGAAUUCACUUUCCCUACUUUAGGGUAAGUAGAUGAGUGUUUCCUUAAAUGGUGUCUCUAGGUCUUGAACAAAGGAUUCUACCCUCUCUACGGCAAGAGAGGAGUUUCUGUUUAUUGGUAAGACCAUAAACAUGUUGUUUAGUGGAGGAGCACUGGUAUUUAAGGAUUGGAGGUAACCUAGGGAUAAAACGAUAAAUUGACAUAGCUGGUGUUACAAAAACUUGUGAAGGACUAACUAACUGUUAUUGGUCUACAUCCGUGGACACAGAAAUAUAUCUACAGUGAGAAUAGUUCAGUUGUGGGUCUUUAGUGGAAUGUACACACAAUUAACGAAUAUUGAUUAAUGUAGUUAAUAAGUUUAGCCAAUUAAUCUUAAAUCGUUGUAGUUUCUAAUUUGUAGGUUCAUUAGGUCAUUCCUAGCUCAUAAAGGGUAAUGAGAUUUAUUUAUAUUGGUUGUAAUUUGAAAUGUUCAAAUUUACUUUGGAAAUUAGUUUAAUGUAUAGUGAUACAUUGUAAUAAUCAAACUUUAUUAUAUAAAUUUAAUUUUGGAUAUGAUUCAAAAUUAAUUUUUGAGAGAUAAAAUGUUUGAAUGAGUUCAAAUAUUUAAUUUAAUGUGAAUUGGAUUCAUAUUGAAAUAAUUCGUUAAGAGAGAAAUCUAUAUUUAAAUAUGAUUCAAAUUUAAUUUAAGUUAAAUAUAAGAUAUUUAAUUUAGCAAUUAAUUAAUUAAUAAUUUUAGUUUUAUUGAAUUAAAUCUAUAAGAUAUUGCUAGAUAUUCAUUCAAAUAAGAUUUGAAUGAAAUAUUAAUUAAAUAUAAUUUAAUUAGUUAUAUUAAUAUAAAUCUAUAAGAUAUUGAAAAGAUAUUCGUUCAAAUAAUAAUGAAACAUUAAUUAAAUAUGAUUUAAUUAAUUAUAUUAAUAUAAAUAUAUAAGAUAUUGGUGAGAGAUUCAUUCAAUUAAGAUUUGAAUGAAACAUUAAUUUAAUAUGAUUUAAUUAAUUAUAUUAAUAUAAAUCUAUAAGAUAUUGAAGAGAUAUUCAUUCAAAUCUUAUUUGAAUGAAAUAUUAAUUAAAAAUUAAUUUAAUUAAUUAUUAACUAACUGAUUAAUUGUUAAUUAAUUAGUAGAUUUGAUAAUAGAAUCUGAUGAUUUUCUCCUACUCAUUUUCCUAUUUCAUGAAGGAAAUAGAGUUAUAGAUAUCUAGAAGAAAACAAUUUUUUUUAACGAAUUGAUUAAGAAAAAAAAAACCAAGACUUUUGCUCAGCAAAAAGAAAAGAGUUUCUCUCAACUACCUCUAAACUUUUUUGCAUCUUAGUUGUUUCUCUAAACCAAUCUCAUCCCAAAGGAUAAGAAGUCUCCGACGGGUGGUGUUCCAAUUCGGUGGUAUGUAGAUUCAGAGACGUCAUCGAAAGUAAGUUCUCUGUAUCUUUAAUUUAAAAGCAUGCUUAGUUUUUAUUUAGAAUUUUGAUUUUAAAAUCUUGCCAAUGUACUAGUAUUUUAAGAUUCUCAAAUUAAUUUGAGGAAUGGUUUUGUAAAAUUUUCACUGCCGUAAGGCUUUUAUGCCUUCGCUGUUCACAUAGAAUUAUCCAUAGAUUUGCAUAGGUGAGGGCAACUCAAUGGCGUUGGCCCAAUAAGCCUCCCAUUUCAGGUAAGACCGGGUGGAUAGCUAGGGACAUAAGGUGCAAGACAGAAUUCACUCCUACCCACAUUAAUGAUAGUAGAUAGGUUGUUUCUUUAAGGAUUGAAUCUAGGUCUUGAACAAGGGGCUCAGCCUCUCAUUGGCCAAGAGGGAUUUGGUUUAUUGGUUGGACUUAAAACCAAUUGUUUAAUAGUGGAUCAGUGGGAUCUAAGGAAUAAGAUGUAGUCUUGGGGUAAAACGGUACUUUGACCCAACUAAAGUUACAAAACAACUUGUGAAGGAUUAACUUACUUAUCAUGGUUAUAUCACAUGGACACAAAUAUAUCUAUAGUGAGGGGAGUGCAACUACGGGACUUUUGUGGAAUGUCUCAUUAGUUAACGAAGGUUGAUUAACUCGUUCUAAAAAAGUUUAACCAGUUAAUCUUGGAUCAUUAGAGCCAUGAUCUUUAGGUCCAUUAGGUUCCCCCGCUAACUCACAAGGAAUCAACUUAGAAUAUUAUGAUGGAAUAAUUCGAAUUGUUAGUACCCGUGAGUCACAUUUUAAAAUGAGUUUUUGAUUUUGUGUAUAUGUAUCAGUUGUUUAAUAUUUUUGUUUUAUACAUUUUUAAUUAAAUUUUCAUCCUAUUUAUUUAAGUUUAUUUUAUUUAAAAAAACUGUUAUUACAUGCGAGUCACAUUUUAAAAUUAUUGGUUUUGAUGAUUUUAUGUCUUUCGAACAUUUAUUUGAUAGUUGAUUUUAUAAAAAUUUUAGUUUUUCCUUUCCAAGAAAGUGUAUUUUGUUAUUGGUCUUUUGAGUAAUGACCUCGAAUUAGUAUAAAGAGUUAGGUCAUUACAUAUACUAAGUAACUUAUUUACUUAGAAGAAGUAAAUUACCUGAAAUCCUUGACUUAGAUAAUGGUUGAAUAAAAAAUACAAUCUUCCAAAUGAAUAUAUUUUUGAAUCUGGUAGGUGGUUUCGCACAUGCUUACUCAGGGUCGUCAUAUUUCCUAAAAUGACAUUUAACGUUUGACAAAUUUAUUAAUUGUAGGAUAUGUAUAAUUAAGCACAAAAUAACGAUACAAAGGAAAGAACAAAUGGAUUAGGUUUCUAUGUAUGUGGUUUAGGAUGUAAAGCAAUUAACUUACCAAUAAGUCGUCCAUUACAAUCUUGAUAUACUUCGGUGGAGCAUUUGCAAACCUAAGCCACUAGACUGAAAAUGCAUCUCUGGUUGCAUCACCAAUAGCAUGUCAAGAAAUUGGCUUCUUCGCUCCUUAUGUGAUGGAGAUUGGAGUUUUCCAUGUUUGUGGACGUAUUUCUCUAACUCAAUGUUUCGGGAGUGGUCAUGUGUCCUACGAGUGGGUUUAGUGUAACCAACUAAGAAAAAAAUUAUAUGUUCGUGCAAUAACUCAUGUAAUCUUAUGAAACACCUAAAGUGUUAUCCAAAUCACGAAACUAACGUGAAGUGUCACUCACCAAUGAUCCAAUGUAAGGGAAUAUGUCCAACUCAUGGAAUAAAUCUUUUGACUCGUGAAAAUUGCUUGAGAGUGCUGACAUAGCACCUCUACACACAAAAACCAAAAUGCACAAAUGAAAAUAUUUUAAACUGAAUCUAAAAAAUAAAAUAUGUGGAUACAUGGUUUGUCAUGAUUCGUCGUCGCUUGAUCUGUUUUAAGAAAAUAAUUGUUCACCAUCAUCGUUUAUAUAGUUGUCAACGACAUGCCGAACAACUGGUCUUUCCACCACUGUAGUAUCAAUGUCUACUCUGCAUAGAGUGUCAUCUUAAAUGUGUUUAUACACAUGAACGGAGCUCAUGCAUACUUAGCACAUACCACGAUAACAACCUCCAUCUAAUCCAACUAUGGUAGCAUACUAAAUACACGACUUGGAAUAGCUCACACGCGAUCCAUAUCCACAAGGAAACACGCGACCAAACUGAGCUCACACAUACUUAGCAUCUACCACAGUAACAAUCUCUAUAUCUGCUCCUAUAUACAUAUAGAACUACCCACCAUGGUUAAGUUAGGCCCAAAGCCAUAUCACAAUCCUCCAUCCAUAUCCUCACCUAGGUUCAAGUUCUCGAAUCUCCGGUCACGACCUCUUUUAGCCCCAAAAUCCCCUAACAACCAUAGGUGAUGCUACGGAAACACAUUCACAUAGCCUUGGAAAAUCACCUUUCUUUUAUACAAAUCACAUAUUUCAUGUUUAAAAGCCAAACAUGGUCAUAAACACAUUUUCAUAAAGUAGUUUCCUGUUCUUAUCCAUCGACGCAUGCUUUUAGUAUUACAUUUAAUUUAAAUCAUCCAAGUUUAAUAAUAUGCCAAAGACUAUUUCAAGUUUUUAAAUCAAUGGUCAUUUAAAUCAUGGCUAAUAAGUUUGGGUUCAACGACAUUUCCGAAAUAUAAGAGUUGAUGGAAAACAUAAAUUCAUACUUGAAAACAUUUGUAACACAUAGUUCAUAAAAUAAUCAUGCUCAAAGUUUUCAUAGUCAUGGCAUACUAAACUAACAUAUAUGGUUUAUAAUGAAAGUACUUGAAAAUGAAUCACUCACAAUCAAUGACUCAAUCCCCGCGAUUAUACGCUUUUCCCAUUUCAAUUUGGUCGGAAACAAAGAUUAAGGUCUCUCAGUUAUCUUGAGUCAGCAAGAAGACACAAAAAUCUCUAAGAACGCUCCAUUAUGAGCAUUCAAGCUAUUUUACAUUUCUAAAGUCCUUAAAUCCUCGAAACUCCUAACACUAGACUAAAAAUCCAAUUUCAAACCAGUCAACCUCAAAUUUCAAUCCUUAGUAAAAUGGAUGUCCAAACUUAAGUCAAAUUCAUUGGAUAUUUCGUUUCAAUACGCUCUUAUACCCAAUAUCCAUAACAUGUUGAUUUAGAUCCAUUAACAAUCUAAAUAUCAAUCUAACGAGUUAAUAACUUAGGAGAACUUACAUAAGCUCGUCUAAAACAACCUUAAACGUGUUGAUCAUCGCUUCCAUGUUAUCUAAAUCUUAAAUUCCUCAUACAAAACCAUAUGGGUAAAAUCAAGUUCACACUAAAAGUAAAUAGGUAUUUAAGCACUAUGAGAGAAUUCAUUAAAUUUAUCUAAAACCUUAUCGACACCUUGUUGAAAUCGCUUUGACAACACAUUAACGACUUUCUAAUUUUGAAUCUAGUUCCUACAACCAUUUUGAAAUCGCUUUAAAGCUUAUAUAAGUAAUACCCAAGCGAACUCCAAAGUCAGUUGAAAGUUCAUUUUCAACCUUUAACAUUCAACUCUAGGACCCGAGUAUCAUGGGUAAUUCAAUUUUAACACUUAAACUUAAUGCCCAUUCAAGAACUCAAGGUAAACUUCAGAAAAUUACUUCAAAACUUACCUAGAACUUGACAAAGUAAUCUUAAUUUCAAUGAACAAUCCUCUAACGAUCUUCAACUAUCGAAUCCUAGCAUCCAAAAACCAUGGAUUUUUUAAUAUAAUAGCACCAAAAUUCAAUGGGUACUCAAGACCAACUUAAUAAAGCCUAGAAUCUUACCUAAUUUGUGCCUAAACGCCCAACUUUGAGCCAUAAAUUGGUUGGACAACGACUAAAAACCUCCCAAGAAUUCAAAUGUAGCAUUAAAAUGUAAUGGGUAUUGUGAAAUCAAAACCGAUACUUAAUAGGUAUUCAAAAACAUCAAGGAACCUAACAAAAUGAACAAAUCCUUACUCAAAACUCCAAGAUCCAACUAUCGACAGGAAGAUCGAGUUAUACCUAUGAUUGAGCAAUACAAGAGAGACAUUUAGCGUUGAGUUUCCAAUUUUUAACAUCCACAACUUGUCGUAGGACUUCGAGACCCAUCUUGCGGGUGAGUUGGAUGGAAAAUUGAGCGACUCGCUUACAAUGAAGCUCCAGUUCCGAUAAAACCCAAAUAAUGGUGAACUUCGACGACGCGGAAGAUGUGGCACUAUAGCAAACCAACCAACCAGAACUGCAGGUGAGAGUAGCGGCAUAACGACAAAUGAUGAACGAAGCUAUUGUGCGGACGCUAGACGAUGUGGAGGAGAUGAACGGUGUGAACGAGCUGUCAUCAACAAGUUGCUUCGUUCUCGACGUGAGUCACGACCAAUGUGAAAGAGAGGUGAAAGUGUGUCGGCAUGCAAGAGAGAUGGUUCGCAUUCAGACAAUUCAAGAGAGAGGGAGGCUAUGUGUCACAAUCGUAGCGUUUCAACUCGAGAUGGACGAUUGUGCGACACUUGUUCUAACUCAACGAACAAGUCAGCCGAUCAAAAUCCAAGAGUUGUGGGUAACGUCGAUGUAUGUCGUAACCUUCCUUUACGUUUUAGAGAAAAUUUUAUUUAUAAAACGCGGGAAAGAAAGAAAUACAUUGAAAUAGACGUUACAAUAAGCAUUAAAGACUGUCAAUUGCAAGGAAAAAUGGUUGCUUGCAAAGAGUACAACUAAUGCUUGGGCGGGGAUUCAACUGGUAUGCCUCCCCUAUAGUACACUUUGAACAUUUUCUUCUCUGGCAGGCUUGCAUAUGAAAAUGCCGAAACGUCACAUCCAAGCUUUAUGACCCAGAAUGGAAAGCAAACACCUAAUCUAGUUAUGCAAAGUAAAGAUGGGAUAAACUGAGGGUAAUCAGAGCAUAUAACCAAAGGUAAACACAGUUUGGAAAAAUAUGUGUGUGACACUAUGCACGUUCCUUAGAGUGGAGAAGAAAAAAUAUCUUCUUUUUCCUCAUUUUUCUAAAGUAAUACUAAAAUUUGAAAAGUUUUUCAACCUUUUCAACAUUUAGAUUUCCAAUCUUGUUCCAAACUAAAAUUUCUUCCAAAUUCUUUAUUACAACGAUUUAGACUUAAAACUGUGAGUAAUCAAAUAUAAAGUUUAAUAUACGUACUUCCAAUACUCUGUUAUUUAUUUAAAUUGUUGAGGAUGUACCAAUAUGUUCGAGUUGUUUUUCUUUCGGUAAUAUAUAGAGUCUGUAAAGUUGACGCCCCUAAUGGUCGUACUCUUUACCCAAACACUUCAAAUUCCCCAAAUAUCUCAUAUCGAGAAUGCGAACAUCAUUUCGUAAUCUCUAUUGAAUUACGUUUUAAUCCCACUUAGAUAUCGUGUCACACCCCAUUCCAAGAUCACUUCAUUCGACCAAUUUGGGUAAGCUAAAUUGGAAAAAUUAAGGUGAUGGCCAUUGAUAAUUUUAUUCGGUAAAAUUUUUAAUUUCUUAUCCUUUAUACUAAUUAAGAUUGAUUCAUUUGAAAAUUUUAGUUUUAAGUAGUAGAGACUCAUGCUGAUAAUAUAUUAUAAAAUAAGAAUAAUAUGAACAAAAACAAAAAAAAAAUGUUAAUAUUAUGUAAAGUUAUCCCGACAUGAAAUUUUGGAUAUAGAAGUGUUUGUAUAUUAGAAAAUUUUAUACUUUUUGACGAUAUUAUAUAUACGACUUGUCUAUUAUAUUGAUGCAUCUAAAAUUAAAUUUAUGUGUACAUAGCUCCCUUAGAUAAAAUUAUGGACCUGCGACGGAUACCAUUCUCACUACAACGAUACGAUAGAGAAGAAAAGAAAGUUGAUAGCAUAAAGAUAGAAAAUAUUCACUUAUUCAAUACUGGGCUUUAAUUUAUUUCAUCUUAAUUUUAUUCAACAUCACUUUAGCUUCCAACCUAAUCAACACACUGGAAGGGUGACGCCGCAAACAGCGGCAACCCGUUGCCCGCCGGCAAUUAAAGGCUUGAAGCUUGGAAUCUUAGCGUAUUGGCAUAGGCACGGCGCCUGCUCUUCCAUCUUCAUGCAGCAAAUACUCGACGGCACCACUGACGAUGAUUUAAUUGCAUCAAUACACGGGUCAGCUCCUGAGGGAUGCAUUCCACUGCAUCCACCGAACGAGCUCCAGUUAAAAGCGCCAUCAUCUCCACCACGGCCACCAAAACACAUAGACUUGUUAUUGACAAUCUCAUCAUAUUAUGUUGAUUUUUUUUAUAUAAUAUGUUAAUGUGAGUGGAGAAAUAUUGCAUGCUUGGCAAAGCUUUUAGUCUGCAUUAUUUAUAGUCUUUGAAGAUGGUGAGGUUAAAGAAUAAUUGCCAGAUGGGUUUAGUUCUUUA
This 151364-nucleotide long non-coding RNA is filed under the name Cucumis sativus (cucumber). RNAcentral's name for it is "long non-coding RNA (CSAT_LNC001810)". Lineage: Eukaryota; Viridiplantae; Streptophyta; Magnoliopsida; Cucurbitales; Cucurbitaceae. The record is from RNAcentral.